RNAcentral lists this long non-coding RNA (96545 nucleotides) under Vitis vinifera (wine grape). RNAcentral describes it as "long non-coding RNA (VVIN_LNC001392)". Lineage: Eukaryota; Viridiplantae; Streptophyta; Magnoliopsida; Vitales; Vitaceae. The record is from RNAcentral.
GGAGGGUGACCAGGGUUGUGACCAUAAUGUGGUGGCUUCUCUCCCUUAGGUGGUUUGCCAACUGGGGUUGGUGGCUUGUAUGAGUCUUCAGCAUUCUCAGCAGGAGGGUGACCAGGGUUGUGACCAUAAUGUGGUGGCUUCUCUCCCUUAGGUGGUUUGCCAACUGGGGUUGGUGGCUUGUGUUCUGGGAGUGGCUUCUCCCCCUUGGGAGGUUUUUCCAAUGGGGUUGGUUUGUGUUCAGGAGGUGGCUUCUCCACUGGAGGCUUGUGUUCAGGAGGUGGCUUCUCCACCGGAGGCUUGUGUUCAGGUGGUGGCUUCUCCACCGGAGGCUUAUGCUCUGGUGGUGGCUUCUCGAAUGGGGGAUGCUUAGGAUAAUCAGCAAGUGAGGGGGCGGUGAGAACCACCAGGCCAAGCAACACCACUAGCAAAUAUGUAGGAGACAUCUUUGGGUUUGGGCUCAGAUGGUGCAAAACUAGGAGAAUUGGCUAGCCUUUUAUAGCGGAUCGUACCCAAUAAUGAAAUGACACGUGUCAUUAUGACCCAUGUGUAAUGGGGUCGAUUUGGGUCCUACAGUGUUGAAAACUUCGACAUCCACUUUUGGCCUUUUGCUUUCUCUACAGCCGCCUUGCUUUUUCCCUCUUUCCUUUUGUUUUCCUCCUGCCCCAUUCUAUCAACUAAACACAAUUAUGUAGUUGUUUAAUUCUUAAAUGAGAUAUUAUCCGUCAAUCGUAUUAUAUUUUAUCAAGAGAGAACGGAGUGCAAUGUGGCUGUAAUUUUAUCGUUUAGUUUUAUCUCUUGGACCACUGCAUUUUUGUUAAGAGGUGCAAUAAUACACGUCUUUAUCUGCCAUUCAAUAUUUACAGUAAAGAGAGGGCACAAAACUCUUCACUUCGCACCAUAAUUAUUUUGUUUUCUGGACACCCCGGGGCCCUUUGGUUGGUUUGGGGGUCAGAAAGUGAACAUCAUAGGGGGUUUUUCCCUUAUGUGCAUUUGUAUCUGAUGGCUUUAACUCGCCUUGUUACUACAAAGAAACUGUCACAGAUAGGAACUUAUUCCAGGCUGAGUAUCUCCUCAUAGACCCUAUAAAAGAAGACAAGUCAUAAUGAACAUCUAACCUUUGUUCAAUUUGAUUCAAUGCCCCCAUUGUGUCCAUCUCACAAAUCUGAAUUAUUAUAUCCAUUGAAUACAUAAAUUAAUGAAGAAAAUAUGAAACCCAAGAUACAUCUCUGCACAACCUCAACCCUGGUUGCUAUGUUUCCCUUCUAUUCACAUGAUUUGAUGCUAAUUGCCAAACUUGCAACAAGCCCUGAGUUUGACACCUAGUAUCGAUGGGCGAAUUUAAAGUCUCCUCCAAACAUAUAUUCCACAGCUUGAAGCUCACAGAAGAUGUUACAGGCAGGGAAAAACCUUCAGAGUUCGCUACCAAAGAUAAUUAUUAAGGAGAUAUCACAAAGAGAAUUCCAAGGGGUCUGAAUCAAAGACAAAUUGGUCGUUCGUGGGGGUUCUUACUUUCUUUUGGGUAUAACUCACUGAGGGCACUGUCUUUGUUAUUUGCAUUUCACAUUUAGAGUUCUGUUCUGGAAACAUAUAAAAGGAGCAUCAUUUUGUUCUUGGGUAACCCAUAGUCGUGAGUGGGUCCAUUUGCAUGCUACUUAGUUGAAAAGUUGGACCAUUUGCUCCGACGCCUACCUCCCGGAUUCCAUGCUCGGAUAAAACAAGAAUAAAAAAAAUAUUUAUAAUUUACAAAUGGGGGAAAGAAAAAAAUGUCAACAACAAACCAGGAAAAAAGAGUAGUAAAAUUCAUGUCACAUGCUAGUGAGAGAAGGGGUUGUUACACUCACUCGAAGUUCUUUCCAAAAUAUCGCAUGGUAUUUUAUUUUAUGUGUCAGCGCAGUUGUGAAUGGAACGUGCAAAAGUCCAAAUUGGCGUUUUUCCUUUUCCCGUGUAGGAUGGCGACCUUUAAUAAAUAUUUAAAACAAAAAACGAAAAAAAGGAGGGAAAAGGGAUCAGAAAAGAUAAAACAAUGUGUACAAGAGCUCAAUUAGUUUGCAAAUUACUGUUUGGAUUUUGAUAGUAUUUUAUUUGUCCAUCUAUAUUUGAUGGAAAAGAGAAUUUAAGAUAUUUCUGAAACAAAAGCAUUAGUGUAAAACUAAAUUAAGGUAUAAUUAAGUUAGUUCAAUGCAUUAAUUUAAGAAACUUGAUCUAUCCAAAGUACAAAAUUAGAUGAAAUCCAUUUCAAUGGUUAAAAUGAUCAAAAUCAAACUUUUUCUAAGUAUUUUUUAAAAGCAUCAAUAUUAAAAGACAAUUUUAUAUUUAGUCGGAGUUUGGACAAAACCAAAAAGCACACAAAAUCCAAGCGACCAUCUCUAGCUUGGAUAGUCACUUGAUCCCACCUAGAGAUGUGCAUGAGUAAAAGGAUUUGAAAAUGGAAAUUGACUAAAUAUUUAGUUGAUCAAUUAAAUUUGCAAUGUCAUAUGCAAUCCUAAUAGCUAGUCAUCUAAUCAAUUAGGUAGUCAAUCAAGUGUUUGUAAUGACUAUUUUGUACAAAAAACCACAUGUAUAGUUAAAUAUAAUGCAUUUCAUUUAUAAAUCUUCUAAUUCUUGAAUAACGAUCCUAUCAUCCUUUGAAAAUUUUUAUUACACCUUUUUUACUUUUGUUCUAAAACUUACAUAUCACCCUUAAUUGUACCAUGAGAACCUAGCUAUUUUUUUUUUUUUUGUAAUUCAUCAAAGUUAGCUUUUGUAUUCAUUGUUGUAUUAUUUUUAGUAUAACUUAGAAAGCUAGUGUUUUCAAGUGAGUAAAAUUAACUUGUAAAUAUUGUAAAGAUUCAUUGAUAUGUAUCUUAAACUAAGUGUACAAAUUAAAACAUUUGCUAGUAGAUUUUCUCAAAAUUUAGAAUAGAGCUUGAGGCUAUUGAAAUAGGUGGGGUUACACCAAACCACAUCACAUCGUUGUUUGCACCUUUUUUCACUCUCUUUUACUUAGUUUCUCUAUAUUUGUUGUCUAGUAAUAUCCUAUAGGCUUGAUGGGUUAGGGAGCAUCCCUUUGUGAAAAAAUUUCAUUCAAUUCUUAGUUGUAUUACGCAUAUAUAAAAUGCCUCAUUGUUUUAAUGGUAUUCAGUCGUGGCAUCACAGAUAUGGGCAUCUAAAUUUUAAAAGUUUGAAACUUUUGUAAAGCAUGUUGAUAAAAUCCAUGAGAGUUGUGUACUUGGGAAGCAACAUCGAGGUGACUUUAUUUUUUUUUCCUUUUAUAAUGCCACACCUAAGUCCGGUUUCUAAAUGCUAAAGUGAAAGGGUAGGUAUGGACCAUUGAAAUGUGAUCACAACUUUUGGCCUUUUCCUUUCUCUGCAGCCAUGUUGUCUCUUUUUUCUUUUGCAUGAUUUUCUUACCAAAACAGAAUCAUAGACUUGUUUAGUCUCUAAGCUACUAUAUUAUAUCUCGGUGGACUUUUAAGAGUGCAACCGACAUAGAGCACAUGCAAGUGGGCAUAUGGGACAUGAAAUUUCUUCUUACAAAGAUUGCAUGAUUUUUAUAUUAGAGUUGUUCACGUGCAAUGUAUUUAGCUUGUUUUGCAGUUAAAUUAAUUGGAUAAGUAAACAUUGGCAUUUCUAAAUCGACUGUGAAGUGCUUCAUGUACGUGUAAAGUAUUAGAAAUUUCUUUCUUGGCAACUUGUUUUUUCCUUGCCAUCUACUGGUAGGUUUGACUAAAAUUAUAUUCCCUGUCAUGCUAAUUAAUUUUCAUGUGCAUGCUCAAAAGAAGAGUAUGACCUUAGUGCACCAAAAUCACUUUGAUUAAUUUGUGAUAGGUUUUUUUGCAUCAUUUAGAUAAUGUUUAGUUCUAAGAAAAAUUUAUAUAAAAAUGGUUUAUUUAUCUUACAUAUAUAUAUAUAUAUAUAUAUUUUUUUUUUUUUCAUUUUUUUUUCUUCUAUUUUAUUUAUUUAUUUUAUUUUCCUUAUGUUUUCCUCACAUUUUCCGGAACUAAACAUAGUCUUACGAAAUCAACAAUUGCCUUCAACUGAGUAGAUUCUGUUGUUUUAGCAAUGUUAGGCUGCUAACUUGUGGUGGUACGAACCAAAUGACCCAUGUUAAUCUUGGCUUGGUUUGAUUUGGCUCUAUCUCAGAGAGCUAAAGGAUCACGUCAACUCUGGUUUCUACUAUUCAGGUCCAUUCCCAGAUGAACUGGUUCAAAUUUGAGAAAAUGGUAACAGACCUUUAGUGAUGUUGGUUUGGAGCCAGUUGCCAAACCCGCCCUGAGCUUUACCACUAAUGUCAAGGGAGAAAGCCAUUUGAACAAAAACAAUAGCUUCAAGAGACUGAAUCGUGGAUGAAAUCUGAUCCACAUUUCUUCUCAUUUUGGGAAAAAAUGAGAACUUAACUACAAAGAUUCUACUGCCUCAUUCAUAGUGCUUUUCCUGAUCCAAGGUUGGUUCGUUUCCCAAAUUGUGAGGUGCACGUGCCACUCUCACGCUCAGGAGUGUAUCCACGUGGUGGACAUCAGAUGGUGGCUUAAUAUCUGGUGUCGGUGGCUUUACUUUACUAGGAGAGUAGUGUGUCUUCAUCUCAUUCACUGCCGGAGGGUGGCGUAAGCAGUGACGCUAAGGUGGGGCACAGUCAAUAUCAUUUGCAUUUGACCAUUAUAGUUUUCUCCCGGCUUGAAAGUAACCUUAUCGUGAUAAAGGAUUACUAGCACUAGUUCAGAUGACCGUCAUGUUAAUUCGGACCAUGUUUGUGUCACAUUAUCAGCAACCAUGUGUUUAUGGUUCAUGCUAUCUGCAACUAAACUUGAUAUAUAACCAGGUGAACUUCAAUCAAAAUUCUGGAAGUACUCUUGUGAUAGAUGGUGCCUGUCUGCAGAGUCCAUCAAUUGAAAAAUGGAGUGAGUGUAUCUAUAAGAGGGAAGGCUUGGCAAAUGUUCAGUUUUCUGGGAAUUCAACAAGGAUCUAAAAUAGAUUGUUUUCUUUGCCGACUUCAAUGGUUGAAAUUUGAGAAGAUUGUGUCCACAUAUCACAACUAUUACUGGUCCUUCUGUUGCAAUUUAUCCUGUAAGGCUCUAACAUGUCUUCCAAUUCCCACUUCCCUGUUACUCCAGGAAAGCUAUUUCUGUCAUUGUGAAGAAGAAAAGAGAAUGUACAUAUCGAUGCUUUUAAGUGACUGGAGCAUUCAUAUCAGGUGGUCUGCAGCCAUAUAUGCCACUUUGUGAAGGUUGGAACAGUCAAUCACUAGGCUAUAUAUUGGUGUGGCCCAGCCACUUCAAUCAAGGACAAGUCUUCAUACUUAAAGUCAAAUUCUGCCUUUAGUCUCAUUAUAAAUUGCUGUUUAAAUAUUAAGCAAACUUUUGUUUAAUGCGAUUAAGACAGUACUAACUCAAUACUUGUUCUAUUUUUGGAUGCAAAUGCUUGAUGGUUUCAUCAUUGGAUGGGAUAAAGGUGCAUUCAUGAUUAUGAAUACUUGUAGUUAUAUUUUCAUUCUCUUUUUUCUCAAUGAGACUUGUUGGCACAAUGUUGCUGUUCAGAAACCUACCUCUCCAUGGAAAAUAAGUUGCGAUUGAUAGUACUGGAUAUGUUCAAGAAAGCUAAAUAUAGAUAGCACAAAAUAUUAUCGAUAUAAAUAGCAUUAACAGCGUACGUAUGUCUCAAUGCUCAUCAGCUAUAAGCAUGGGACAAACACUUACUAUGAGCAACUUACGUCAAAAUUCCAGAAUAGGACAUAGAAGUGACAGAUCUAUAUAUAUAGAACACUGCAUAUGAGUCACAAGAAAGGAAAUUACGGGUGCAUAGCAGCUCUUAUUUUACAUACUACUACUCAUACUGAUCAAAGUCACUCAGUUGGGAUGGGUGGGAGUAGGAGGUUUGUGGGGUGGCUUGUGCGGAGGAGUUGGCAGCUUCUUUCCAGGACCUGGUUGCUUCUCUGCUGGAGUUGAAGGAGGCUUAAUCUUCCGAGGUGGCUUGUAUGAGUCUUCAGCAUUCUCAGCUGGAGGGUGACCAGGGUUGUGACCAUAAUGUGGUGGCUUCUCUCCCUUAGGUGGUUUGCCAACUGGGGUUGGUGGCUUGUAUGAGUCUUCAGCAUUCUCAGCAGGAGGGUGACCAGGGUUGUGACCAUAAUGUGGUGGCUUCUCUCCCUUAGGUGGUUUGCCAACUGGGGUUGGUGGCUUGUGUUCUGGGAGUGGCUUCUCCCCCUUGGGAGGUUUUUCCAAUGGGGUUGGUUUGUGUUCAGGAGGUGGCUUCUCCACUGGAGGCUUGUGUUCAGGAGGUGGCUUCUCCACCGGUGGCUUGUGUUCAGGAGGUGGCUUCUCCACCGGAGGCUUAUGCUCUGGUGGUGGCUUCUCCACCGGAGGCUUAUGCUCUGGUGGUGGCUUCUUGAAUGGGGGAUGCUGAGGGUAAUCAGCAAGUGAGGGGGCGGUGAGAACCACCAGGCCAAGCAACACCACUAGCAAAUAUGUAGGAGACAUCUUUGGGUUUGGGCUCAGAUGGUGCAAAACUAGGAGAAUUGGCUAGCCUUUUAUAGCGGAUCGUACUCAAUAAUGAAAUGACACGUGUCAUUAUGACCCAUGUGUAAUGGGGUCGAUUUGGGUCCUACAGUGUUGAAAACUUCGACAUCCAGUUUUGGCCUUUUGCUUUCUCUACAGCCGCCUUGCUUUUUCCCUCUUUCCUUUUGUUUUCCUCCUGCCCCAUUCUAUCAACUAAACACAAUUAUGUAGUUGUUUAAUUCUUAAAUGAGAUAUUAUCGGUCAAUCGUAUUAUAUUUUAUCAAGAGAGAACGGAGUGCAAUGCAGCUGUAAUUUUAUCGUUUACUUUUAUCUCUUGGACCACUGCAUUUUUGUUAAGAGGUGCAAUAAUACACGUCUUUAUCUGCCAUUCAAUGUUUACAGUAAAGAGAGGGCACAAAACUCUUCACUGCUCUGCAUGUGUCCCAAAAAUGCGAUUGGACAAAUUAUGAUUUGCAUGCUAAAAAGAGGCAAAUGAGGUUAAUUCGCACCAUAAUUAUUUGGUUUUCUGGACACCAUAAAAAGAUGUUAUACAGGCAGGGAAAAACCUUCAGAGUUAGCUACCAAAGAUAAUUAUCAAGCAGAUAUCACCAAGAGAAUUCCAUAGAGUCUGAAUCAAAGACAGAUUGCUCGCUCGUGGGGGUUCUUACUUUCUUUUGGGUAUAACUCACUGAGGUCACUGUCUUUUUUAUUUGCAUUUCACAGUUAGAGUUCUGCUCUGGAAGGUUUGUUCUGGAAACAUAUAAAAGGAGCAUCAUUUUGUUCUUGGGUAACCCAUAGUCGUGAGUGGGUCCAUUUGCAUGCUACUUAGUUGAAAAGUUGGACAAUUUGCUCCGACGCCUACCUCCUGGAUUCCAUGCUCGGUAAAACAAGAAUAAAAAAAAAUAUAUAAUUUACAAAUGGGGGAAAGAAAAAAUGUCGGAAAAAAUAGUAAAAUUCAUGUCACAUGCUAGUGAGAGAAGGGGUUGUUACACUCACUCGAAGUUCUUUUCAAAAUAUCGAAUGGUAUUUUACUUUAUGUGUCAGCGCAGUUGUGAAUGGAACGUGCAAAAGUCCAAAUUGGCGUUUUUAUUUUUCCCAUGUAGGAUGGUGACCUUUAAUAAAUAUUUAAAACAAAAGACGAAAAAAAAAAGGAGGGAAAAGGGAUCACAAAAGAUAAAAUAAUGUUUACAAAAGCUCAAUUAGUUUGCAAAUUACUGUUUGGAUUUUGAUAGUAUUUUAUUUGUCGUUCUAUAUUUGAUGUAAAAGAGAAUUUAAGAUAUUUCCGAAGCAAAAGCAUUAGUUUGCUCUGUGAUGUCCCACAUCGAAUAGGGGAGAAAGUUUCUGGCGCUAUAUAUGUAGAGGCUCCUCUUAACCAAGUAGAUGCGUUUUAAAACCAUGAGGGCCCCCUUAGGUCCAAAGCGGACAAUAUCUACAUGAUUGGGUGUAAGUCAUUACAAAUGGUAUCAGAGCCGAUCCCCGACCCCGGUGUGGGGGUUUGUUUGGCCCUGUAAGGGGUGUUUGUCUGUUUGACCCCACAAUCCCAUGGGACACAACGAGGACGUUGUGUCUGCAUGGGGGGGCGUUUGUGAUGUCCCACAUCGGAUAGGGGAGAAAGUUCCUAGUGCUAUAUAUGUAGAUGUUUCUCUUAACCAAGUAGAUGCAUUUUAAAAUUGUGAGGGCCUCUUUGGGCCCAAAGCGGACAAUAUCUACAUGGUUGAGUGUAAGUCAUUACAUGCUCCAUGUCAAUUUCAGCAUUUCUCAUAUGUUUCACACAUACACAGAAGAGCAUCGUUUUUUAAAGCAUGCAUUUAUGUUGGAUUAAUUUGGAUUUUGUGGGAACUGGGGCAAGGAUCACAUGGAAGAGAGGUUGACUUUUUUCAGUACUUCAAUGGUUGAAAUAUGUGAAGGCUUGAUUGAUACUAAAGCUUGAAAUUGCGACUCUGUCAUUUGUAAAAAAAUAUGACAGCUUCCAUGCUCUCGUUUGGUUGCAUUGUCCGGUCGAGAGGUGCAAAAAGCAUUCUCUCUCUUCUAAUAGUCUUUUCGUUUAAAUCAAGGGAUUUGCCUUCCCGGUCGAGGUCCAAUAGAGGGUAACGGUCACCUACUAAACAUUAAAUGCUCCAACAACUAGUGAACUGAUCGACCCCAGCUCGACUAGUUGAGGUUACUUUUUGGUUUUCUUGUCUCCCGAGGUUAGAAACCUAUAAAUAGAGAGCUUCACUUCAUUUAUGAGUAAGAGAACACCUAAAUUUAUUUGUUUACCUACUUGUUUUUGCCAUAAAAGCUCUCAUUUCUUUUCUUGGUGUAUUAAAUCUCCAUUUGCAUAUCCUUUAGUGCACCUUUGUGAUUCAUUCUAGCCUUGAGUUGUAUUUAAGCCUUUGUUGAGCUAGGUUGAGAGUUUCAUACUUGUUUAUUGAGUGUUAAAGCCUUCAAGUGAGUUAAAACUUGAAGAGAUUGUGUAAGAGCCCAUUGGAGUCGGAAUCCAAGUGUAAAGGUGAUUAAAAGCUUGGUUGAAGCUUCAAGUUAGUGGAACUCUCACUCGGUUAUGAGCUUGAGAAGAGUGGACAUAGACAAGGCAGUGUCGAACCACUAUAAAAUCUGAGUUUGAUUUCUCUAACCUUAUCUCUUUAUAUUUGCUUCUCUUGUGCUUAAAUUUUUUGUGUUUAAAAAGAAUUUUUAAAAACUCAAUUCACCCCCUUCUUGGGAGUUUUUCUCUUUUAAGAUCAGCUUUUAUUUUCUCAAUUGGUAUCAGAACUAUGCCUCUUGUUUAAGACUUAAUCGUCUAAGAGGAAAUGGCUAAUCCAUCAAGUUCAUCUCACAUUGAAAGUUUUGCAACCAAUAGACUUCUUUUUUUUUUUUUGCGGGAACUGAUUAUCCCUAUUGGAAAACUAAAAUGACUUGGUUUUUACAAUCAAUUGAUUUAGAUGUAUGAGAUGCCAUUGAAGAUGACCUAACUUUUCCUUCAAAACUAGUUGAUGGAGUCAUGGUUCCAAAACCUAAGCAAGAAUGGGAUGAGCGUGAUUGAAGAAAUUUUCAAUUAAAUGCUAAAGUCGUUUAUACUUUGCAAUGCUCUAUGGACAGAAAUGAAUAUAAUAGAAUAUGUCAAUGCAAAUCGGUUAAAGAAAUUUGGAGAUUGCUUGAAAUAACUCAUAAAGGAACAAAUCAAGUUAAAGAGUCAAAAAUCAAUUUACUUGUUCAUAGAUAUGAAUUGUUUUUUAUGAAAGAUAAUGAAACUAUUGUUAAGAUGAUCACUAGGUUCACCAACAUUGUUAAUGGUCUUAAAGCCUUGGGAAAGACCUACAAGGAAUCCGAAAACGUGAUGAAGAUCUUGAGGUCACUUCCAUCAAAGUGGCAUACCAAGGUCACCGCAAUUUAAGAAGCAAAAGACUUGAUCAAGCUACCUUUGGAGGAGUUCAUAGGGUCAUUGAUGACAUAUGAAAUCAAUUUGGCAAAGAAGUAACAAAAAGGUGAAGACAAAAAGAAGAAGAACAUAACUCUCAAAGCUACAACUAAGGAAGAAGAAGUUGAAGAAGAAAAACAAAUUGAAGAAGAUGAAGAUUUAGCCCUCAUCACAAGAAAGUUCAACAAAUUCAUGAGGGGUGAAAGGUUUAGAAGAAGAAGGUUCACUUCUAGAAGAGACUUUUCUAAAAAGGAAUCUUCAUCUAAUGGUGACAAAAAGAGAUGGGAAGAGAAAAGAGACUUGGUGUGUUUCAAGUGCAAGAAACCGGGACACAUUAAAUAUGAUUGUCCUCUCUACAAAAGUGAAGUCAAGAGGAAAAAGAAUAAGGCAAUGAUGGCCACUUAGAGUGAAAGUGAAGAUGAAUCAUCCGAAGAAGAAAAUGAGAAAGAAGUGGCAAACAUGUGUUUCAUGGCAAUAGAUGAACUUGAUGAGGUAAAAUCUAACCUUAGUGAUUAAGAUAUACAUGAUGCAUUUGAAGAAUUGUAUGAGGAUUUUUAAAAACUUAGUUUGAAAAAUAUUUCUCUUAAAAAGAAAGUUCAACAACUUGACAAAGAACUUAGAGAAGUAAAAGAAAAAUUUUCAAAUGUUAAAGUUUCUAAAACUCAUCUUGAAAAAGAAAAUGAGAUUCUAAGAAAGAAAAAUGAAUAGUUGAACUCCUCUCUUUCAAUCUUUUCUUCUAGACAAAAAUCUUUUGAAAUGAUUCUAACUAGCUAAAAAUGUGUUUUUGACAAACAAGGGUUAAGAUUUAAAUCUUCAAAAAAUCAAAAGUAUUUUAAAAACUAUUUUGUAAAGGAAUCCACAAGUGCAAGUCCUUCCACUACUUGCAACUUUUGUGGAAGAGAAUGGCACAUUAGUAGUACGCCCUUUAAGAAAUGGUUCUCAAAAGAAUUUAAAUGCAAAAACUAAAAAAGAUUUGGAUUGAGAAAUCCAAGGUCACUAACCCUCAAGGACCCAAAAAGAUAUAGGUACCUAAAUCAACUUGAGUUUUAUGUUGUAAGGUUCAAAGAAUGAUAAGUGGUUCUUAGAUAAUGGUUGCUCAAGACACAUGACCGGAGAUGAAUCCAAGUUUGCUUUUCUUAAAAAGAAAAAUGGAGGAUAUGUUACCUUUGGAGACAAUGCAAAAGAAAGGAUGAUUGGUCAAGGCAACAUUGGUAAUGGCACAUCCUCUCUCAUUGAAAGUGUUUUAUUAGUAGAUGGUUUCAAACAUAACCUUUUAAGCAUUAGUCAAUUUUGCGACAAAGGUUUUUAAGUGAUUUUUUAAGCAUCUCAUUGCAUCAUCAAGGAUAUUCAAAAUGAUAAAACCAUUUUCAUGGGCCAUAGAUGUGAUAAUGUUUAUGCUAUAAAUAUUUCAAAAUAUGAUGGCCAUGAUAGAUGUUUUUCAAGCAUGCAUGAUCAAAGUUGGUUGUGCCAUAGGAGAUUGAGACAUGCUAACAUAGACCUCAUUUCCCAACUCAACAAAGAUGAACUUGUUAGAGGCCUUCCCAAAAUAAUUUUUUAAAAAGAUAAAGUUUGUGAAGCUUGUCAAGUGGGAAAGUAAAUCAAAAACUCUUUUAAAAACAAAAACUUCAUUUCCACAUCUAGGCCACUUGAGUUGUUGCAUAUGGAUUUAUUUGGUCCCUCUAGGACACCAAGUCUUAGAGGAAAUUCUUAUGCAUAUGCUAUUGUGGACGACUUCUCUAGAUACACAUGAGUCUUGUUUUUUAGUCAAAAGAAUAAAGUUUUUUAUGAGUUUUCAAAGUUUUGCAAUAAGAUUCAAAAUGAAAAAGGUUUUUCAAUUACUUAUAUAAGAAGUGAUCAUGGGAGAGAAUUCGAAAAUAUUGAUUUUGAAGAGUAUUGCAAUGAGCAUGGAAUUGACCACAAUUUUUUGGCUCUUAGAACUCCUCAACAAAAUGGGGUAGUUGAAAGGAAAAAUAGAACUCUUCAAAAAAUGACAAGAACCAUACUAAAUGAAAACAACUUACCAAAAUAUUUUUAGGCCAAAACGGUUAACACUUCUUGUUAUGUUUUAAAUAGAGUAUUAUUGAGGCUCAUACUUAAGAAAACUCCCUAUGAGCUUUGGAAAAACAAAAAACCCAACAUUAGUUAUUCCAAAGUCUUUGGAUGCAAUAUUUUAUAAUAAACACCAAAGACAAUCUUGGAAAAUUUGAUGCAAAAUUGGAUGUUGGAAUUUUCCUUGGUUACUCAACUUCAAGUAAAGCUUUUCGAGUUUUAACAAAAGAACCAUGGUUGUAGAGGAGUCCAUCCAUGUUAUUUUUUAUGAAUCUCCAAGAAAGAGAGAGGAUUGAUGAUGAUUUAGGUUUGAAGACCUCUAUAGGAAGAUUGCAAAUCGAAGAUAGAAGACAACAAGAAGAAAAUGGAGAGAAUCCAAAGAAAGAAGGAUCACCAUUGGCACUACCCCCUCAUCAACAAGCGCAAGGUGAAUCAAGUCAAGAGCUUCCUAAAGAAUGGAAGUUUGUCAUCAAUCACCCACAAGAUCAAAUUAUAGGCAAUCCAUCUAGUGGGGUAAGAACUAGAUCCUCUCUUAGAAAUAUUUGCAAUAAUCUAGCUUUUAUCUCUCAAAUUGAGCCUAAAAAUAUAAAUGAUGUUUUAGAUGAUGAAAAUUGGAUAAUUGCAAUGCAAGAAGAGUUAAAUCCAUUUGAAAGAAGUGGAGUAUGGGAAUUAGUACCAAGACCUUCAAAUCAAAGUGUUAUUGGAACUAGAUGGAUCUUUAGAAAUAAAAUGGAUGAAAAUAGCAUAAUUGUUAGAAAUAAAGCAAGAUUGGUAGCCCAAGGUUUUAAUCAAGAAGAAAUGAUAGAUUAUGAAGAAACCUUUGCCCCCGUAGCUAGGUUGGAAGCCAUUAGGAUGCUACUUGCCUUUGCAUGUUUUAAAGACUUUGUUUUAUAUCAAAUGGAUGUGAAAAGUGCUUUUUUAAAUGGUUUUAUAAAUGAAGAAGUAUAUGUUGAACAACCACCCGGUUUUCAAAGUUUCAACUUUCCUAACCAUGUUUUUAAACUUAAAAAGACACUUUAUGGUUUGAAACAAGCACCUAGAUCAUGGUAUGAAAAAUUGAGUAAAUUUCUUUUGAAAAAAAUGUUUUAAAAUGGGAAAAAUUGACACAACUCUUUUUAUAAAAACCAAAGAAAAUGAUAUGCUCUUAGUUCAAAUAUAUAUUGAUGAUAUCAUUUUUGGUGCUACUAAUGUCUCUCUUUAUGAAGAAUUUUCUAAGUGCAUGCAUAGUGAGUUUGAAAUGAGCAUGAUAGGAGAACUCAACUUCUUCCUUGGACUUCAAAUCAAGCAACUAAAGGAAUGAACCUUCAUCAAUCAAGCAAAGUAUAUAAGAGAUCUUCUCAAAAGGUUCAACAUGGAAGAAGCCAAAACAAUGAAGACUCUAAUGAGCUCAUCCAUUAAGCUUGAUAAGGAUGAGAAAGGUAAAUCCAUUGACUCUAUUAUGUAUAGAGGCAUGAUAGGUUCUUUGCUCUAUUUGACCACUAGUAGACCUUACAUUAUGUAUAGUGUGUGUUUGUGUACUAGAUUUCAAUCUUGUCUUAAAAAAUCUCACUUAAGUGUCGUGAAAAGAAUCCUCAAAUAUUUGAAAGGGACAAUGGACAUAGGCUUAUGGUAUCCUAAGAGUGAUAACUUUGAAUUAAUUGGUUUUUUGGAUGCUGAUUUUGUCAGUUGUAGGGUUGAAAAAUAAAACACUAGUGGCACUUUUCAUUUCUUAAGACACUUACUUGUCUCAUGGCAUAAUAAGAAGCAAAAUUUGGUAGCUUUGUCAACAGCAGAAGCUAAAUACAUAGCAACUGGUUUAUGUUGUGCACAAAUCCUUUGGAUGAAAUAAACACUUAGUGAUUUUGAUUUAUCUUUUGAGCAUAUUCCUAUUAAAUGUGAUAAUAGUAGUGCCAUAAGUAUAUCAAAAAAUCUCGUGCAACACUCUAGGACUAAGCAUAUAGAGAUUAGACAUAAUUUUCUUAGAUAUCAUACACAAAAGGAUGAUAUAACACUUGAAUUUGUAAGCAUAAAAGACCAACUUGCCGAUAUCUUUACAAAACCUCUAAGAACAUUUUGUUGAUAUUAGAGGACAAUUAGGAGUGAUUUCUUUAUGAUCUAAUGUGAUGAAUUCUUGAUGAAUAUACUUUUUGAUUGCAUGAAUUUCAUGUCAUAUAUGCAUCAUAUAGAAAUAUACUUAGAUAAUGGUCAAAUUUCGACCAAAAAUCAAAAUUCCCAUGGCAUUAGGCAUAAAAAUUUUGGAAUUUCAACUGAAAAUGGUAGGAGGAGGAUCACAAAAUGAGAAAGUAUGCAAAAAUUGAAAAAUCAAAACGUUGACCAAGCGGUCAAUCGGACUAGACCGAUCGACUAGUUUGUCGAGAUUUAGGAUUUUUAAGAGACUCCAACGCUUCAAUUUUUGCACCGUUCUCCUCUAUUUCUUCACGGUUUCUCUGAUUUUGUCUUUUAGAGACUAAUUUGAGUGCGUUUUGGAUCAAUUGAAGCAUUUUGGAUUGGAUUUUAGGAAGAUUGAAAGUUAAGGUUUCGGAUUUGGGUCGCCUUCUCUUCCUCUCGCGUGUCACAAUCAGCUUUAGCAUUGUUCUCUUUCCAUUUUCACACACCUAGGGUUUCAGUUGUGAGCAUCUCUCUCUCUUUACCAACCACUACUCCCUUGCUUCUUCCAUAUGGCUCCUAGGCGAGAGUCCGCUACUUCUAGGGCACAAGGCAAGCACCCAACUGAGUCGUCUCAGUCAAAGGCACGUCGAAAAGUGAGAUUUGACAUUGCCUUGUUCAGUUCCAUGGAGGACUACCAACUAUACAAGCAACACUUUGCUUAGAGACGAGUAGUUCCCAAGAGAAAUAUUAAUUUUCCUCAACUUCAGCAUUUCGAAUUUAAGGGUCUAUUUACUAGGAUGGUUGGUUGUCUAUUGUCACAAUUUCGGAGCCGGUUUUCCUGACCUUAGUGCGAGUUUUUUACUCGAGGGCGACUUAUGGCAUGGGUGGCAUGAUCAUUUCUACUGUUGGAGGAGUUGAGAUCUGUCUGGACCCAGAGAGCAUCUGCCAUAUUUUCGAUAUUGCUCUGGUUGGACUCAAAGUAUACAAGUCCAAAAUGUGGCCCAUUGUGCCAGGAUUUGAGCUUAGAGAGGUCAUUCAGAGGAUUUGUGAACUUCCAGACGCCCAGGAGAUGGGCAAACCAUUGCCACACAGUUUGACGGUCAUCAACAGGGUGCUACACCAUAUAUUGUGCUCUAUCUUUCUACCACGAAGUGGACAUUGAGAUGAGGUCUCUUAUUAUGAGGCAUUCCUUAUUGACUCCAUUCUAACGGAGAGACGAAUUCAUCUACUAUGUCAUCAUUCACUAAGCCUCCUCACAGUGACAUACCACCUCAUCAGGCACCUCUUGCUCCUGACCAUGCUCCAUUGAUGGAUUUAUUUACUCAUAUUAGCUCUCUAGGCACUCGCAUGAAGGAGUUUGUUGUAGUUAGUGAUACAUGGUUCUACUCCAUAGAGGAUCGCAUGGAUCAGUAUCAGACUGGCUUCACGUCACAGUUUGAGUAUCUCCAAUAGAGGAUUGAGCAUAUUGAGGAUCACUUGAGCAUGAGAAGAUGAUGGCUUUUCUAUGCUCUGUGUUUCCACCUCCACCUCGUCAACCUUGAUUUCUUAGAGACCCAUUGUUUUCAUUUUGUAAUGUUGCCAAAAGGGGGAGAUAUUUAGGAUCUAGGACUCUAUAGGAGACUUACAUGCAUAUCAUUUUCAUAUCAUUGUUUGGAUCGUACAUAUUGGAUAGUGAUACUUUUUACUUAUAUAUGAUAUGCCUAUAUGUUUCAUGUCUUACAUUGUUUCUUAUUGCAAAUUAUCUCUAACAUGUCUUGAUUAUCUUUUUUUUAACUUCAUAAAUUUUGAUUGUUAACCCAUGAUUGGUUUGAGGGGAAGAUUCUUCUUCUCCUAGAUAACCAAGGUUUGUCAUCAUAAAAAAAUUGGAGAUUGUUAGCCCAAGGGUUCUCCUAAUCAUGUUUUGAUGAUAACAAACCAUGCUUAAGUUACUAAUUGGUUUGAAUUAUAAAGAAUUUCAAGUGUUAAUUUGAAAAUUCAUCAAAGAACCUAAUGGAUGCAAGAUCAAGAUUUUUGGAAGACCUUUAAUCAUAAGAAACAUAUGUAAGAUGAAUGCAUGGGUGCACUUAAGAUUUGCAUAUCAUUUCAUGCAUAUUUGGAAAACACGGUUUAUGCUUUAAAGUUACAUUUCCAUCAAAAUUUGAGAUCCAUCAAAUGAACCUUAGGAAAAAUGUUUUAAAAUUGGCAUAUAAUUUUACCUAAAGACCUUGCCUAAGUGUUAGAAGCAAAAGGACAAAAAAAAUAUAGGUUUUCUGGUCAAAAAUGGUGAACCAGUCAAGGCAUUGUCUAAAUCAGCUCAAUCGGCCAAGGUACCGGUCGAUCGGUUUCCCUUUCCCUGUCGAGAUCUAGUCAAGAGGUACAAAAAUCACAAUCUCUGUCUCUUUCUCUCUUUGUCUAUCUUCCAGUAGUCUUUCCUUCCCGGUCGAGGGAUUUGCCUUCCCGAUUGAGGUCCGAUUGAGAGUAAUAGUCACUUGCCAAAUAUUAAAUGCUCCAACAGUUAGUGAACUGGUCGACCCCCACCUUGCCCAGUUGAGGUUACUUUUUGGUUUUCUUGGCUCCCGAUGUUAGAAACCUAUAAAUAGAGAGUUCCACUUCAUUUAUGAGCAAGAGAACACUUGCAUUUAUUUGUUUACCUACUUGUUCUUGCCUUAAAAGCUCUCAUUUCUUUUCUUGGUGCAUUAAAUCUCCAUUUUGAUAUCCUUUAGUGCACCUUUGUGAUUCAUCUUAGCCUUGAGUUGUAUUUGAGCCCUUUUUUUAGCUAGGUUGAGAGUUUCAUACUUGUUAAUUGAGUGUUAAAGCCUUCAAGUGAGUUGAAACUUGUAGAGAUUAUGUGAGAGUCGAUUGGAGCCGAAAUCCAAGUGUAAAGGUGAUUAGAAGCUUGGUUGAAGCUUCAAGUUAGUGGAAUCCUCACUCAAUUAGGAGCUUGAGGAGAGUGGACGUAGCCAAGGAAGUGUCGAACCACUAUAAAAUUUGAGUUUGAUUUCUCUAACAUUGUCUCUUUAUAUUUGUUUAUCUUGUGCUUAAAUUUAUUGUGUUUAAAAAGAAUUUUUAAAUACCCAAUUCACCCCCCUCUUGGGUGUUUUUCUCUUUUAAAAUUAGCCUUUAUUUUCUCACAAACUAUUGUAGUAUAGUGGUUUUUAGGUGUCAUCCAUUAGGAUGAAUUGUUCUCGGUAAUUAAGGCGUGAAUGAGAGGAGAAUUAAUGAUUGUGAUUAAGUAAAAUUGAUUUGAAAAUUCAUGGUGAAAAAUCAAUUUAACAAUGGUUUCUAAUUGAGAAAAACAAUGAAAUGUGAAAUAAAAUAAAAUUAAUAGGAAAUGAAAUUCUCGAAGUUAGAAUUUUCUAAAAAACAAAUUCCAUGGUGAAUGGAUGUUGAGAUCUAAUUUUCAUCAAGUUAGAUUGAAAACCGAAAUUUUCAUAUAAACUGAUUUUUUAUUUAGUUUUAGGUCUAGAUUUAAUUUCCCUUAAAAUUAGGUUAUUUAAUCCAAGAAAUCAAUUCAAAUCAUAUAUUCAAUUCAUCUUAAAUUAUCUUCCAAUUAUUCACACAAUGCAACUAUUCAAUCUCAUCAAAUCUAGCUUUUAAGAAUUUAAUGAAUCUACCUAGUUUGCAUUGUAAUAGUCAUCCAUGACAAUUUGAAGAGAAAAAUAAUUCAAUUAAUCAAUCACUUGGAUCAAAUUACCUUUGCAAUUAAAGUUCAUUUCUCUAAUUCACCACAGAUUUUGUCUCUAGAUCCUCCUUUCUCAAAGAAAAAUGAGAUUUAGCCACACAUGAUUGGAGAUUUGGUCUCAUAAGGCAUGUUUAGCUAGUGAUAAAAUGAGAGAAAAUAAAGAAAAAUAGAGAAUUCGAUUAAGAAAGAAAAUCUAAAAAAUUCUACAAUUAGAAAUGUCCAAAAAGCUUUUUCAUGAGAAAAUCAAGUUUCUAUUUAUAGGCCAAGGUCAAGUGGACACUUGACAUCAUCUAAGAGGUCUUCCGGAAGCUUCUUCAUCAAGAAAUCUGGAGUUUAAUAAUAAAAUGGUCAUUUCACAAGAGCUCAAACAAUUUCGCAUGAUUAUGUGAAAUAAAAAAUGCAACAACAGCAAUUUACAUCUUCUUGGAGCAUUUCGCAUGACUGUGUGAAAUUUUCACAUGAUCAUGUGGAAUCGACUUGACAACUCUCAUUUAGCCUACAACAUAAUUCCACCUUUUGGUCCAUUUUUCAUAGUCAUGCGAAAUGGAAAUAUUUGAUUUUUAAGUUUUCUUUUGUCAUUUCUUUCAUUUCCUUCUCUUGAUUCCACUUCAACUACCUCCGAAUCCUGGUCCAAACCAAUUGCAUUACUUCUUUCAUUAUGCAUUUGGAUCAUCAUCAACAUUAUUUGUUCUCUUCAAUUUGAUUCAUCUCUUUUGUCACCAAUUUAUCAAAAUCAUACCUUGAAAUGACUCCAAAACUUCAUAAAACUUGUUAGUAACUCUUGCAAGGGCAACAACAUAUUAAUUAAGUGUUUUAGGCAUAGUUACUACUCAAAAGAUGCGAAACUCAUGAUAAUUAUUAUAUAAAAUAUGCUCUUUUUGAGUAGUAAUCAACUUUCUUGCAUAAGCAGACCUUUUAGGGUGGAGUACUAAAGACCAAUAUGCUUGUCCUUGUUGUAAUAAAGAAACUUGCUCUUAUUGAUUGCACCAUGGGAGAAAAUUUUGCUACAUGAGUUAUCAUCAAUUUCUUCCCACCAAUCAUAGAUUUAGACGUGACAAGAGGCCUCUUAAUGGCAAGGAGGAACUGACACUCACACUUAUACAAUUAUCGGGCAUUGAUGUGUUGCAACAAUUAGAAUAACUUACACCAAUUAUGUUGGGGAAGUCACAAAAGGCAAACAUGAAAACUAAAAGGAAAAAAGAAAAAUGUUACAUAUCACCACAACUGGAAAGAAAAAAGUAUUUACUUUCAUUUGCCAUAUUGGAAAGCACUUAUUUUACAUCAUAAUAAUUUAGACAUAAUGCAUAUUGAGAAAAAUGUGUGACAAUAUAAUUGAGACAUUGUUCAGUAUUGACGAAGAAACAAGGACAACCUAAAUAGUCAUCUCGAUUUACAAGCUCUAACUAUUAGAAAUGAGAUUCACCCAAUAGAAAGCAGGACCAAAUUUAUUUUGCUUGCAACAUGCUACUCACUCACCCCAAAUGAGAUUAAGGAAUUUUGCAAGUUUUUGAAAUCAAUAAAGGUCCCCAAUGGCUAUUCUUUCAAUAUCUCUCGUUAUGUGCAACUCAAUGAAAGGAAGAUAUAUGAGCUCAAAUUGUAUGAUUGUCAUGUCCUAAUGCAACAACUUCUCUCACUUGUAGUUCGUGGAGUUCUACAUAAGAAUGUUUGUGGAGUUAUCAUAGAAUUGCGUAAUUUUUUCAAGCAAUUGUGCUCAAAGGUGUUAGAAACAAAUCACUUACACCAACUUGAGAACAAUAUUAUUGUCAUACUAUGUAAAAUGGAGCAAAUAUUUCUUCCAUCAUUCUUUGAUAUUAUGGUGCAUUUACUUGUGCAUCUAGUAAGGCAAAGGUUGCAAGACUUGUGCAAUAUUGUUGGAUGUACCUAAUUGAACGAUAUUGUUAUAAUUUCAUAUGAAUCAUUUAAUUUUAUUUUAUAUUAUGUUCAGUUCAUUAACAUGUACAUUGGUCUACAUAUGGAUGAUGAUAGGUACCUAAGCACUUUAAAGUCAUAUGUGCGUAAUAGAACUUUUCUAGAAGGUUCUAUUGUAGAAAGGUACCUUGCAAAAGAAUGUACAACAUUUUAUUCUAGGUACUUGAAUGAUGUGGAAAUAAAGUAUAAUCACAAUGAUAGAAACUUUGUUGGUUUCAACACUAGAGGAGAUGAAAGGGGUUAUCUUUAAACAUAUUGGACAUGCAUUGGGAAAGCCCAUAUUUCAUUAACUUAGUUCAAAAGAGUGGUCACAAGCACAUUUAUAUGUGUUGACAAAUUGCGAAGAUGUCAUACCAUUCAUUGAGUAAAAAAUUUAUUUGAAUUUUAAUUAAAGCUCUAGUUUAUAUCCUUAAUCAAUGUUUUUUAAAUUCACAAGGAGCACAAGCAAACCAUCAAGGCUAGACCACAUAUACGUGUUUGAGACGUAGAUUUAAUUCAUAACAAGGAAUUUAUCAAGUGGUUUGAAAGACAUGUAAGUAUAUUCCUUAUUAUAAGGGAUUUAUUUCACAUUAUGUUUAUAUUGAAUCCAAACCUAUUAUUGAAUUGUAGGUUGAACAAUUACAUAAUGAAGGUCAUAUAUCUGAACACCUUCUCACAUUAUCAUGUGUUCCAAAUUCAUUAGUUACAUGCUUCAAAUGAUAUAUUGUCAAUGGAUUUAGAUCCCACAUUAAAGAACGUGAUAAAAAAGUUUUUAAAAAAAGACUCAGAAUAAUGGAAUUGUUGUAGUUGCAAAAACGUCAAGCUUUACAAGUGCAUGUGAUAUGAGUCCAAUUAUUAGUGAUGCUCUCUACUAUGGUGUUCUAACUAAAGUUGUUGAGUUACAUUAUCUUGGUGAAAAUAAGGUUGUUUUAUUCGAGUUUGAUUGGUGGGAUGUUACAAAUAUUGGAAAAUUGAUAAAAGAUGAUGAGUACAAUUACACAUUUGUUAACUUUGCAUGAAUUCUAACCACGAACGAACGAUUUGUACUUGCAUCUCCAGCAAAGUAAGUGUUCUAUGUGAAGAAUGCGAAUGAAUCAGAUUGGCAUACUAUCAUGGAGAUGCAACCUCAAGACCUCUAUAAGAUGAACGGGAUAGGAUCCAAUGGUGAUUUUGAACCAUUUCAACAAAGUGAACUACAUGAUCACUAAUAUAUCUCAGAUUUAGUUGAUGAAGAUAUAAUCAAGUGGAACAAAAGUGAUGUUUUAGGACUAAUCAUCCUAAAAAAUAUUGUAGUUUCUUAAAAAAAAAAUGAAAAUGAAGAAGAUAAUUGAACCUUUGUCAUACUUUAAAAAGCAACUAUGCAUUGUUCAUUUUGUAUGUUUUGGUUUUCUUCAUUUAAUUUCCUGAUUUUUGUGAUUCAAUGUCAUAUUAUUGAUCUUGAAAUAUUUUUCUAAUUUUUCAUUCUACGAUGGUUUCAACAAGGAUGACAUCAAGUCAAAAAAGGAAAUGUGGUCCCACACACAAUAUUGCAUUACAGGGAUUAAGGUCAGGGAAGAAGGUAAAAGUUGCAUUUAAUGAGUACAAUCAAUUGGUUAAACAGAAAAAUGGAAAACACUUAUCGAGCUACAUAGGGACACUUGUAUCUAACCAACACAAUGUACCUCUCCAAGCUAGUGAUUGGAAAAAUGUUCCAAAUGAUGCAAAAGAGAAAGUAUGGCCUUUGUUUUGGUAUGUUGUAUUUCUCACUAUAUGAUGUCAUUUCACUGUUAUUCUAUUUUGUGACUAACGUUUGAAUCAUAUGUAAGAAAAAUUUGAAGUAGAUAAAGACUGAAAAGAUUACAUGUUGGGUAUAGCCUCAAAUAAAUAUAGAAGCUAUAAAAAUAUGAUGAAUGCAAAAUACUAUGACCCUUGGCAUAAGGAUGCAUGAGGAGAGGUUAAUACAUAAAUCACCAUUUGUCUCUGAUGUUGAUUGGAAGUGGCUUGUCUCUGAUGCAUAAACCAAAUCCCCCACUGAAUGUUUGAUAUUUGAUAGCAGGAAAAACACACCCGCAGCUAUACACCUCCAUCAUUCAGAUAAUUAUAGUGGGGGAGAUGAUUCAUGGUUGCCCUUAUACCCUUUAUUUGCACCAUCUAUUGAGAUUCUUUAUCAUGGCCAGGUUUUACUGCAGCAAUAAGAUAUGGUGGCAACAAUUUUAUCUAUAGGUGCGGUUCCAGACCGCCUCCAUAGGUGCGGUUCCUGACUGCCUCCAUAGGUGCCUCUUCUUGUAAUGUUUGUUCUGGGAAUUACACUUGAAAGCCUUAUCGUGAUAAGGGAUUACAAACACUAGUUCAGAGGACAGCCAUGUUAAACUUCCACUAUGUUUGUGUCACAUUAUCAGCAGCCUAGUGUUUAUUGGUCAUGCUAUCUGCAACUAAUAUAACCCGGUGAACUUCAAUCUAAAUUCUGAAAGUACUCAUGUGACAGAUGGUGCCUUUCAGCAGAUAUCAUCAAUUUAAAAGUAGUGUGUGUGCCUAUAGGUGGGAAGGCCUUGGCAAAUGUUCAGUAUUCCGGUAAUUCAAGAAGGAUAUAUCUAAAAUAGAUUUUCUUCUUGCCCAUUUCAAUAGUUAAAAUUUGAGAAGAUUGUGUCCACAUCACACAAAUAUUAUUGGUCCUUCUGUUGCAAUUUACCUCUGAACAUGUCUUCCAAUUCCCACGGUCCUGUUACUCCAGGAAAACUAUUUCGGUCAUAUUGAAAAAAAAAAUAUUAAAGAAGGUACACAUGCUUUUAAGUGGACUGGGGCAUUCAUAUCAGGUGGUCUGUAUCCACAUAUGCCACUUCGUGAAAGGUGGAACAGCCUAAUCACUAGGCUAUUUAGUGUGGCCCAGCCACGUUAAUCAAGCACAAGUCUUCAUACUUAAAGUCAAAUGGUGUCUUUAGUCUCAUUACACAUCGCUAUUUGAAGAUUAACUCAUCACUAGUGUAAUGCGAUUAAGACAGUCCUAACUCAAUAUUUGUUCUAGUUUUGGAUGCAAAUGCUUGCUGGUUUCAUCAUUGGAUGGGAUAAAGGUGCAAUCAGGACUAUGAAUACGUGCAGUAAUACUUCAUUCUCUUUUUUCUCAAUGAGACUUCUUGGCACAAUUUUGCUGCUCAGCAACCUACCUUUCCAUGGAAAAUCAGUUGUGACUGAUAGUAAUGGAUAUAUUCUAGAAAGCUAAACAUAGAUAGCAUUCAAUAUUAUCGAUAUAACAUUAACAGCGUAUGUCUCAAUGCUCAUCAGCUACAAGCAAUGGACAAACACUUUGAGUAACUCACAGCAGUCAAAAUUCCUAAACAGGACAGACGUGACAGAUCUAUAUAUAGAACACUGCAUAUGAGUCACAGGAAAAGAUAAUACGGGUACAUAGAAGCUCUUAUUUUACAUAUUACUCAUACUGAUCAAAGUCGCUCAGUUGGGAUGGAUGGGAGAAGGAGGUUUGAGGGGUGGCUUGUGCGGGGAAGUUGGCAGCUUCUUUCCGGGAGCUGGUUGCUUCUUUGCUGGAGUUGAAGGAGGCUUAAUCUUCCGAGGUGGCUUGUAUGAGUCUUCAGCAUUCUCAGCAGGAGGGUGACCAGGGUUGUGACCAUAAUGUGGUGGCUUCUCUCCCUUAGGUGGUUUGCCAACUGGGGUUGGUGGCUUGUUUUCUGGGAGUGGCUUCUCUCCCUUGGGUGGUUUGCCAACUGGGGUUGGUGGCUUGUGUUCUGGGAGUGGCUUCUCCCCCUUGGGAGGUUUUUCGAAUGGGGUGGGUUUGUGUCCUGGUGGUGGCUUCUCUCCCUUGGGAGGUUUACCAAUUGGGGUCGGUGGCUUGUGUUCUGGGAGGGGCUUCUCUCCCUGGGGAGGUUUAGUGGGUGGCUUGUGUUCUGGAGGUGGCUUCUCCACCGGAGGCUUAUGCUCUGGUGGUGGCUUCUCGAAGGGGGGAUGCUCAGGGUAAUCACCAAGUGAGGGGGUGGUGAGAACCACCAUGCCAAGCAACAACACUAGCAAGUAUGUAGUAGACAUCUUUGGGUUUGGACUCAGACAGUGCAAAACUACGAGAAAUCGCUAGCCCUUUAUAGCGGCUCGGACCUAAUACUGACAUAAUAUAAAAUAAAUAUUAUAUUUUAUCAAGAGAGAACAGAGUGUAAUUUUAUCAUUAAUACCGAUCGAGGCCAAAGAAAGAAGACCCAUAAUCCAUUUCCCACAAGCAUACACAAUGCAGCUGUAAUUUUAUCAUUUACUUUUAUCCCUUGGACCACUGCAUUUUUGUUGAGAGACACAAUAACACAUUUUUAUCUGUCAUUCAACAUUUACAGUAAAGAGAGGGCACAAAACGCAAUUAGAUAAAUUAUGUUUUGCCUGCUAAAAAGAGGCAAAUAACUUUAUUUGCAACAUAAUUAUUUUGGUUUCUAGUGACCCCGGGGCCUUUCGGUUGGUUUGGGAUCGGAAAAUGAACAUCAUAGGGGGGGUUGUGCCCUUAUGGGCAUAUAUAUCUGAUAGCUUCAACUGGCCUUGUUCCUAGAAAGAAAUUGCCAAAGAUAUAAACUUAUUCCAGGCUGAAAGUAGAUGAGAGUCAUAAUGAACAUCAACCUUUGUUCAGUUUGAUUCAAUGCCCCCAUAGUGUUCAUUUCACAGAUCUGAAUGAUUAUAUCCGUUGAAUACAUAAAUUAAUGAAGACAAAUAUGAAACCCAAGAUACAUCUCUGCAUAACAACCCCAACCCUGGUUGCUAUGUUUCCCUUCUUCUAUUCACAUGAGGAUACUGGUUAUAAUUGUCAAACUUGCAACAAGCCCUUUGACACCUAACGUCAAUGGACGAAUUAAAAGUCUCCUUCAAACGUCUAUUUCACAGCAUGAAGCUUAUAAAGGAUGCUGACAACCUUCAGAGUUAGCGACAAAAGAUAAUUAUCAAGGAGAGAUAGUUCCAUGAGAAUUCCAAGGAGUCUGAAUCAAAGACAAAUUGCUCACUCAAGGGUUCUUAUUUUCUUUUAGGUACAAAUCUCUUGAGUGUUGUUAAAGAAACACGUCACUGUCAUUUUGAUUUGCAUUUAACAUUUCACUUUUGUUCUGGAAGGUUUGUUCCGGAAACAUAUCAAAUGAGCAUCAUUUUCUUCUUCGGUGACACAUGGUCGCGAGUACGUGGGUCCAUUUUCAUGCCACUUAGUUGAAAAGUUGGAAAGAAAAAACAUGCCAACAAGAAGAUAGUGAGAGAAGGGGCACUUCAAGCCUUUAACAUGAACAAACAGUAAAUAAAAGAUGUUUCUCCACUCAUAAAAGUGUGUUAGAUAGCAAUAUAACGAAUCACAUCCAAAAUCUUUACUAGGCUCAAACAUAAAGAAGACUCAUUUUUAAGAAAAGAUAAAAAUGGCAUUGUCUGAUAGUAUCCAAUACACGAGAUGGCACUUAAUUUGUACAAGAUCUGUCAAUGCUGACGCACAUUUUCUGAUUAAAAAAAAACUGAUCAGUCAAAAGCAAUGAAGAGAAGUGAUGACAAUGAAUGAUGCUUCCAAUAUUUUCACCCCUUAUAGUGUUCUUCAUGAUUCAGAUAUAUAAUUGGAAAUAGAACAACCCUAUGCCAUACAUUCGUCUAAGUAUGGUGUCUAAUUUUUUGUGUCAGCGGUUGCGAAUGGAGCGUGCAAAAGUCCAAAUUGGCGUCUCUCCAUUUCCACAUAGGAAGGUGACCUUUAUUGACAAAUACCCAAUAUUUGUAGACAUUCCUUAAAUAUCAUAACUUCUUGUUGAUUUGAAAAUCAUUUUUCAACUACCAUGUUUUAAUAAAUAUUUUUUAAAAUGUAUUUUUAUCAAAGUCCACCAUGAUGGAUAAUAUUCACCAUGCAAUAAUUAAUAAAGUACAAACUAAGCGAAAUGAAAAGCAUUUUCUUUGCUUUGAGUUGAUUUUGGUUGCAUUGAGUUGAUUUUGGUUUCAUGGUUUUUUCAACUCUUAUUUUGAUUGGAAGAUGUCAAGAAAAGAAAACAUAAAGAAAAAUUAAAAGGGAAAAAAGAAGAAAAAUAAAAAAAAAUAGAUUUAAAAGUUAAUAAAUUAUUUUUUAUAUUUAUUUUAAUUCAUUUCACUUAUUUUUCUUUUACUAUAUAAAAUUUAAAUAAUUUAAAUUUUAUAAUUAAUUUAAUUACAUUUCAUUUUCUUCUAUAUUUAAAUAUUGGAAAAAUAUUUUACUUAAUAUUUUUUUCUUUAAUUUCUUUGGCAUUUUGGGAACCAAACUUAGCCUUUAAAAUAAAAAACAAAAAAAAAAUGAAAAUAAGGAGGGAAAAGUGAGAAAAGAUAAAAACAAUAUGUAAAGGAUUUGAAAAGUAUUAGUUUGUAAUUACUAUUUGGAUUUCAAUAGUAUUUUAUUUGUCUUUCUAUAUUUCAUGUAAGAGAGAAUUUAAGAUAUUCCCCAAGGCAAAGCAUUAGUUACCUGCAAUCAGUGGUGAUAAGGCUCCAAGCCAAUUUUGGGCCCCAUAUCUUAAGACAGUACAAUUUCCAUUUCAACAUUUCUGAUUUCUCAGAUGUUUCACAUACCACAGAAGAACAUUGUUUGUGAAAAUAUGCAUUUAUGUUGGAUUUUGUAUGCUGUGGGGACUGGGGCAAGGAUCAUAUGGAAGAGUGGUUGACUUUUUCUGUACUUUAACGGUUGAAAUAGGAUAAGCACGGGCAUUUGUGAGGCUUAAUUGAUUUUGAAGCCUGAAAUUGCGUUUCUGUCAUUUUGUCAAAAAAAUGGCAGAUUCCAUACUCAUAUGUUUGGCCUGUGGCCAUGUACAGAUGCCAUUUAGUGACCAGUUUGUAACUGUCAAUCGUUGCGUUUUGACUCUGCCUCAACAACAUCUGCCAUUGACGGGUUUUCAUACUUGCAAAUCAAAUAGUCUUUCGUCCCAUCAGGAAUUUCGGUUUAAAUAUUAUUAAGCAUACGUUUGGCUGACAAUCAUUAUCCAGUUCAUGAUUUGGUUUCUUACCCUUAAUCAAUGGUUUCUAAGUGAAUAUAUGUAGAAGGAAAUCCGAAGUGUAGACAGUAGUAUCGAUAACUCUCAAUAUUCUCUAUAUAAUAGAAUAAACAGCGUCAUAGUGAUCGUCGCCUACAAGCAAGGUACAAAUACCAAAACGAGUGACUCACAUAGACAUCUCCCAACAAGAUGUAGUAGUGACUGACACAUGGACACAAUUAACUCGUAGAAAAGGAUAAGACCAUUGCACAGCAGCUCUUAUUUUACAUACUACUUAUGCUAACCAAAGUCAAUUAGUUGGGAUGGGUGGGAGAUGGAGGUUUGUGCGGUGGCUUGUGGGGCGGAGUUGAUGGCUUCUUUCCAGGAGCUUCUGGCUUUUUCAUCGGAGCUGAAGGAGGCUCAAUCUUAUGAGGCGGCUUGUAUGAGUCUUCUUUACUCUCGACAGGAGGGUGGCCAGGGUUGUGAUCAUAAUGUGGUGGCUUCUCUCCCUUAGGUGGCUUGCCAACUGGGGUUGGUGGCUUGUGUUCAGGAAGUGGUUUCUCUCCCAUGGGAGGUUUAGCAAUUGGGGUUGGUGGCUUGUGUUCUGGGAGUGGCUUCUCUCCCUUGGGAGGUUUAGUAGGUGACUUGUGUUCUGGAGGUGGCUUCUCCACCGGAGGCUUGUGCUCCGGUGGUGGCUUCUUGGUUGGAGGGGGCUUGGGGUAAUCAGCAAGAGAUGGGGUGGUGAGAACCACCAGUCCAAGGAACAACACUAGCAAGUAUGUGGGAGACAUUUUUGAGUUUGGGCUGAUCAGAUGAUGCAAAACUAAAGCAUUACGUGACCUUUUAUAGCAUGUAGCUCCCAAUACCCACUAAGUAUUGUGGGGUCCAUUUGUGCCCUACGGGGUUGAAAACUUAGACAAUUGGGCAAGGACCCACCUGACUAUGGAGGACUAGUGAGGUGUGAUCAUAGCUUUAGGAUUUUUCUUCCUCUGCAGCCGUCGUGCCGUUGGCAUGAUUUUCUUAAUCUUAAAUAAAGGCAUAGUUAUAGAGUUGUUUAAUCUCUAAAUGGGAUUUUAUAUAUAUCUUCAGAUAGCCAUUAAUAUAUUUGAUGAAGAAAGAAAGACAAGUGCAUACAACAUGUAUACGACUAGCUUUCAUGGAGUUCAUUUAUGAUCAGUUUUCCUGUACAUGUAAACCAGGAUCAUAUAUAUGUUUCUGUUCCACAACUAUUUUGGAAUCUUGUUUAUCAGUUUUUAUCAUUAUAAUGUCACAUAGGCUGCCAACUUGGGCGCUAAAAGAACCAGUUGGGCUAGUUCGUUUCAGAAUUUCAAUGUGGAUUCAGGAAUUGUUUUGUAAGAUAUGCGAAAUAGUAGAGGGAUGAAUAGUGUUUCAUUAAUAAAAGUGUCCUGUAAAUUAGAAGGUGUCAUAGAAACUAUAAUCAAUAAAUAACUUUUUUUCCCCACGGGUGGUGUUUCUUGUGGGGAUCAGUGACUGGUUUAGGUUCACCCAAAAUGAGUUCAGACUAAAAUUGGUUUGAGUCAAUGCCGUGUCUCUUUUUUCCAGAAAUCAACUAUUUUAUGCAUUGAAUAAAUCAUACAAAGAAAAUAUGAACGCCCGCAAAACCUAAACCCUGGUUGCUAACUUUCUAUGUUUCAGUUCUAUUCACGCAAGAAUAUUAGUUUAAGUUUGGGAAAAAUGGCAACUUACCUAGUGAUUACUUGGUUUUGGUUUGCGACUAUUUACGCAACCAACCAUGAGUUUGACUUUAACGUCAUGGGUUGAAGCCUCCUACAGGAAGGGAGAAAGCUCCACAGCUAGCUCCAAAAGAGAAUUAUCACAUUGAUAGCUCCAGAGAUUCCCAAGGGGACUGAAUCAAAGACAAGUUCCUCACUUUUUCUUCUUUUGAGGCCAAAUAUGAACCAAGGAUCACACAACCUCAUUCAACUUCAUAAGUUUGAUUUCAUGCAGUUGAACACUGGGUGAAGGCCAUGACAAGAAUUGAUUCAAAAAUUCUAUCACUCUUUUAAGUAAUGGAAGAUUAUUAUCUCUGAUUGGCAUCACAACAGCACAUGCUCCUAGAUCUUUCUAGACACUCCAUGCAAUGAAAGCACAAUGGAUCUUGUAACGAUAGAAACUAAGCCAUGCUACAGUACUAGAUGAUGAGGUAAAACUAGUAGACACGGGUGGCAGCCUAUAUGGGAGGGACACAAGUCUAAUUGAUUUGCAUUUCAGCAUUAUAGAUAGGUAUGUUUUGGAAGAUUUGUUCUGGAAAUACCGCACCAAGUAGGAUUCUUUUUCUCUUUAGUGGGUCCACUUGCAUGCCAAUUAACGAGUUGAAAAGUAUGAGCACCUACCUCGUGCUCGUGGAACCGAAGGUCAGUGAAGUGGGGCUCCUUUUGGCCUCGUGUAAACUUGAUUCAGAAGUGAAGUUAAUAGUCUUCCAUUCAGAUGGAUACAUGGGAAUUUUUCUCUUUUAUUUAUUUAUUUAUUUUUUUUUUGUGUGUGUAUGUCAAAGGAUAAUGAAUGAAGCGCGUUAGCUUGUUUUCUGACUGGAACCGCAGAUGUCCAAAUUGGAGUUCCUUCAUUUCUUACUUAGGAUUGUUACAUGUAUAAACAAGGUAUAAGAAAUAUGCCAACGUGUCUUGAGGAGUUAUUGAUUAGAAAUAACAAGUCACCCGACUGUAGAGUUCCAAGAUUUGAAUCUUCAGACCCUAUAGCAGCCUCUGGGGUACGUGGCAUCCUAUAGCAUAUUAAUGAAGGCUUUUUCGAUUUAGACUUCACAAUACCAAUUAAUAUGUAUGCACAAAAUGGAGAUGACCCCAAAAAAAACAGAAUCGCCAUAGUUUAUGAGGUUAAGGUGAUUCUCCACUUAAUAUCUACAUUAGCUAAUUAUGUAAAUCAAAUGAACUUCUAUUUUUCCUUUUUUUUUUUGGUUUAUGUCAAAUAGUAGCCCAUAAUUAACCCAACCAUUAGCCUGUUUGAAUUGAUUUCACAUGCACAAUGUUGUAGUAGUUCAUAUUUUGAAUUUUAUUUUUACAAAGGUAGUUAAGGAAAAUGAAGUAUAAUAAUUAUAAAAGCAGACUAUAUACACUACAAUAAUUGUUAGAAUGGUAUCUCAAAUUCUAAUUUAAAAUAUUAUUUUUUGUAAAAGAAAUAUUAUAUAGAAUAUUUCCUAAUUUUAUAAAUGAUUAUAAUUAGAUCUUUAUAAAAUAAGGAAAGUUGGUAAGAAUAUCUUUAUAAAUAUUUUAGGUCAUGAGAGAAAGAAAUGGGAUAAAAAUGUGAUGAAGAGGUGAAAUAAGAGAGUUGAUUAGGAUAUAGAUGUGAAGAAGAAAGGGAUUCAAUAUAUAUAUAUCUUUCAAUUACCACAUUAAAACCCUGUGAACCUUUUAUAUGGUUUACUUUAUUUUUAUAUUCCUCCUUUAAUAUAUUUACAUUAAUGCUUCCAUUGGCACAACAAUAACGAAUUACAAAUACAAGCAACAAGUCCCAUGUUUUAUUACCAAAAGCAGGUAAAAUCCACCUAAUAUAUUACAAUAUAUUCAUCCAAUAUUUUAGACCAAUUCUUCACCAUAAAUAUCAUAAUGUGGCUUUUGUUCUUUCUUAAAUUUAAAUUGAAUUGUCUUAUAUCAAUUUGUUUGUGAUUUUUUCAUUAACUUCACUUUCAUUUGGUUAUCUUUGGUUUUUGAAAAGUAUUAAGGAAUUAAUUAACAAAAUAAUGUUAAGAAAAAUAAUUUUCUCUCUUUUGAUUUUGAUUUUGUAGUAGAAAAAUAUAAUUAAAAUUAUUUAAAAAGUAUGUAAUUUUAAAUUAUUUAAUAUUUAGAUAAAAAAAAUAAGUCUAAUGAGUUUAAAAUAACAUAUAAAAAUAAUUUAUUUAUUUUAAAUUUAUUUUUUAUUUUCCAUUAUGUUCUCUUUCUCUUUUACUUUUUCAUAUUUUUUCUUACGAAGAAUCAAACACAACCUCAUAUUAUAUGUCAAGUGUUUGUCUAUAUUUGAGCAAUGUUAGAUACGGCCAUGGAUUCAUCAAACUAAACUGAUUUUAAUAGAUACUUCACAAAUUGAUUUAUACACUAAAUCAUUGGAUAGCAAUGAUGCAUUGGAAUUAAACGUAGGAUGAAGCUCGAAGAACACUGUUUGUGUAACAACAUAUUUAUGAAAUUAUGCAAAGGAUGAGCUUCGGGGUAGUAGUACAAGGUCAUUAAUGGAGAGCCGUGUUAAACCUUGAUUGUGAUUGGAUUCCGUUAUCAGCAACAGCAACCUUGUUUGUAACCUUGAAAGUCAUUCUGUCCACAUCGAAACUCCAAUUUGACGUUUGUAAUUACCAUUCCUGGAGUGUUCCUUGAUUGAAAUUUAAAUAAUAAUUGCGGCCCACAAGGAAUAUUUUCGAUUCUGUGGGAAUUUGACAAGGUUUGUUAGAGAAGACUGGUGACAUGUUGACUUCAAUGGUUCAAAUAGGAGACGUAUGUGGAUUUGGGGGGUUUAAUUGAAACUGAGUCCCUAUGGCUUUUUAAUAUUUGCAUUGAGCAGUCUCCAUGUGACUUCCUAAUUCCCACCAACCCUCCUGUCCAUGCUGUGAAACUAAAUUGUAAUUUAUCAGCCUUUGUCAAUGGUUUCUAAAUUAAAGAUAUAGACCAUGCAUGUACUUUAAUAAAAGCAAAUCUAAAGUGUAGAUAGCAGCAAUGGUGACACCCAAUAUUCUCCAUAAAAUAGAAUUAGAAUAAGCAGUGUUACAUUGUUCAUGAUCACCUACAAGCAUACAAGAACUUCCAUGAAUAACUCAUAGCAAUUGCCAACAGGGCGUCGUAGAGACUCAUACAUAGAACACUAUCCACCCAGAGGAAAGGACAAGACCAGUGCGCUGCAGCUCUUAUUUUUCACAUGUAUACCACCACUCGUAAUAACCAAAUUCACUCAGUUGGGAUAGGUGGGAGAUGGUGGUUUGUGGGGUGGCUUGUGGGGAGGAGUUGGAGGAGGCUUUAUUUUCUGAGGCGGCUUGUAUGAGUGUGCAGGAGGAUGCCCGGGAGUGUGACCAUAAUGUGGUGGCUUCUCUCCCGUAGGUGGUUUGCCAAAUGGGCUUGGUGGCUUCUCUCCCUUAGGAGGUUUACCAAUUGGGGUUGGUGGCUUGUGUUCUGGGAGUGGUUUCUCUCCCUUGGUAGGUUUGCCAAUUGGGGUUGGCGGCUUAUGUUCUGGGAGUGGCUUCUCUCCCUUGGGAGGUUUGCUAAUUGGGGUUGGCGGCUUAUGUUCUGGGGGCGGCUUCUCUCCCUUGGGAGGUUUGCCAAUUGGAGUUGGCGGCUUAUGUUCUGGGAGUGGCUUUUCUCCCUUGGGAGGCUUGCCAAUUGGGGUUGGCGGCUUAUGUUCUGGGGGUGGCUUCUCUCCUUUAGGAGGUUUGCCAAUUGGAGUCGGCGGCUUAUGUUCUGGAAGUGGCUUUUUUCCCUUGGGAGGUUUGCCAAUUGGGGUUGGCGGCUUAUGUUCUGGGGGUGGCUUCUCUCCCUUGGGAGGUUUGCCAAUUGGAGUCGGCGGCUUAUGUUCUGGGAGUGGCUUCUCUCCCUUGGGAGGUUUUGUUGGUGGCUUGUGUUCUGGAGAUGGCUUCUCCCCUGGAGGCUUGUGCUCCGGAGGUGGCUUCUGAAAUGGCGGGGGCUUGGGGUAAUGAGCAAGAGAUGGAGUACUGGUGAGAACCACCAUUCCAAGCAACAAUACUAGCAAGCAUGUGGGAGACAUCUUUGAGUAGUUGUAGCUAAGAUGGCGCAACACUGUAGGCAUUGGGUGGCCUUUUAUAAAGGGCUGGACCCAACAGCCAUAUGACACGUGUCAUGAUGACAAAUGAAGUUGAGGGGAUCCAGAUGGGUCCUACUGAGUCGAAAACUUGCACUAAUUGAUCUGGUGAGAUGACUAUUUCUGUCCUUUUGCCCUUCUCGGCCACCCUGUGCUGUUUUCCUUUUGCACGAUUUUCGUUGCCAAACAAGCAAAUAAUAUUUCGCCAAGAAAGAGGAGAGUGAAUGUGGAAUGCAUCAAGUCCCAUCAAGGAUGGCAGAGAAGAAAUAGAAGAUUGCCCAACUGUGAUAAACAUAGCAUACACGUAGCACCAGGAACUUCAUUUACUUCCAUCUAAUGGAACAUAACAAUCUUCUAAAGUUUUUGCAUGAUUUUGUUAUAUGUCUCUUAGCCUAAAGUUGGAAAUGCGCAACAAAUUUUGUCACUUCUCUAUUUCCCACUGAUGAUGUUAAUUAGCCUUCAUAGAUAUCAUCCUUUCUACAAAGUGCUUCAUUUGUGUGUUAUUGUAAAGUGUAAGAAAAGUAAUUGAACAUGUUCUUUUUCCUUUCAUAGAUGACUUUUGAUGUGCAUUUUAAAAGCAGCGCUGUGAGUCGGUGACCUUGAUUCACACGGAAACUAAGGCUCCUAUAGGACCCACUUUUAGCUGGUUAGGGGUGAAGAAAAUAUCAACUUUUCAGAGUGAUUUAAGUCAAGGCCAAGCCUCACUGUGUCAUUACUCGUGUGAAUUUUAUAUGCACAUACAUACAUAAAUAAAGUAUGAGACCCAAAUAACACCUUCCCUUUACAAACUUAACCCCAGCCGCUCUCUUUCAAUUCUUUUCACACAAGGGUAUUGACUCUAUAAAGGUCAAGAAAAUCAUAAUUUCCUAGGGUUUACAAGGUAAUUGGCUUAAUGCUAAUGUGAAAACAUAAAAGAUAAUAGUAUAUUGUAAGCUAACGAAUAUUCUAUAGUUAUAAUUAUUUGUGAUGUGCAUAAAUAAAUCUUCAUAUAUAUAAUGGAACAAUGAAUAAAGAACCAAUGAAAAAAUACUAUAUAUCAUUGCUUGGCAUUUAAACCGUAUAUGCUGCUCUUUCUAGCUACUCCAUCCACUGAAAGACAACAAGGUAAUCCAUGUUAUAAUGAUAGAAGAUACUGUCUCUAGGCUUUUUGUGAUGAAAAAUAUAAGAUAUGGGUAGGGUUGACCCUUGUAUGUUUGUCCUAUAAACACUUCAAAGUAACAUAUUUUUCUUCUUUAGCAACUCAUAAUGAUGGGGUUCAUUUGCAUGUCACUGAGUUGAAAAGUUGGACAAUUGCCCAUGUCGCCUUCCUCCUAGAUUCCGUAGUUCACGGGAAGGUAACUCAAGUUUGACAUAUUUUGAAUUCUUUUCACUCGGACGUCUUCAUAACCUGACAAAACAAAAAUGAAAAACAGAGGAUUGGUAUAUUAUUCAUGGUAAGCCUCAAAUUAUAGUAGUAUGAGAAAGGAGAAAAAGAUUUUGGGAACUCCAAUCUGGAUAAUUCUCGUUUCUUCUCUUGAAUAAAAAUUUCACUUACCUAACUUCGUUUGGAGAAAUGGCAUAUUUUAAUUUUGUACGUCAUUGCUAAUAAAUGGAGCAAUUUAGCAUGUUUUGUGACUGAAACUGCAAAUGUCCAAUUGGCAUUUCUUCAUUUCCCACUUAGGAUCUGAUCUUGUAGACCAUAUAACGAUAUGUAUCUGUGCAAGCAUUGAAAACUAAUGUGAACUAUGAGGAGUUACAAGCCACUGGACUGUAGAGCGAGUGCCAAGAUUUAAAUCUUCAGGCUCUAUCUGGGUAAGGGGAGGAUAGCGACCUAACCUUUUACCAAAGGCUUAGAAUUUAGACUUUUGGAAAAAAAUUUCUCAUGUUUUGGCUGGAUUUCUUGUGCUUGGCGCAAAAAGGAGAUGGCCUCAAGAAAUAGCAGACUCACUUUUGUUUUCAGCCCUUAAUAAUUCUCCACUGCUUUCCAUAACUACAUGGGUUAUACAUGCAGUCUGCUGCAAUAUUCCAGUUAUAUUUAUUAUUUCAAAGAGGGUGAAUGACUUCACAUGCAAUAUGUUGCAGUAACAACCCAAAUUUUGGCACACCAUCUUAAGAAUAGAAAAGUAUAAUAAAAGAAAUCAAUCAGAGAAUCACUUUGCAUGCAGUUCAUAGAGUUCGCCCAAAAUGGAGCCACAUGUACGGACAACCCCACAAUAGACAAUCUUCUCUAUACAGUAAUAAAAUACAGAAAUGGUUAAUGAAGCUCUGUAUUUCCUUAUCAUAUAUGACCGGUUGAAAACUCAGCAAGUCUUCCUCAAUCACAGACAGUUGGAGUUGCUUCAUCAAAAUCAUGCCUUCAUUACUGGCUUCAUUUUGGUUUCAAUGUCUGUUCUACCCUUAAAUUGGGUCUCUGCUUACUACCGGGAUAUCCUUUAGCGUCCUGCAAUUCUACUAGAUUAAAGAGAAUGACUUAAUUCUGCAUUCUGCCGUCCCUAGUCCAAGUGGUACUAGAAUUGAUGUUUCCUUUAGUGUCCUUUCUUCAUACUUUCAGGUUCUUCCCUUGUUUCAAUAAUGCUGUUUUCCUUCAUGUUUAACCUCUGUUGAACCACUUAAAACAACACAAUUUGCACACCAAUGUUUCUUUACAGAAAAGACUGUUUGCAAAAAUGCACAUGUUAUAAGGUUAAUGGAAGAAUUAAUUUGGGGAUAAGGGACUAGGAUUGGGCCAAUGAAGUUUGGUGUUAAAUUUUGAUUAUGAUUGCUUUUCAUUAUCAGGUACCUUAUAUUUGCUGAUGCUAUCUGGAACUAAAUUCAAAUCAGACAUUAUCCGAUUACUAACAGGACAUAUCAUGUCCCUCUGCAGAGUUUCUAAACUAACAUGUAUCGAAAUGUGGCCCCAAAAGGAAGGCUAGGAAGAUGGAGGAUUUUGUAGGAAUCGACCAGAAUCAGAUGGAAGAGAGAUAGUCCUGUUGACUUUAAUGGUUGUGAUAGGAACAUGCAUCAUUAUAUGAGAAGUUGCAUGAAUUUAUGUAUCCUGUUAUCGUUCCUUGACGAUUUCCCAAUGCAAUUUCACUGUCCACAAGACUAACCUCUCCAUGCAGUCAAAUGAAUUGUAAUUUCUCUAUUGGUACCAGUAGUACAUUUCAUACCAAACAUAUAGUAAAUAUAAAAUAUAAAUAGAUCAAGGAAAUCUGAAUUGUAGAUAGCACUGCAAGUAACACUCAAUAUUCUCUAUAUAUAAUAAAAUAAACAGUGUCACAAUACUCAUCACCCAGUGGCAAGGGAGAAAAACCUACAAUGAGUACUCAAAUCACCAUUCUCAAACAGAAACAUAGCAGUGACUGAUACAUAGAACCUAUAUGCUCACAGGGAAAGAAUAAGAUGACCAGUGCACAGCGGGCAGCAGCUCUUAUUUUACGUACAACUCAAAUCCCAAACUAACCAAAGUCGCUCAGUUGGGAUGGGUGGGAGAUGGUGGUUUGUGGGAUGGCUUCUGGGUAGGAGCUGGUGGCUUCUGUCCCUUUGGUGGUUUGCCUAAUGAGCUUGGUGGCUUGUGCUCCGGGAGUUGUUUCUCUCCCUCGAGUAGGUUUCGAGUCUUGUCAGAUGGCUUGUGUUCUGGUGGUGGCUUCUCUCCCUGGGGUGGUUUGCCGAAUGGGCUUGGUGGCUUGUGUUCGGGGAGUGGCUUCUCUCCCUGGAGAAGGUUACGAGUUUUGUCAUAUGGCUUUUGUUCUGGUGGUGGCUUCUCUCCCUGGGGUGGUUUGCCGAAUGGGCUUGGUGGCUUGUGUUCGGGGAGUGGCUUCUCUCCCUGGAGAAGGUUACGAGUUUUGUCAGAUGGCUUGUGUUCUGGUGGUGGCUUCUCUCCCUGGGGUGGUUUGCCGAAUGGGCUUGGUGGCUUGUGUUCGGGGAGUGGCUUCUCUCCCUGGAGAAGGUUACGAGUUUUGUCAGAUGGCUUUUGUUCUGGUGGCGGCUUCUCUCCCUGGGGUGGUUUGCCAAAUGGGCUUGGUGGCUUGUGUUCGGGAACUGGCUUCUCUCCCUUGGGAGGUUCAGUUGGUGGCUGCUGUUCCGUAGGUGGUUUCUUCACCGGCGGCUUGUGCUCCGGAAGCGGCUUCUCUACCUGGAGAAGCUUACGAGUUUUGUCCGAUGGCUUGUGUUGUGGUGGUGGCUUCUCUCCCUGGGGUGGUUUGCCAAAUGGAGUUGGUGGCUUGUGUUCGGGGAGUGGCUUCUCUCCAUUGGGAGGUUUAGUUGGUGAUUGGUGUUCCGUAGGUGGUUUCUGAAGUGGGGGAUGCUUGGGGUAGUCAGCAAGAGACGAGGUAGUGAGAACCACCAGUCCCAGCAGCAACACUAGCAAGCAUGUGGAAGACAUCUUUGAGUUCAGGCUGAGAUCUGUGCAAGGAUAACAGAAUUAGGUGGCCUUUUAUAGAGGCCUGGACCCAACACCCAUAUGACACGUGUCAUGCACUCAUGGUGACACAUAAUUCUAUGGGACCAUUUGGGUCCUACAGAAGUUGCAAAGUUGGACUACUGAGGUGUGAUCACAACUUUUGUCCUUAUUGCUUUCUCUGCGGCCAUUGCACGAUUUCCUUUAGCAUCAUUUUCUUGGCUAAAUAAGCGUAUUAUAUUUGUGGCAGACCGUCCACGUGUCAUAAACAGAUAUAUUAUAAUAAUGUAGUAUGCUUUUCUCCAAUGGAACAUGACACUCUUCUAAGUCUUGUUUUAAAUAUUGUGCAGGAUUACUUUAUACGUUGCAGUUCCAAGUCAAAAUUGGUGGGCAAACGUUGGCCUUUUUUCAUUUCACCUAAGAUUAAUGCUCACCUGGGAUAGGCACUACAUGACUUAUCUGCUCUUUUACUGUAAAGUUGCUUUGUGUAUGAGAUACACCUCCCCUGCACACCCUCAACAUUCGUUGCUCUGUUUUCCUUGUGUCCAGACGAGGAUAUUAAUUGGAGGCUGACAAAACGACUGCUAGCCCAGGAUUUACAAGGUCCUGGUUUGAGGCUUCGGUGAAAGUAUUUUUGAAAAGACACACAUAGAGAUAGUGCGUUUGGUGCAAUGCAGCACUGUGAGCCAUUCUGACGCGUUCUUAAUUUCAAAACUAAUGAAUGCUUCAAAAUUUUAAGAAGUGACAUUUCCAAAUAUUUGAGUUCGUUUAAUUGAACAUUGGAUAACUAGUGAUCAUAGAUUAUUAUCUGUGCUUGGCACUAUAAGAGGGUAUAUGCUUCUUUUUCUGGCCCCUCCUUCAAGGGAGGAGGGACAAUGUGAUCUGUAACGUUAGAAGCUAUUCCAUGUCAUCUUUGGGCUCAGUUCAAAACUAAAAGAUAAUGGGGGGGGGGGGGGGGGGCAUAUCAUUUUAUAUUUCUUCUAGAAGGUUUGUUCUGGAAAUAUUUCACAGGAGCAUAUCUUUUUCUUCUAUUACGUCAUCCGCAGCCUCCAAUAGGUCGGUUAACAAGCCACCGAGUUGAAAAGUUGGAAAAAUGGGAACACAGCCCGCCUCUUGUAUUCAGUAGUUAAAUAAAAGGUCACUAGAAGUGAGAUCCCUUUUGGCGUCUUGAUUUUCAAUCCAGCACCUCUGUGACCUGACAAACCAAAAAAACUAAAAAAUAAAAAACAGUACGUGGGUUGGUGUUAAGCAUCAAGACAUGUUAAUGAAAGAAGGUAGAGAAUAGGAUAUUGAAAUCCCAAUCCUGAUAACAUGAUUUUCUUUGCUAACAACCAUAUUAUAUUUUAUCAAGAAAGAGUAAUGCAUGUGGCGUCCAUCAAGACCCAUUAGAGUUCCGCUAAAGCUAUAGUUCUGUCAACGUUAUCAUUUACGUUUCCUCUAGAUAAUGGCAUUUUCCUCUAAAGCUCUUGCACCAUUAGGCUUCAAGUCAAAAUUUCACAUGUGAACUUUGGAAAUUUUCUCCAUUUGCCCCUAAGGAUACAGUUAGAAUUGACUUAAAAUCCUGAUUGAUAUGUACUAUUAACCAAAGAAUAUUGUAUAUAAUAAUUGAAAUAUUGUUGAUUCAUCGUGGAAAUACAUUUUGUAAGGAAAGUUGUUGAGAAUUUAGUAUGCUAUAUGGAGAAAAAAGUCAUGACUUAAGGUUGUGUAUGUAUAUUCUAUAUCAAAUAUUAGGUAGGAAUGUGGGAAAGAGCAGAGUGUAAUGAUAAGAAACAAAGAAAUAUAAGAUAUUCUUGAAAGUGGAAAAUAUAAAAUGGCUAACGAGUCAAAUUUAUGAUGCGUAAGGGGGAUCAUGUCACAUAAGAAAACCAUGGCAUACUAAAGACGUACGUGUGGUAUGGAGUAAUAAUUUUGUUAAAAUAAGUUUCUUGUUGGAGUACAUUAGGUGACUAUUCAUAACGUAUCAAAUUAAAGAGUCAAGUGCAUCAAUGAAGGCAUAUGUAGAAAAUUUGUUUGUGACAUGUACCAUAAAGAUAAGAUUGACUUGAUAGAAUUUAGUCUAAGUAGGAGUUGUUAAAGGUGUCUUAAAUUUCUAAUUGAUGUAUAUUUUUUUCUAAAAAAAUAUUAUAUAGAUAUUUUAAUAAAUGAUUAAUUCUUUGUAAAAAUACUUACAUAAUAAAAAACAUCAUUAAAAAUAUCUUUAUAAAUAUUUUAAGUUACAAGAAGGAAAAAAACCACUGUGAGAUAAUGAUGAACAUGCAACACUGUACCAAGUAAAUAAAAAUGUGAUAAAAAAAAAAGAGAAACACUCGAUAAAGGAAGGCUCGUAUAUAAAGAGUAAUAUUUUUAAUCAUAUGAUAGAAUGAUUUUCUCUCAUUCAUGAAUAUAGGCAAGAUUGGGGAACCAUUAUAAAAUUUUGUACACCUCGUGUAAAUUGAUGUUUGUCUUCAUAUUUUACACCAACAAAUGACAUUGAAGUUGUCAUUGAUAAAAGGGAAAAGGCAUGCCUCCACACCAUGUGCUUGAUUCGAAUGGUUCAAGUUUGAAGAAUUUUCUCCGGAAGAUCUAAAACAUUUUCGCCUUUAAAUUUCAUUUGAUUAUUAAUAUCCGAAAAAAUAGUUAAAUACUCUUUCUAUUUUUGAGUUGUUGAAUUUUUUGAAAGUUUUUAUAUUUGUUAUCAAGAAUUUCUAUUUUAUUAAGGGUGAAUAUUUAUAAAUAAGAUAUUAUAUAAUAUUUGGAUAAGAGAGAAUGGUGGAAUAUAAUAAAGUUUUAAUCCUUCCCAAUUUUGAACCUUUUUUUUUUUUUUUGAUAUAAUCGCCUUUCUCUUGCAAUCCUAUUAUCAGGUACCUUAUAUUUGCUGAUGCUAUCUGGAACUAAAUUCCAAUCAGGCAUUGUCCAAUUACUAAUAGGACAGAUCAUAUCUCUCUGUUUCUAAACUAACAUGUAUCGUAAUGUGACCUCAUAAGGAAGGCUAGGAAGAUGGAGGAUUUUGUGGGAAGCGACCAGAAUCAGAUGGAAGAGAGAUAGCCCUGUUGACCUAAUGGCUGUAAUAGGAGAAGCGUGUGGUUUUAUGGGACUUAACUGAUACUAAACCUGUAUGAUGCUUGGAGUGGUGUUUCUUUCAUUUUGUUAAGAAAAUAUGGCAGCAUACAUGCUUUCAACUGAGUGCAUCAGAGCAUCCAUAACAGAUGGUCUGCAACCCUAGGUGCAUGCCACUUUCUGACUGAUAAUGAAAUUGUCAGGUACCUGGCCUUGACUAAGCUCAACAGCAUCACAUAAAGAGAAGCUUUCAUACUUAGAUUACUGUUUAAAGUUUUUGCUUAUUUGAUUUCUUAAUGCCAUUAUGACAUUAUUGAUUCAAUUCUGCUUCCGAUUUUCGAAGUUCUGGGCAUCUACUGAUUGCAUCAUUAUAUGAGAAGUUGCAUGAGUUUAUGUAUCCUGUUAUUGUUCCUUUGCGAUUUCACUGCUCACGGGACUAACCUCUCCAUUCAGUCGAAAUGAAUUGUAAUUUCUUUACUGGUAGCAGUAGUACUUUUCAUAGCAAAGAUAAUAGAAAAUAUGAAAUAUAAAUAGAAGGAAAUCUGGAUUGUAGAUAGCACCAUAAGUAACACUCAAUAUUCACUACAUAAUAAAUAGACAGUGUUACAUAGGUAGAGAAACCUACAAUGAGUACUCAUCACCAUUCUCAAACAGAAACAUAGCAGCGACUUAUACAUAGAACCUAUAGGCUCGCAGGGAAAGAGUAACAUGAUAAGUUCACAGCGGGUAGCAGCUCUUAUUUUACGUAUUACUCAAAAUCUCAAACUAACCAAAGUCACUCAGUUGGGAUGGGUAGGAGAUGGUGGUUUGUGGGGUGGCUUCUGGGUAGGAGCUGGUGGCUUCUUUGUUGGAGUUGAAGGAGGCAUAUUCUUCUGAGGUGGCUUGUAUGACUCUUCGGCACUCUCUGCAGGAGGGUGCCCAGGGUUGUGACCAGAAGGAGGUGGCUUCUGUCCCUUUGGUGGUUUGCCUAAUGGGCUUGGUGGCUUGUGCUCCGGGAGUUGUUUCUCUCCCUCGAGUAGGUUUCGAGUUUUGUCAGAUGGCUUGUGUUCUGGUGGUGGCUUCUCUCCCUGGGGUGGUUUGCCGAAUGGGCUUGGUGGCUUGUGUUCGGGGAGUGGCUUCUCUCCCUGGAGAAGGUUACGAGUUUUGUCAGAUGGCUUUUGUUCUGGUGGCGGCUUCUCUCCCUGGGGUGGUUUGCCAAAUGGGCUUGGUGGCUUGUGUUCGGGAACUGGCUUCUCUCCCUUGGGAGGUUCAUUUGGUGGCUGGUGUUCCGUAGGUGGUUCCUUCACCGGCGGCUUGUGCUCCGGAAGCGGCUUCUCUACCUGGAGAAGCUUACGAGUUUUGUCAGAUGGCUUGUGUUGUGGUGGUGGCUUCUCUCCCGGGGGUGGUUUGCCAAAUGGACUUGGUGGCUUGUGUUCGGGGAGUGGCUUCUCUCCAUGGGGAGGUUUAGUUGGUGGUUGGUGUUGCGUAGGUGGUUUCUGAAGUGGGGGAUGCUUGGGGUAGUCAGCAAUAGACGAGGUAGUGAGAACCACCAGUCCCAACAGCAACACUAGCAAGGAUGUUGAAGACAUCUUUGAGUUCAGGCUGAGAUCUGUGCAAGGAUAAAAGAUUUAGGUGGCCUUUUAUAGAGGGCUGGACCCAACACCCAUAUGACACGUGUCAUGCACUCAUGGUGACACAUAAUUCUAUGGGACCAUUUGGGUCCUACAGAAGUUGCAAAGUUGGACUAUUGAGGUGUGAUCACAACUUUUGUCCUACUUGCUUUCUCUGCGGCCAUUGCACGAUUUCCUUUAGCAUCAUUUUCUUGUCUAAAUAAGCGUAUUAUAUUUGUGGCAGACCGUCCACGUGUCAUAAACAGAUAUAUUAUAAUAAUGUAGUAUGCUUUUCUUCAACGGAACUUGACACUCUUCUAAGUCUUGUUUUAAAUACUGUGCAGGAUUACGUCAUAAGUUGCUUGUUCCAAGUCAAAAUUGGUGGGCAAACGUUGGCCUUUUUUCAUUUUCCCUAAUAUUAAUGCUCACCUGGGAUAGGCACUACAUGAUUUAUCUGCUCUUUUACUGUGAAGUUGCUUUGUGCAUGAGUUACACCUCCCCUGCACACCCUCAACAUUUGUUGCUCUGUUUUUCUUGUGUCCAGACGAGGAUAUUAAUUGGAGGCUGACAAAACGACUGCUAGCCAAGGAUUUACAAGGUCCUGGUUUGAGGCUUUCACGAAAGUAUUUUUGAAAAGAUACACAUAGAGAUUGCGCGUUCGGUGCAAUGCAACAAUGUGAGCCAUUCUGAAGUCUUAAAUUUCAGAUUAAUGAAUGCUACAAAAUUCUAAGAAGGGCCGUUUCCAAAUAUUUGAGUUCAUUCAUCCGAACAUCGGGUAUAUGCUUCUUUCUCUAGCCCCUCCUUGAAGGGAGGAGGGACAAUGUGAUCUGUAUCGUUAGAAGCUAUUCCAUGUCGUCAUCUUUGGGCUCAGUUCAAUACUAAAAGAUAUGGGCGGGGCCCUUAUCAUUUUAUAUUUCUUCUAGAAGGUUUAUUCUGGAAAUCUUUCACAGAAACAUAUCUUUUUCUUCUCUACGUGAUCCGUGGUUUGAAAGUUGGAAAAAUGGGUCCGUUAACAAGCCACCGAGUUGAAAAGUUGGAAAAAUGGCAACACCGCCAACCUCUUGUAUUCGAUAGUUAAAUAAAAGGUCACUGGAAGUGAGAUCCCUUUUGGCCUCUUGAUUUUCAUUCCAGCAUCUCUAUGGCCUGAUAAAUUAAAAAACUAAAAAAAAAGACAGUACGUGGGUUGGUGUUAAGCAUCAAGAGUCAAGACAUGAUAAUGGAGAGAAAGGAUAUUCAAAUUCCAGUUCUGACAACAUGAUUUUCUUUGCUGAACUACCAUAUUAUAUUUGAUCAAGAAAGAGUAGUGCAUGUGGCCAGGAUCAAGACAUACAUUAAUUUCCACAUGAUGAAGACAGUUUCUGAGAGUUUCUUCUAAAGCUCUUGCGCGAGUAGGCUUCAAGUCAAAAUCUCCCAUGUAAACACUGGUUUUUCUUUCAUUGCCACUAAGGAUGCAGUUAAUAUUGACUUAAGAUCCUACGUGAUAUAUUUUUUUAAAAGAGCUAUAUUGUAGAUAAUAUUUGAAAUAAUGUUGAUUCGUUGUGGAAAUAUAUUUGUAAGGAAAGUUGUUGACAAUUUAAUAUAGUAUAAGAAGAAAAAAGUUAUCAACUAGCUAGAGAUGAGUAUGUAAAGUGAGGCUCACGAUUCAACGCGUAAAUAUAAGAUAUUUUAAGGCUCAAUAGUUAUGAUAUCUAUUUUAUUUUUUGUAUCUCAUAUAUUCAAAGAUAUAGUAAAAUGAUUUUACAUAUAUAUAUAUAUAUAUAUAUGAACAUAACUAUUUGUGCCAAUUGAUUUUUAUCUUUAUUUUGUAUAUUAGUAAUUAUAUUAAAGUUUUUACUAAUAUAAUAACUAAUAUAAAAGCUUUUUCUAAAAGAGUCAACAGAGCAAAACACUUAUUAUAAAAAAUAAUUUUGAUUGAAGGUGGAGUCAAUUAUUCUUUAUUUAACAUGUAAUGCAUACGGCGUGUACUUCAUAACUAAAGUAUAUAAGUGUAACAUCUCUUAUAUAUUCUCAUUCAAUCUCGAAAGUGGAAAUUUUAAAAAGAUUAAACGGUUCAAAUUUGUCGUGCAUAAAGGGGAUCAUGUCACAUAAGCAAACCAUGGCAUACCAAAGACAUAGGUAUGGACUAAGAAUUUUUUUCAAAUAAGUUUCUUAUUAGGGUACAUUAAUAGGUGACUUUUUAUGACAUAUCAAAGGAGUCAAGUGCACCAAUAAAAACAUAUAUAGAAAAUUCAUGCAUGACAUGUAUCACUAAGAGAAGAUUGACUUGAUAGAGUUUAAUCCAAAUAGGAGAUUGUUAAAAGGUGUCUCAAAUUCUUGAUUGAUAUAUAUUUUUUUUAUUAAAAAGGUUAUUAUAUAGAUAUUUCAAUAGACUAUUAAUUCUUUGUAAAAAUAGUUAUAUAAUGAGGAUGGUGAUUAAAAAUAUCUCUAUCAAUAUUUUGGAUUAUAAAAAGAAAAAAAAUGAGAUAAUGAUAAACAUAUAAAACUUGUACAAGUAGAUAAAGAUGUGAUGAAAGACACUUGAUGAAUGAAGGCUUUGUAUUUCAAGAUAUAAAUAUAUGGAGCAAAACUCUUAAUUAUAUGAUCAAAUGAUUCUCUCAUAUUCAUGAAUAUAAGCAGGAUUGGGGAACCAUGAUAGAAUCUUAUAUGCCUCUCCAUGUAGAGUGAUCGAUGUUUAUCUUCAUAUUUUACACCAGUGAAUGACAUUGAAACUCUUAUUGAUAAAAGGGAAAAGGCAUGGCCUCCACCCCAAGAAAAACAAGUAACCUCGGUUUAAAUCACUAGUCUACACCCCGAAGAGAGAACUAGCCAAACCUACUAAAAGAGAAACUUAACAAUUUAGAAAGAAACCGUCCAUGAUAAAGGGCCCCUAAAGGUCCAAUUCAGUGAGGUCGUGAACAAAAACACUUUCAUGUCAAAACAGAGAUAGGUACCACCAAAAUGUAAAGGGAAAGAUGUAAACCACGUCGAACUUUGGUAAUCAAUGGUAAAGAUAGCAUGAUAGCUAAAAGCACUAAAGCUGUGCUUGGUAUGCAAAAAUGAAAAGUGGAAAUCAGCGUCUUAUUCUUUUUCACCUUUAUUCACAUAUUAGGAUAACUAAUAUCUAAUGUUUUUUAUGUCUCAAAUUCUAUUCCAUGUUAUGGUAAACUUUCAUCUUGUUUAGAUCACUUUUGUCUGGUUUGGGCUCAAGACGAUAAGCCUAUAGAGACUUCAUAUUGGGUUGAAUCGAUGCCCUUGAUCUGAUCUGUUCGUUAGAAAAAUCUGAAUUAUUAUAAGCAUUUAGAUAAAAAAUAAAUAAAUGUGAAACACAAACUACUCCCUGCACAACCUUGACCCUAGUUACUCAGUUUCACUGCUCACAGGACUAACCUCUCCAUUCAGUCGAAAUGAAUUGUAACAAGAAGAUUUUUGACAGGAGGACGGUAGUUUAAAAUAAUAAUUUCUAAAGUACUUUUGUGAAAAAAAAUAAUUCCAAACGUGGAUUUUAUCAAGUAAAAAGAAAAAAAAAAGUUAUUUUCUUUUAAAAUCUGUUCUUCUAAAGAUGAUAUAUAUACCAAAAAAAAAAAUUGUUUUCUGAAGGUAAAAUUUUUAAAAUUCAUUUUUAAAAAAAUUUACACACUAAAAUUAUCUUUUCAAGAGAAGAUUUUUUUAAUUUUAAAUAAUUAUUAAUUUAUAAUUAAUUUGUUAUUAAUUAUUUAUUAAUUUUUUUAUUUGAAAAAUGCAUUUAUAAAAAACAAAUUUGUUAUUAAUUUAUUAAAUAAUUUUUACAAAAUAAAUAAUUUUUUUUUAUUUUAAUUUUAAAAUUAAUUUUAUUAUAUAAAUUUUAAAAUUAAAAAUAUUAAUAUUUAAUUUAAAAUUUAACUAUAAAAGGAAUAAAAUAUAGAAAAAUAAAUUAAUUUAUUAUUCAAUAAAUUAAUUUUCAAUAAAAUUUUCAGCAUUAAGAGAUAAAUUUUUAAGUAUUAAUCAAUUUAAAAAGAAAUAAUGAUCAUUUGUAUAUUAAGAUAUUUUAUUUAGUAAUUAUGAAUGAUAAACAACUAAAGUAAUUUGAAAAAAUAAUAAAAUAUUUAAAAAAUAAUAAUUUAAUACACGUAAAAUUAGAAAUGAUUAACUAUUUUUUAUUAAGAAAAAAUUGAGGAAAUAUUUUGUUAUUUAAAAUUUUUUAUUUGUUUUCAAUUUUUAAUGUUAUAGGUUUCAAGAAAAUUGAUCAAAUAAAAAUUAAGAAGUCAUUUUUUCAAAAACUAUAUAUCUAAAUAAAAGCCUUGAAAUUCAAAUACACAAUAUCAUAAAUAUAAACACCAAGUCAAUCCUUAAUUAUCAAAUGUUUUUAAUAUUAAAGAAUCAAAAUCACCUACUAUCAUGAUAAUAAGAAAACCAAUAAUAUUGUUCAUAUAAAUACUAAAAAGCUAACAAAUAUCCCAAACAAUUAAUAAAGUAUCAAACAUGAUAAAAAGUCAAUUAUUAUCAUGAAUGCAAAAAAUCAAUAAUUUUGUUUAUAUGAACCAUCAACAAAGAAAAAAAAAAUCAAUAUCUAAAUAUUAAACAUAAUUUAUAUUUUUAUAAAUAUUAUUGUUGAUAAAUAUCUUAACAAUUAUAAUUUUAGUAAAUAAAAUUAAUUAAUUUUAGUUUAAGAAUUAUUUUUUUAUACUUUCGUAUUCUUAUCAAAAAUCCCCAUUUUGCAUGUCUCCUUUGGCAUGACUUUCUUACCUAAACAAGCAUAUAUAUAUAUAUAUAUAUAUAAAAUAUUUGGUUAAGAAAGAGUACUAAAGUUUAUAUGGCACACAUCAAGAUAGAAACAGAAGUGGAAGAUAAUCCAAAUGUAUGAACAGAUAUAUUAUAUCCAUGUAGUGGUAGUGACUUCAUUAUUUACUUUUAUCUAAUGGAGCAUGACACACUUCUUCUGAAUAUUUUGCACGAUUAUGUUAUGUGUCAGCUUGUUCUAAGUCAAAACUAGUGAUAAAAAUCGGUUUUUUUUGCAUUUCCUUCAUGAAGAUGGCACCUGGAUGGGGCACUACAUGAGUGGCAUAGCACGAAGUGAUUUAUCUGCUCCCUUUACUAUAAAGUGCUUUGUGUAUAAGUUACACCUCCCCUGCACUGCCUCAACAUUUGUUGUUCUGUCUUCCGUCUGUCCAAACGAGGACAAACGUAUGUUGUAGGUUGACAAAACCACAGCUAGCCUAGGAUUUGCAAGGAUCUAGUUUGAUUCGUAUGCAAAAGGAUUGGUGAAAAGAUUCACAAAGAUAAUGCUUUUUGCAAUGCAAUCUUGUUCUAAUUCAACAGUGUGGACCAUUUUCAUGUAAUGCUUCAACUAGAUGUCAGUUUCAUGAAUUUUUGUUCAUCUAAUUGAUCACUGGAUAGGCCAUAACCCGAAGAAAUUCAAAAUUCCCUUCAGUACUGUAGCUAAGGAAAGAUCCCUAUCUACCACUGGGAUUUUAAGAGGGUAAAAAUGUAGGUGGGUGCCUAUAUCAUUUGCACUUCACUAUAGGCCUCUUUGGGAAGAUUUCUUCUGAAGACAUUUCAAAGAAACAUAUUUUUCUCUUCUCUCCGUAAACGGCAGCUGCAAGUCAGUCCAUUCACAGGCCACCGAGUUGAAAAGGCUGGAAAAUUGGCCAAAGCACCCGCCUCCUGGAUUCCAUGGGUAAGGAAAAGGUCACUGGAGGUGUGAUCCCUGUUGGCCUCUUGAUUUCCAUUCCGCCAUCUAUAUGACCUGAUAACCCAAAAACACAGAAGGAAAACGUCACCUGGGUUCAUAGUAAGCAUCAAGUCAUGAUAGAGACCAGACAACAUGACCAACAAAGAGUAGCGAAUGGGGCCAACAUCAAGCCCCAUUACGGUUAGAAGAUGGAAGAAGUAGAAGACAAUCCAAUUCUGAUAGAUUCGGGCAAAUGUAGUGCUGUUCAAACUUAAUCAUUUACUAUUUCUUCAUGAAUCACGGCAUUUUUCUUCUGAAAAUUUUCCAAGAUUAGGCCUCUGAAGAAAAAUUUCAUAUGUAAAUUGGUAUAUUAAGGAAAAGGCGUUACAAAGGUGAAAAAAAACCAAUCAAAUCUUAUAUAUGACAUCUCAAAAAUAUGAACUUGCUAUAAAUAUUUAAAAUCAAAAUCUUGCACAUCACCUCGUAGUACGAACUUGCUAUAAAACUUGAAAAUCAAGAAGAAAGGGGCAGUAUUGGACGAGACUACUUAGCACAUAUUAUUAUGAUGUUUUUUCAUUUUCUUAAUGUUGUUUUUAUGUCUUAAAUUCUAUUAUUCUAUGUUACGGUAAACAUUCAUCUUGUUUGUGUGGAAUAGGAUCACUUUUCUCUGGGUUGAGUCGAUGCCCUUAGUUAAUUUGUUCAUUUGAAUAAACUAAAUUAUUAUAAGUAUUUAGAUAAGAAAAACGUGAUACAUAAAUUACGCCUCUCGGCACAACUUCAACACUGGUUACUCUGUUUCAGUUUCCUCACACAAGAUUAUUGGUUCUAGGGUUUAUUUGGUUUUGGUUUGAUUCUAAUUGCUAAACUUUCUCAAGGAAGAUGUUAUAUAGGGAGUGAGAAACCUUCACUCUUGGCUACCUCCAAGAGAAGAGCAAGUGGUCUGAAUCAAAGAUAUACUGCUCACUUUUUCUUCUUCUAAGGACAGCUAUGACCUUGCUUUAAGGUUCGAAUAGCCUAAUGCAACCUCCCAUUUCUCAAGUCAGCUGAUGAUGUAAGUCACCUUGGCUUUCCACAUUCAUACGGUGAGGACGUUUGUGGGUGUAAUUCUCUUAACAGUUUUCAUUUUAUAUGGAAAAAUUCAUAAUUAAGGGUAAUUACUGAUUCCAUUUGACAGUGACCAAGUUUAAAAUAUUAAUUCAUAUAUUAAAUGCACAUUAAAAAAUCAUGGAAUAAAUAUAUUUACUAAUAUAUAGUUCUUUUGCCAUGUUCUGUCACAGAAGCAUCGAACUUUCCCUAGAAAUUUUUGCAUGGUAUUCUACUUAUGAUUUUGAAAACUCUAGGCACCUGAGGCCACUAAUUGCAUGGUUGGAUGAGGAGCUGCAUGAGAUUAUGUAUCGUGUUGUUCCUUAACUACAAAUAUCAGUUUUAAGUAGCAUCUCCAUGUGACAUUUUCCUGAUGCAAUUUCGCUGUCCACCAACAAAUUUCACCAUGCAGCAAGAUGAAUUGUAAUUUCUUUAUUGUUAUCAACAGCUUUAAUUAAUCUUGAUAUAUAUAUAUAACUUAGUAGAAGUAUAUUAAUCUAGAUUGUAGUUGCACUAAGAUAAUAGGCAAUAUUAUAACAGUGCCACAAUGCUCAUCGCCAAAUAGAAAGGUAGAAAAACUACAAUGAGUAACUCACAACAUUCUCAAACAGGACAUAGCGGCGACUGAUACAUAGAACACUAUUGGCACUCAGGAAAUGAUAAGAUCAGUGCCCAGCAGGCAGCACGUCUUAUUUUACAUACUACUUAAAACUAACCAAAGUCAUUCAGUUGGGAUGGGUGGGAGAUGGUGGUUUGUGCGGUGGCUUUUGGGUAGUUGGUGGCUUCUUUCCUGGAACUGAUGGUUUUUUUGUUGGAGUUGAAGGAGGCUUAAUCGUCUGAGGUGGCUUGUAUGAGUCUUCAGCACUCUCUGCGGGAGGGUGCCCAGGGUUGUGACCAUAAUGGGGUGGCUUCUCUCCCUUAGUUGGUUUGCCAAGUGGGCUGGCUGGCUUGUGCUCCGGGAGCGGCUUCUCUCCCUUAGGUGGUUUGCCAAAUGGGCUUGCUGGCUUGUGCUCUGGGAGCGGCUUCUCUCCCUCAAGAAGUUUACGGGUUUUGUCAGAUGGCUUGUGUUCUGGUGGUGGCUUCUCUCCUUGGGGUGGUUUGCCAAAUGGACUUGGUGGCUUGUGUUCGGGGAGUGGCUCCUCUCCCUUGGGAGGUUUAGUUGGUGGCUGGUGUUCCAUAGGUGGUUUCUCAACCGGGGGCUUGUUCUCCGUUGGUGGUUUAUGAACUGGGGGAUGCUUGGGGUAGUCAGCAAGAGACGGGGUGGUGAGAACCACCAGUCCCAGCAGCAACACUAGCAAGUAUGUGGAAGAGUACAUCUUUGAGUUCAGGCUGAGAUUUGUGCGAGACUUGAAGAAUUAGGUGGCCUUUUAUAGCUGGCUGCACCCAACACUCACAUGACACGUAUCAUGGUGACACAUGUGCUAUGGGUCCAUUUGGGUCCUACAGAAGCUGAAAACUUUUGACUAUUGAGGUGUGGUCACAACUUUUGUCCCUAUUGCUUUCUCCGCAACCGUUUUACAUGUUUCCUUUGGCAUAAUUUUCUAAGCUAAACAAGCAUAUAUCAUAUUUGGUUAAGAAAGAGUAAAGUGUAUAUGGCACACAUCAAGGAAGAGAAACAGAAAAAGUGGGAGACAAUCAAUUGUGAUAAACAGAUAUAUUAUAUUCAUGUAGUACUAGUGACUUUAUCAUUUACUUUUAUCCAAUAGAUCAUCACUCUUUCUUCUAAAUAUUUUGGAGGAUAAUGGUACAUGUUGCUUGUUUCCAAGUCAAAAUUGGUGGCAAAAAUCGGCAUGAUACGAAAGGAUUGGUGAAAAGAUUCACAUAGAUGGUGCUUUGUGCAAUGCAGUCUUGCUCUAAUUCAACAGAGUGGACCAUGGUGAUGUAUUUUAAAUUUUAAAUUUUAAAUUAAUGCAUGCUUCAAAGUUUUAACUAGAUGUCACUUCCAUGGAUUUUUGUUCAUUUAAUUGAGCACAGGAUAGGCUAUCAAACUUGAAGUAAUAUAAAAAUCCCUUCAUUACUGUAACUAAUGAAAGAUCAUUAUCUGCGCUUGGUAUUUUGCCAAGGUAUUUGCUGCUCUUUCUAGCCCUGUCUUACAGUUAAGGACAAUGUGAUCUAGUUAACCUUAGAAGCUAUUCCAUGUCAGAUACAAGAGAUCAAGCACAUUAUCUUUGGGCUCAGUUCAAAACUAUAAUAUAUGGGUGGGGUGGAGGCCCAUAUCAUUUGCAUAUCACCACUAUUGGUUUAGUUUGGAAGGUUUCUUCUGGAAGAUUGCUGCUUUCUGGAAUCAUUUCAAAGAAAUAUAUCUUUUUGUUCUCUUGGUGACGAGCAGCGGCAAUCAAGUCUGUUGACAAACAACCGAGUUGAAAAGUUUGAAAAUUGGUCACAGCCCACGUCCAUGGUUAAGGAAAAGGUCACUGGAAGUGAUCCCUUCUGGGCCUCUUGAUUUCCAUUCUGACAUCUAUAUGACCUGAUAAAUAGAAAGAAAAAAAAACAGAAGAAAAGCGGCACCCGGGUUCAUAGUAAGCAUCAAGACAGGAUACUGAAAGAAGGGAGAAAGGAGAUUGCAAGUCCAAUCCUGAUAAAAUGAUCAACAAAGAGUAUCAAAAUGGGGCCAACAUAAAGACCCAUUGAGGUUAGCAGAUGGCAUGGCAUUUUUCUCCUUAAGUUUUCCAUGAUUAGACUUGAAGUCAAAAUUUCACAUGUAAAUUUGUAUUUCUACAUUUCCCACUGACGACACCCAACUUCAACUUGAGUUAGAAUAACAUUGUGUGAACUUAUCUGGCCCUCAAAAUUUACUGUGAAGUGCUUUCUGCGUGUGAAGAUUCAGAAAAGCACCAAGGGAACAUGUAUGGUCUGCCUUUUUCUGAUGUUAUGUUUGUCUCUAAUUCUGUUCCAUGUCAUGGUAAAUGUUCACAUUGCUUGUAUGGAACACACCAGGAUCACUUUUUCGGGUUUAUUUUGAGGCUUCAUAUUGGGUUCAUAUUGGGUUCAAUGCUUUUAAUGUGUUCAUUAGACAAAUCUGAAUUAUCAUAUGCAUUUAGAUAAGAACAAUAAUGUGAAACCCUAGUUACACCUCCCCUGCAUAACCCCAACCCUGCUUACUCUAUUUCAGUUUACUCACACAAGUUUUACCGGUUCUUAUAAGUCAAGAAAAGGCAACUGAUGUUGGAUUGACUCUCUUCCAUGUAUAAAAAGCAACUUUUAUAUAUACAUAAAAUAACUUCUUCCCCUCACCAAUGUGGGAUAUCAUGGAUUUAUUCUGGAAACACAUCAAAGGAACAUCUUUUCUCUUGGGUGACCCUAAGUGGUGAGUCAGACCAUUUGCAUGCCAUUGAGUUGCACAGUUGGAUAAAUGCACCUACCUCCUGGGCUCCAGAGUUAAAAGGGUGGAUCCCUGGAUCGCAACCCUCUUGGCAUCUUGGUUUCCAUUCCAACAUCCACAUGACUUGACAAAACAAAAAACAGAAUAAAAUCAUCACUAUUUUCAUGCUAAGCACCAAUACAUGAUGGAAAUCAUUGCUUAAAGAUUUGGGGUCAUUUAGGUUUUGACUGCCUCCUAACACCUCACCUAAUCACAAGUUUUUAUGCUUACAAAUCAAAUAUCGUUCUUCAUUAUAUUAAAAUCAUUUUAAGAUUUCAGAUCCAUCUGCUAAUUAUGAUUAUGAUAACAUUAAUUCACCUGUGCUUCUCAUUUUCGACACACAAGGCAUCUAGGUUUGCAGGAUUUCCUUAUUAGAUGAGAUAAAUGAGUACGCAUGGUUAUGUAUGCAGCAUUCAUUAACCAUGGUAUGUGACAUUUAGAAUUAAGAUAGCAAGCAAACUUUCCCUGCAGCUUGAGUAAAUUGUGAUUUCUUAGCCUCUAUGAGUGGUUCCCAAAUCAAAUUAACAUAGUGAAAUAUACGUAGUCCAGUGAAAGGAAAUGUAAAUUAUAAACUAACAGCACUACACUACUGGUAACACUCGAUACUCUCUAUAUAAUGCAAUGAAAUAUACGUUAUACGUUGCUUGUUCCAAGUCAAAAUUUGUGGCCAAACGUUGGCCUUUUUUCAUUUUCCCUAAGAUUAAUGCUCACCUGGGAUAGGCACUACAUGAUUUAUCUGCUCUUUUACUGUAAAGUUGCUUUGUGUAUGAGUUACACCUCCCCUGCACACCCUCAACAUUUGUUGCUCUGUUUUCCUUGUGUCCAGACGAGGAUAUUAAGUGGGGGCUGACAAAACGACUGCUAGCCAAGGAUUUACAAGGUCCUGGUUUGACGCUUCCGCGAAAGUAUUUUUGAAAAUAUACACAUAGAGAUUGCGCGUUCGGUGCAAUGCAACAAUGUGAGCCAUUCUGAAGUUUUUAAUUUCAGAUUAAUGAAUGCUACAAAAUUCUAAGAAGGGCCGUUUCCAAAUAUUUGAGUUCAUUUAUCCGAACAUCGGAUAAGUAAUGAUCAUAGAUUAUUAUUAUUAUCUGACGUUCUUAUAAUGGUUGGCAUUAUAAGAGGGUAUAUGCUUCUUUCUCUAGCCCCUCCUUCAAGGGAGGGACAAUGUGAUCUGUAUCGUUAGAAGCUAUUCCAUGUCGUCAUCUUUUGGCUUAAGUCAAUACUAAAAUAUAUGGGCGGGGCCCCUGUCAUUUUAUAUUUCUUCUAGAAGGUUUGUUCUGGAAAUCUUUCACCGAAACAUAUCUUUUUCUUCUCUACGUGAUCCGUGGUUGGAAAGUUAGAAAAAUGGGUCCGUUCACAAGCCACCGAGUUGAAAAGUUGGAAAAAUGGCAACACCGCCAACCUCUUGUAUUCGAUAGUUAAAUAAAAGGUCACUGGAAGUGAGAUCCCUUUUGGCCUCUUGAUUUUCAUCCCAGCAUCUCUAUGUCCUGAUAAACUAAAAAACUAAAAAAAAAACAGUACGUGGGUUGGUGUUAAGCAUCAAGAGUCAAGACAUGAUAAUGGAGAGAAAGGAUAUUCAAAUUCCAGUUCUGACAACAUGAUUUUCUUUCCUGAACAACCAUGUUAUAUUUGAUCAAGAAAGAGUAGUGCAUGUGGCCAGGAUCAAGACAUACAUUAAUUUCCACAUGAUGAAGACAGUUUCUGAGAGUUUCUUCUAAAGCUCUUGCGCUAGUAGGCUUCAAGUCAAAAUUUCCCAUGUAAACACUGGAUUUUCUUUAAUUGCCACUAAGGAUACAGUUAAAAUUGACUUAAAAUCCUACGUGAUAUAUAUCUUUAACAAAAGUAUAUUGUAUAUAAUAUUUGAAAUAAUGUUGAUUCGUUGUGGAAAUAUGUUUGUAAGGAAAGUUGUUGACAAUUUAAUAUAGUAUAAGAAGAAAAAAGUUAUCAACUAGAGAUGAGUAUGUAAAGUGAGGCUCACGAUUCAACGCGUAAAUAUAAGAUAUUUUAAGGCUCAAUAGUUAUGAUAUCUAUUUUAUUUUUUGUAUCCCAUAUAUUCAAAGAUACAGUAAAAUGAUUUUAUAUAUAUGAACAUAGCCGAUAGUAUCAUGUUAAAACCUUAUAUGACUCUUUGUGCCAAUUGAUUUUUAUCUUUAUUUUGUGUAUUAGUAAUUAGUAUUAAAGUUUUUACUAACAUAAUAAUUGAUAUAAAAGCUUUUUCCAAAAGAGUCAAACAGAGCAAAACACUUAUUAUAAAAAGAAUUUUGAUUGAAGGUGGAGUCAAUUAUUCUUUAUUCAACAUGUGAUGCAUACAGCGGGUACUUCAUAACUAAAGUAUAUAAGUGCAACAUCUCUUAUACAUUCUCAUUCAAUCUCGAAAGUGGAAAAUUUUAAAAGAUUAAAUGGUUCAAAUUUUCCGUGCAUAAAGGGGAUCAUGUCACAUAACCAAACCAUGGCAUACCAAAGCCAUGAUAUGGACUAAGAAUUUUGUUAAAAUAAGUUUCUUAUUAGGGCACAUUAUGUGACUAUUUAUGACAUAUCAAAGGAGUCAAGUGCAUCAAUAAAGACAUAGAAAAUUCAUGCAUCACAUGUACCACUAAGAGAAAAUUGACUUGAUAGAGUUUAGUCCAAAUAGGAGAUUGUUAAAAGGUGCAUCAAAUUCUUGAUUGAUAUAUAUUUUUUUUAUUAGAAAGGUUAUUAUAUAGAUAUUUCAAUAGACUAUUAAUCCUUUGUAAAAAUAGUUAUAUAAUGAGGAUGGUGAUUAAAAAUAUCUCUAUCAAUAUUUUGGAUUAUAAAAAGAAAAAAAAUAUGAGAAAAUGAUAAACAUAUAAAACUUGUACAAGUAGAUAGAGAUGUGAUGAAAGACACUUGAUGAAUGGAGGCCUUGUAUUUCAAGAUGUAAAUAUAUGGAGCAAAACUCUUAAUUAUAUGAUCAAAUGAUUCUCUCAUAUUCAUGAACAUAAGCAGGAUUGGGGAACCAUGAUAGAAUCUUAUAUGCCUCUCCAUGUAGAUUGAUCGAUGUUUAUCUUCAUAUUUUACACCAAUGAAUGACAUUGAAACUCUGAUUGAUAAAAGGGAAAAAGCAUGGCCUCCACCACAAGAAAAACAAGUAACCUCGGUCUAAAUCACUAGUCUACACCCCGAAGAGAGAACUAGCCAAACCUACUAAAAGAGAAACUUACCAAUUUAGAAAGAAAUCUUCCAUGAUAAAGGGCCCCUAAAAGUCCAAUUCAGUCAGGUUGUGAACAAAAACACCUUCAUGUCAAAACAGGAAUAGGUACCACCAAAAUGUAAAGGGAAAGAUGUAAACCAAGUCGAACUUUGGUAAACAAUGGUAAAGAUAGCAUGAUAGCUAAAAGCACUAAAGCUGUGCUUGGUAUGCAAAAAUGAAAAGUGGAAAUCAGCGUCUUAUUCUUUUUCUCCUUUAUUCACAUAUUAGGAUAACUAAUAUCUAAUGUUUUUUUUAUGUCUCAAAUUCUAUUCCAUGUUAUGGUAAACUUUCAUCUUGUUUAAGUGGAAGAGUAGGAUCACUUUUGUCUGGUUUGGGCUCAAGACGAUAAGCCUAUAGAGACUUCAUAUUGGGUUGAAUUGAUGCCCUUGAUCCGAUCAGUUCGUUAGAAAAAUCUGAAUUAUUAUAAGCAUUUAGAUAAAAUAAAUAAAUAAAUGUGAAACAGAGACUAUUCUCUGCACAACCUUGACCCUAGUUACUCAGUUUCACUGCUCACGGGACUAACCUCUCCAUUCAGUCGAAAUGAAUUGUAAUUUCUUUACUGGUAGCAGUAGUACUUUUCAUAGCAAAGAUAAUAGUAAAUAUGAAAUAUAAAUAUAUAGAAGGAAAUCUGGAUUGUAGAUAGCACCAUAAGUAACACUCAAUAUUUACUACAUAAUAAAAGAGAUAGUGUUACAAAGGUAGAGAAACCUACAAUGAGUACUCAUCACCAUUCUCAAACAGAAACAUAGCAGUGACUUAUACAUAGAACCUAUAGGCUCGCAGGGAAAGAGUAACAUGAUAAGUGCACAGCGGGUAGCAGCUCUUAUUUUACGUAUUACUCAAAAUCUCAAACUAACCAAAGUCACUCAGUUGGGAUGGGUAGGAGAUGGUGGUUUGUGGGGUGGCUUCUGGGUAGGAGCUGGUGGCUUCUUUGUUGGAGUUGAAGGAGGCGUAAUCUUCUGAGGUGGCUUGUAUGAGUCUUUGGCACUCUCUGCAGGAGGGUGCCCAGGGUUGUGACCGGAAGGAGGUGGCUUCUGUCCCUUUGGUGGUUUGCCUAAUGGGCUUGGUGGCUUGUGCUCCGGGAGUUGUUUCUCUCCCUCGAGUAGGUUUCGAGUUUUGUCAGAUGGCUUGUGUUCUGGUGGUGGCUUCUCUCCCUGGGGUGGUUUGCCGAAUGGGCUUGGUGGCUUGUGUUCGGGGAGUGGCUUCUCUCCCUUGGCAGGUUCAGUUGGUGGCUGGUGCUCCGUAGGUGGUUUCUUCACCGCCGGCUUCUCUCCCUGGAGAAGGUUACGAGUUUUGUCAGAUGGCUUCUGUUCUGGUGGCGGCUUCUCUCCCUGGGGUGGUUUGCCAAAUGGGCUUGGUGGCUUGUGUUCGGGAACUGGCUUCUCUCCCUUGGCAGGUUCAGUUAGUGGCUGGUGUUCCGUAGGUGGUUUCUUCACCGGCGGCUUGUGCUCCGGAAGCGGCUUCUCUACCUGGAGAAGCUUACGAGUUUUGUCAGAUGGCUUGUGUUGUGGUGGUGGCUUCUCUCCCUGGGGUGGUUUGCCAAAUGGACUUGGUGGCUUGUGUUCGGGGAGUGGCUUCUCUCCAUUGGGAGGUUUAGUUGGUGGUUGGUGUUCCGUAGGUGGUUUCUGAAGUGGGGGAUGCUUGGGGUAGUCAGCAAGAGACGAGGUAGUGAGAACCACCAGUCCCAGCAGCAAUACUAGCAAGGAUGUGGAAGACAUCUUUGAGUUCAGGCUGAGAUUUGUGCAAGGCUAGAAGAAUUAGGUGGCCUUUUAUAGCGGGCUGGACCCAACAACCAAAUGACACGUAUCAUGAUACACAUAUGUGUUAUAAGAUCCUUGUGGGUCCUACAGAAGUUGAAAACUUUGACAAUUGAGGUGUGAUUACAACUUUUGUCCCUAUUGCUUUCUCGUCAGCCGUUUUGCAAGAUUUUUGACAGGAGGACGGUAGUUUAAAAUAAUAAUUUCUAAAGUACUUUUGUGAAAAAAAAUAAUUCCAAACGUGGAUUUUAUCAAGUAAAAAAAACAAAAAAAAGUUAUUUUCUUUUAAAAUCUUUUCUUCAUGAUUCAUAUACCAAAAAAAGAAUUGUUUUCUGUAGGUAAAAUUUUUAAAAUUCAUUUUUAAAAAAAAAAAAUUACACACUAAAAUUAUCUCUUCAAGAAAAUAUUUUUUAAAUUUUAAAUAAUUAUUAAUUUAUAAUUAAUUUUUUAUUAAUUAUUUAUUAAAUUUAUAUGUGAAAAAUGCAUUUAUAAAAAACAAAUUUUUUAUUAAUUUAUUAAAUAAUUAUUUACAAAAUAAAUAAUUUUGCUUUAUUUUAAUUUUAAAAUUAAUUUUAUUAUAUAAAUUUUAAAAUUAAAAAUAUUAAUAUUUAAUUUAAAAUUUAACUAUAAAAGGAAUAAAAUAUAGAAAAAUAAAUUAAUUUAUUAUUCAAUAAAUUAAUUUUCAAUAAAAUUUUCAGCAUUAAGAGAUAAAUUUUUAAGUAUUAAUCAAUUUAAAAAAUAAUAAUAAUCAUUUGUAUACUAAGAUAUUUUAUUUAGUAAUUAUGAAUGAUAAACAACUAAAGUAAUUUGAAAAAAUAAUAAAAUAUUUAAAAAUAAUAAUUUAAUACACUUAAAAUUAGAAAUGAUUAACUAUUUUUUAUUAAGAAAAAAUUGAAGAAAUAUUUUGUUAUUUAAAAUUUUUUAUUUGUUUUCAAUUUUAAAUGUUAUAGGUUUCAAGAAAAUUGAUCAAAUAAAAAUUAAGAAGUCAUUUUUUCAAAAACUAUAUAUCUAAAUAAAAGCCUUGAAAUUCAAAUACACAAUAUCAUAAAUAUAAACACCAAGUCAAUCCUUAAUUAUCAAAUGUUUUUAAUAUUAAAGAAUCAAAAUCACCUACUAUCAUGAUAAUAAGAAAACCAAUAAUAUUGUUCAUAUAAAUACUAAAAAGCUAACAAAUAUCCCAAACAAUUAAUAAAGUAUCAAACAUGAUAAAAAGUCAAUUAUUAUCAUGAAUGCAAAAAAUCAAUAAUUUUGUUUAUAUGAACCAUCAACAAAGAAAAAAAAAAUCAAUAUCUAAAUAUUAAACAUAAUUUAUAUUUUUAUAAAUAUUAUUGUUGAUAAAUAUCUUAAUAAUUAUAAUUUUUUAUAUAUUAAAUUUAGUAAAUAAAAUUAAUUAAUUUUAUAAUAUAAGAUAUAUAUAAUAAUUAAGAGACUAUUUGUCCCAAACAAUUUAUUUAUUUUUUUUUUAGGAAAUUGUCUCUUCAAGAGACGACUUCUCCCAACAUUUUUAAAAAAAAAAAAAAAAACAUCUAUUCAAAAGACGAUUUCUCCUCAUUUUUUAAAAAUGAAUUUUAGAAAUCAUAUUUUCAAAAAUGAAUUUUAGAAAUCAUAUUUUCAAAAGACGAUUUUUUUUUAUAUAAAUUAUUUUUUAAAAUGACGAUUUUAAAAGGAAAUAACGAUCUCUCUCCUACUUGGCAAAAACUAUGGUAAAUUUGGAAUUAUUUCUUCCACAACCAUAGUUUAAGAAUUAUUUUUUUAUACUUUCGUAGACUUAUCAAAAAUCCCUAUUUUGCAUGUCUCAUUUGGCAUGACUUUCUUACCUAAACAAGCAUAUAUAUAUAUAUAUAUAUAUAUAUCACUUUUGUCUGGGUUGAGUCAAUGCCCUUAACUAAUUUGUUCAUUUGAAUAGUCUAAAUUAUUAUAAGCUUUUAGUUAAGAAAAAUGUGAAACAUAAAUUACACCUCUCGGCACAACUUCGACACUGGUUACUCUGUUUCAGUUUAUUCACACAAGAUUAUUGGUUCUAGGGUUUAUUUGGUUUUGGUUUGAUUCUAAUUGCUAAACUUUCUCAAGGAAGAUGUUAUAUAGGGAGUGAGAAACCUUCACUCCUGGCUACCUCCAAGAGAAGAGCAAGUGGUCUGAAUCAAAGAUAUACUGCUCACUUUUUCUUCUUCUAAGGACAGCUAUGACCUUGCUUUAAAAUGUUCGAAUAGCCUAAUGCAACCUCCCAUUUCUCAAGUCAGCUGAUGAUGUAAGUCACCUUGGCUUUCCACAUUCAUACGGUGAGGACGUUUGUGGGUGUAAUUCUCUUAACAGUUUUCAUUUUAUAUGGAAAAAUUCAUAAUUAAGGGUAAUUACUGAUUCCAUUUGACAGUGACCAAGUUUAAAAUAUUAACUCAUGUAUUAAAUGCACAUUAAAAAAUCAUGGAAUAAAUAUAUUUACUAAUAUAUAGUUCUUUUGUCAUGUUCUGUCACAGAAGCAUCGAACUUUCCCUAGAAAUUUUUGCAUGGUAUUCUGCUUAUGAUUUUGAAAACUCUAGGCACCUAAGGCCACUGAUUGCAUGGUUGGAUGAGGAGCUGCAUGAGAUUAUGUAUCCUGUUGCUCCUUAACUACAAAUAUCAGUUUUAAGUAGCAUCUCCAUGUGACAUUUUCCUGAUGCAAUUUCGCUGUCCACCAACAAAUGUCUCCAUGCAGCUAGAUGAAUUGUAAUUUCUUUGUUGUUAUCAACAGCUUUAAUUAAUCUUGAUAUAUAUAUAACUUAGUAGAAGUAAUUAAUCUAGAUUGUAGUUGCACUAAGAUAAUAGGCAAUAUUAUAACAGUGCCACAAUGCUCAUCGCCAAAUAGAAAGGUAGAAAAACUACAAUGAGUAACUCACACAACAUUCUCAAACAGGACAUAGCGGCGACUGAUACAUAGAACACUAUUGGCACUCAGGAAAUGAUAAGAUCAGUGCCCAGCAGGCAGCACGUCUUAUUUUACAUACUACUUAAAACUAACCAAAGUCAUUCAGUUGGGAUGGGUGGGAGAUGGUGGUUUGUGCGGUGGCUUCUUUCCUGGAACUGGUGGUUUUUUUGUUGGAGUUGAAGGAGGCUUAAUCGUCUGAGGUGGCUUGUAUGAGUCUUCAGCACUCUCUGCAAGAGGGUGCCCAGGGUUGUGACCAUAAUGAGGUGGCUUCUCUCCCUUAGGUGGUUUGCCAAGUGGGCUGGCUGGCUUGUGCUCCGGGAGCGGCUUCUCUCCCUUAGGUGGUUUGCCAAAUGGGCUUGCUGGCUUGUGCUCUGGGAGCGGCUUCUCUCCCCCAAGAAGUUUGCGGGUUUUGUCAGAUGGCUUGUGUUCUGGUGGUGGCUUCUCUCCUUGGGGUGGUUUGCCAAAUGGACUUGGUGGCUUGUGUUCGGGGAGUGGCUCCUCUCCCUUGGGAGGUUUAGUUGGUGGCUGGUGUUCCGUAGGUGGUUUCUCAACCGGGGGCUGGUGCUCCGUAGGUGGUUUAUGAACUGGGGGAUGCUUGGGGUAGUCAGCAAGAGACGGGGUGGUGAGAACCACCAGUCCCAGCAGCAACACUAGCAAGUAUGUGGAUGACAUCUUUGAGUUCAGGCUGAGAUUUGUGCAAGACUAGAAGAAUUAGGUGGCCUUUUAUAGCUGGCUGCACCCAACACUCACAUGACACGUAUCACGGUGACACAUGUGCUAUGGGAUCCAUUUGGGUCCUACAGAAGUUGAAAACUUUUGACUAUUGAGGUGUGAUCACAACUUUUGUCCCUAUUGCUUUCUCCGCAACCGUUUUACAUGUUUCCUUUGUGGUGUUUAAUAGUGUUUUUUUCCUUAAUUCUAAAUAAACCUUAAUACUUAAUAAUGUUAAAUAUUAGGUUAUUUAUUUUUAUAAUAUUUUAUUUAUAUUAAGUAUUAAAAAGUAAAGAAAAAUCAAUAUAUUUAUUUUUCUAUUUAGAAAAAACUAUAUAUUUUUAAUUUUUUUAUUUAAUAAAAAAUUUAUAAUAAAUCAUGAAAAAAUAGAAAAACAAACAACCUAAAUUUUAAAAAUAAAUUGUUUUUAGUAAAAACCCAAAAAAACAAACACCACCUUAACUAAACAAAUAUAUAUUAUAUUUAGUUAAGAAAGAGUAAAGUGUAUAUGGCUCAAAUCAAGGAAGAGAAACAGAAUAAGUGGAAGACAAUCAAUUGUGAUAAACAGAUAUAUUACAUGCAUGUAGUACUAGUGACUUUAUCAUUUACUUUUAUACAAUAGAUCAUCACACUCUUUCUUCUAAAUAUUUUGGAGGAUAAUGGUACAUGUUGCUUGUUGCCAAGUCAAAAUUGGUGGCAAAAAUCGGCAUGAUACGAAAGGAUUGGUGAAAAGAUUCACAUAGAUGGUGCUUUGUGCAAUGCAGUCUUGCUCUAAUUCAACAGAGUGGACCAUGGUGAUGUAUUUUAAAUUUUAAAUUUUAAAUUAAUGCAUGCUUCAAAGUUUUAACUAGAUGUCACUUCCAUGGAUUUUUGUUCAUUUAAUUGAGAACAGGAUAGGCUAUCAAACUUGAAGUAAUAUAAAAAUCCCUUCAUUACUGUAACUAAUGAAAGAUCAUUAUCUGCGCUUGGUAUUUUGCCAAGGUAUUUGCUGCUCUUUCUAGCCCUAUCUUACAGUUAAGGACAAUGUGAUCUAGUUAACCUUAGAAGCUAUUCCAUGUCAUAUACAAGAGAUCAAGCACAUUAUCUUUGGGCUCAGUUCAAAACUAUAAUAUAUGGGUGGGGUGGGGGCCUAUACCAUUUGCAUAUCACCACUAUUGGUUUAGUUUGGAAGGUUUCUUCUGGAAGAUUGCUUUCUGGAAACAUUUCAAAGAAAUAUAUCUUUUUGUUCUCUUGGUGACGAGCAGCGGCAAUCAAGUCUGUUGACAAACAACCGAGUUGAAAAGUUUGAAAAUUGGUCACAGCCCACGUCCAUGGUUAAGGAAAAGGUCACUGGAAGUGAUCCCUUCUGGGCCUGUUGGAAGCAGGGGAGGUUAACACACCAAGCAACAAAGAACAGAGAUAUGCUGCUACUGAUCUAUAUUUUUUAUUUGAUCAUAAGGCUAAAUUUAUACAGAUUGUGUAACAGAUAUGACCUCAAAAAAAAGCAUCAAAUCAAGCUACUUGUUGAACAAACAACUACCUUCUACAAAAUAACAUCAAAAUUUAACUUAAAAGCAAAAACAUAAAAAUAGCAACAGCAAAAAUAGAAACAUAAAAAUAGCUUCAGCAUUCUAGUAAUCUCGUUGACUUCAAUUGCAUGUGGUUGACGAUUUCAGCCUUUUCCUCAGCAGCUACUAAGGCAUAACUCUCAACACUCCUCCUUGACUUAGGAGGUGCAAACUCCAAGUCUUUCUCAUAGAAACUCAAAUCUUAUUUUAGGAAGAGCUUUAGUCAGAAUAUCUACAUUUUGACUGUCUGUAUUGCAGUAGACUAGUUGUAUAUCUCCUUCUUUCUGUACUUCCCUCAAAAAUUACAAUUUAAUCUUGAAGUGCUUUGUUUUACCAUGAAAAACUGGAUCAUUUGCAAUAGAUAUAGUGGCCUGGUUGUCUACAAACACCUUUGUACUCACUUCUUGCUUCAUAUCCAAAUCUGUCAGCAACUUUCCAAGCCAUAAGGCUUGAUUUACAGCUGUAACAGCAGCAAUAUACUCUGCCUCAGCUGUGGAUUGAGCCACGACUUCUUGCUUCCUUGAACUCCAUGAAAAAACACCAGAACCAAAACUAAAACAAUAGCCUGAAGUACUUCUCAUAUCGUCAACACAACCAGCCCAAUCACUAUCAGAAAAUCCAUGAAAAUUGAAACUUUGAACUUGACUGAACUUAAUGCCAUAAUCCACAGUGCCUUUAACAUUUCUUAUCACACGCUUUGCUGCCUGGAAAUGAAUUUCACUAGCACAAUGCAUGUAUCUCGAAAGUAGACUUACAGCAUGCAUUAUAUCGAGUCUUGUUGCAGUCAAGUACAUUAAGCAUCCAAUCAUGCUUCGAUAAAGUCCUUCAUCUACCUUUUUAGCACCGUCCUCCUUACAGAACUUCUCUUUCUGGUUCAUAGGGGUAGAUGUAGGUUUGCAUUCCUCCAUUUUGAAUUUCUUCAUAAUUUCUUUGGCAUAUUUUUGUUGGCAGAUGAAAAUCUCAUUCUGCUUCUGGUGUACUUCCAUUCCCAAGAAGUAAGACAUCUCAUCUAGGUCUGUCAUCUCAAAAACCUGCUCCAUUUCAGCCUUGAAUUUGUUCACAAACCCUGCAUUACUUCCUGUUACAAGCAAAUCAUCAACAUAUAGAGAAACAAUUAAUAUAUCUUCUUCAAUCUUCUUAAUGUAGAGUGUAAAUUCACUCAAGCUCUUGUGAAAGCCUAAAGUUAGCAGGUGAGUGUCAAUCCUGCUGUACCAAGCUCUAGGGGCUUGUCUUAACCCAUACAAGGCCUUCUUAAGAAGGUAUACUUUUUCUUCUUUUCCUUUGAUAGCAAAACCUUCUGGUUGUUCGACAAAAAUCUCUUCCUCUAAGUAGCCAUUCAAAAAUGCUGACUUCACAUCUAGUUGAUAAAUCUUCCAUUUUCUUUGAGCUACAAGAGCCAACAACAUCCUGAUUGUAUCCAAACGAGCUACUGGUGCAAAGGUUUCCGAAAAGUCAACACCAAACAUUUGUGCAUACCCUUUGACAACCAGCCUUGCUUUAUGUUUGUUUAUAGAACCAUCAGAGUUGAGUUUGGUUCUGUAAACCCACUUAACCCCAAUAGGUUUUUUGUGUGAAGGUCUAUCUACUAGCUCCCAAGUGUUGUUCUUGUCAAUCAUAUCUAGCUCCUCCUGCAUUGCAACCCUCCAUCUUUUAUUUUCAGCAGCUUCAACAAACCCUGCAAGUUCAAGAACAGCUAUAUUACACCUUUGAUAAAUAUCAAAAAGUGUCAUGAAACCUCUAACUGGAAGUUCAUCAACAUCUUCAUCAAUAUAUUGCUGAUUCUGCUCAUCCCAACUCCAUUUCUCCGUUUCCAAAAACUUAACAUCUCUACUUACCACAAUUUUACUAUUUUGUGGCAAGUAGAUUCUGUAAGCUUUUGAGGUGCUGUUGUAUCCAAUGAAAAUUCCUGGUUCUGACUUUUUAUCUAGCUUGUCUCUUUUCACCUGAGGAACAUAAGAGAAACACAAGCAACCAAAGGUCUUUAAAUUCAUUAGCAUAGGCUUAUAAGCAAACCAGGCCUCAAAAGGUGUCUGUUUCUGCAAUGCUUUUGUUGGUAGUCUAUUUAGCAAAAAUACUACUGUAUUUGCAGCUUCAACCCAAAAACUUUUUGGCAGCUCUUUCUCAUGCAAAAGACAUCUUGUCAUUGAUUACUACUCAAAAAGUGCUAUUUGAUAGCCUUUAAUUAAUCCUUUUUAACACUUUUGAGUAGUAGUUUAGGCCUUUUAACUCAAUUGGCAUGUUAAGGAUCCUUUAAAGCAAUUUUGAUCACUUUGUGCAAGUUUUGGUGUUUUUGUUAGUAUUUCGAUCACCAAAGCAAGUCAAGAAUGAGGAGAGCUAUGAGGAAUCUUGGGCAAAGCUUAGAAUUCAAUUGCCAAGAGUGAAUCCGGAUUGCAAGGAGAAAAAGCAAAGAGGAUCAGUCAUGGAGCAUAUUCUUGAUGACAGUCGUAGCAGCCACUUUUGGAUCACUUUCUGAAGUCCAAAUGAUGCAAGCUAUAUACCAUUUCAAAGCUCAGGAAGUCAACAAUCCAAUGCUUCAAACGGUGUGCGAUUCGGAAUUGAAACGAAGAAGUUGCAGCCAUUACAAGCCAGACACUCUAAAGUGUUGCGGAAUCAGCCAUGUGUUGCGAGAAUUUCGCAGCACUUUUGUACAGUAAGGUGUUUCUCCUUCUAACGAUGCACGAACCAUGCCGCGAGAAGGGAGCUGGAAACUUCAAGAUGGAAGCCAACUUUGCAGCCUAGUGAAGAUAGCUCGGUCUUGCAAGAUAAUUUCGCAGCCCUCUUGGGUGUCUGCGAAAUUUCGCAGGCCUCAUUUUUCACCUGCGAAAUGGCUCUUGAAGCCUCCCGAAGCUUGCUACCGACAUUGGGAGAUAUUUUCCAUUAGAUUUUUGUUGUCUAAAUCCCAAAAUACUCCUUGUAAACCACCAAUUACAUGAUUCCUUAGUUUUUAAGUUAGUAAAAAGACCAAAUAUCUUUGUAACAAUUAGUUUUAUAUUUUGUUGUUAUAAAUACCUCUCGGGAGCCUGUUCUCAGGGAGGAGUUCCUUCUGUAAACGUUUGGUAAGCAAGUAAAGUCUAUUUUCUUUCUACUGCCUUACCUUCUCACUUUGUAUUUUCAUUUUAUUUCUAAGUUAUGAAUUCUCUGAGGAGUUUUCCCCAAAGAAUGAGUAACUAAACCUCCAAUUCCUUGGAGCUAAGGUUGCCGGGGAAGGUUCCAAGUGCAAGAAUGCAAAGCUCUGUGGUUUUAGCUAGUAAUGAAGAGGAAGUGAAAUCCUUUAGUGAUUUCAAUGUUUUUAGUUAACUUAAAACACUUUGGAGUCACCUGGGCCAACACUUGGUAAGGCAAGUGAUUUCCAACCAUGGAAAUGCACUAGUUUACCCCUUGCGAGCCUCUGGUAGGUGACUUCAAGGUAGGAUUUUCUGGAAUUACCAACACUUGGUAAGCUUUUGGACUCCUAGGAGACAUCCAUUAGUUAUCUCUUGCGAGUUUGUGAAGGGAAUCCAAGGUUAAAGAUCACCUUGAAUGGUAAGUGCUCGUGAGAGGCAUGAACCAUUGCAAGUUGUAUCAGUGAGAGAAUUAAAGUGAAAUCUAAUUGAAGGAGUCUUUGUACAUCACCGGUUAGAGAAUUGACUAUAAGUUGAAUCUCUAAUGCGAGGAAAUGAACCAACUGACCAGAGCCGUGUCUUUUGCAUGAGGAACCACCCCAGUGAACCUAAAUCUCCAAGGAAUGUUUUUUUCUUCCUAAAUUAUUCCAAACUUCUGUUAAGUUAGUUAGUUUAAAUCUCAACCUUUACAAAUCAAAGUUUGUGUUUUAUUCCUUAAGCUAACCGUGAAAUGAAACAAGACCAAUUCACUUGGAAUUGGUAUCAUUGAUUGCCUGCAAAUCAUUCCCAGUGAACGAUCCUAGAGCCACUAUACUAUAGUAGCUUUGUAUUUGCUACCCUAGUGUAUGGUGUUAUAGGUAUAAAUUUUGUUGAUCACUUCCUCAAUCAAGGAGCACCAGCUGAACACAAAUCAGCUGAGACACCAAUUAGGCAUGAGUCAAAUGGCGCCGUUGCCGGGGAAUGAAUGUCAAGUUCAUUGUGAUACCAUUGUUGAGCACUUGUGAUUUUCAUCACAAGUUGGUAAAGUUUCUUUCACUUUACUAAUUUUCAUUCUUUCUUUGUUUAUUUACAAUCUAAGUUUAUCUUUUUAAAUUUUAGUCUAGUUUAAUUUUGUUGUUGUAGCCCUGUUUUUCUUGUUGUCCUCUGUUUUCAUUUUUUUUUUCAGGUAGAUACUAGUUGUGUAUGCCCAAGUGGAUACGAGACAUAGGAGGUAGGCUUGUUAAGUGUGAUACACCUCAGAAAGGAGAAUUUGAAGUAAUCUUGAAUAUCAUGGAGGCUGCACCUGAAGAUCAGCAUAGUCACCAAGGUCGUCAAGACAAUCUCAAUGAAUUCAGAUCAAUGAGGGACCGUAUGCAUCCACCUCGUAUGAGUACACCAUCAUGUAUAGUGCCCCCUACAGAGCAGCUAGUGAUCAGACCAUAUCUUGUUCCACUUCUACCAACUUUCCAUGGGAUGGAAAGUGAGAAUCCGUAUGCACACAUCAAGGAAUUUGAAGAUGUUUGUAAUACAUUCCAAGAAGGAGGAGCUUCAAUUGACUUGAUGAGGCUUAAGUUAUUUCCUUUUACUUUAAAGGAUAAGGCCAAAAUUUGGCUUAAUUCUUUAAGGCCAAGGAGUAUCCGCUCUUGGACUGAUUUACAAGCUGAGUUCCUUAAGAAAUUUUUUCCUACUCAUAGAACAAAUGGCUUGAAAAGGCAAAUUUCAAACUUCUCAGCUAAAGAGAAUGAGAAAUUCUAUGAGUGUUGGGAAAGAUACAUGGAAGCUAUAAAUGCUUGUCCUCACCAUGGCUUUGAUACUUGGCUAUUGGUGAGCUAUUUUUAUGAUGGUAUGUCCUCCUCAAUGAAGCAACUCCUCGAGACAAUGUGUGGAGGAGAUUUCAUGAGCAAAAAUCCAGAGGAAGCUAUGGAUUUCUUGAGCUAUGUAGCUGAUGUUUCAAGGGGAUGGGAUGAACCAACUAAAGGAGAAGUGGGAAAGAUGAAGUCUCAGUUGAAUGCUUACAAUGCAAAGGCUGGGAUGUAUAAUUUGAAAGAAGAUGAUGACAUGAAAGCAAAGUUGGCAGCUAUGACAAGAAGAUUGGAGGAGCUGGAGCUGAAAAGAAUGCAUGAAGUGCAAGCUGUUGCUGAAGCACCAGUGCAAGUGAAGCUGUGUCCCAAUUGUCAAUCAUUUGAACAUUUGGUGGAGGAGUGCCCUGCAAUUUCAGUUGAAAGGGAAAUGUAUAGAGAUCAAGCAAAUGUUGUUGGACAAUUUAGGCCCAAUAACAAUGCUCCUUAUGGAAAUACCUACAAUUCAAGUUGGAGGAAUCAUCCAAAUUUCUCAUAGAAGGCCAGAGCAACUCAAUACCAACAGCCGGAUCCACCAUCUCAGCAAUCUUCAAGUAUUGAACAAAUAAUAGCCAAUCUCAGCAAGGUAGUGGGAGAUUUUGUGGGAAAGCAAGAAGCCACCAAUGCUCGAGUUGAUCAAAGAAUGGAUAGAAUGGAGAGUGUGUUGAACAAAAGAAUGGAUGGAAUGCAAAAUGAUAUGAACCAAAAGUUUGAUAACAUCCAAUAUUCAAUUUCAAGGCUUACAAAUUUGAAUACACUGCAAGAAAAAGGAAGAUUUCCUUCUCAACCUAACCAAAAUCCCAAAGGUGUCCAUGAAGUGGAAAGCCAUGAGGGAGAAUCAUCACAGGUGAAAGAUGUGAAAGCUUUGAUCACUCUAAGGAGUGGUAAGAAAAUUGAGCAGCCAACACCCAUGCCACAUGUUGAGAAAGAAGAAGGGAUAAAGAAAGGAAAGGAAAUAGAAGAUAAAGACAGUGAGAUCAGUGAAGAAAAGAAGGACUCUGAUUCAACAAUCAAAGCAAUUCCAGAGAAAGAGCUUCUGAAGGAAGAAAUGCUGAAGAAAUCAACUUUUCCACCUUUUCCUCAAGCAUUACAGGGGAAAAAGGGGGUUAGAAAUGCAGCUGAAAUCCUUGAAGUCUUAAGACAAGUAAAAGUUAAUAUUCCACUGCUGGAUAUGAUCAAACAAGUUCCAACGUAUGCAAAAUUCCUAAAGGACUUGUGUACUAUCAAAAGAGGGGUUGACUGUAAACAAGAAAGCCUUCUUGACUGAGCAAGUAAGUGCAAUCUUACAAUGCAAGUCUCCUUUGAAGUACAAAGACCCUGGAAGUCCUACCAUUUCAGUCAUGAUUGGAGGAAAGGUAGUGGAGAAAGCCUUGCUAGACUUGGGAGCAAGUGUGAAUUUGCUUCCAUACUCUGUCUACAAGCAACUGGGACUUGGAGAGUUGAAGCCAACAGCAAUCACUUUAUCUUUGGCAGAUAGAUCAGUGAAAAUUCCAAGAGGAGUAAUUGAGGAUGUAUUGGUUCAAGUGGAUAAUUUCUACUAUCCAGUAGAUUUUGUUGUUCUUGAUACUGAUCCAACUGUAAAGGAAGCUAAUUUAGUUCCUAUCAUCCUUGGAAGGCCAUUUCUUGCAACUUCAAAUGCAAUCAUCAACUGUAGAAAUGGGCUUAUGCAACUCACUUUUGGUAACAUGACACUGGAUCUCAAUAUUUUCUAUAUGUCUAAAAAGCAAAUCACUCCUGAGGAAGAAGAAGGUCCAGAAGAGCUAUGUAUUAUUGAUACUUUGGUGGAGGAGCACUGCAAUCAGCAUAUGCAAGAUAAGUUGAAUGAAAGUCUUGUGGAUAUUGAGGAAGGUUUUUCUGAAUCUCCUAUUGGGCUUGCUACUCUACAAAGUUGGAGAAAGAUAGAAGGAAUUCUACCUUUGUUCAAUGAAAAAGAGGAGGCAACUGUUGAAGAAGAAAUUCCAAAACUCAAUUUGAAGCCUUUACCUGUGGAGCUGAAAUAUACAUAUCUUGAAGCAAAUAAUCAAUGUCCUGUUGUGAUAUCCUCAUCUCUGACCAGUCAUCAAGAGAAUUGUUUAAUGGAAGUUCUCAUGAGGUGUAAGAAGGCAAUAGGAUGGCAAAUAUCUGACUUGAAAGGCAUUAGUCCUUUAGUUUGUACUCAUCAUAUAUAUAUGGAGGAGGAAGCAAAGCCAAUUCGUCAAUUUCAAAGAAGGUUGAAUCCUCAUCUACAAGAGGUGGUGCGAGCUGAGGUGCUGAAGCUACUUCAAGCAGGAAUCAUUUACCCUAUUUCUGAUAGCCCUUGGGUGAGUCCUACUCAAGUGGUACCAAAGAAGUCAGGGAUCACAGUGAUUCAAAAUGAAAAAGGGGAAGAAAUUACUACACGCCUCACUUCAGGUUGGAGGGUGUGUAUUGAUUAUAGAAAGCUGAAUGCUGUCACCAGGAAGGAUCAUUUUCCAUUGCCAUUUAUUGAUCAAGUGCUGGAGAGAGUCUCUGGACAUCCAUUUUAUUGUUUCUUGGAUGGGUAUUCAGGCUAUUUUCAAAUUGAAAUUGAUUUGGCAGAUCAGGAAAAGACCACUUUUACAUGUCCAUUUGGAACAUUUGCUUAUAGAAGAAUGCCUUUUGGUUUAUGCAAUGCACCUGCUACAUUUCAAAGAUGUAUGUUGAGUAUUUUCAGUGAUAUGGUGGAGAGAAUUAUGGAGGUUUUCAUGGAUGACAUCACCGUAUAUGGAGGUACAUUUGAGGAGUGCUUGGUUAAUUUGGAAGCAGUUCUUCAUAGAUGCAUUGAAAAAGAUUUGGUGCUGAACUGGGAGAAAUGCCAUUUUAUGGUACGUCAAGGAAUUGUCCUUGGCCAUAUCAUCUCUGAAAGAGGCAUUGAAGUUGAUAAAGCAAAGGUGGAGCUUAUUGCCAAAUUACCAUCUCCAACAACUGUGAAAGGAGUAAGACAGUUCCUUGGCCAUGCAGGGUUCUAUAGGAGGUUUAUAAAAGGUUUUUCAAGUCUUUCAAAACCUCUUUGUGAGCUGUUAGCUAAGGAUGCUAAGUUUAUAUGGGAUGAAAGGUGUCAGCAUAGCUUUGAUCAACUGAAGAAGUUUUUAACAACAACUCCAAUAGUGAGAGCCCCUAACUGGCAAUUACCUUUUGAACUGAUGUGUGAUGCCAGUGACUUUGCUAUAGGAGCUGUGCUUGGCCAAAGAGAAGAUGGGAAGCCCUAUGUGAUUUACUAUGCAAGUAAAACACUAAAUGAAGCUCAGAGGAACUACACAACUACAGAGAAAGAAUUGUUAGCUGUGGUAUUUGCUUUGGACAAAUUUCGAGCUUAUUUAGUGGGGUCUUUCAUCAUUGUCUUCACUGACCAUUCAGCCUUGAAGUAUUUAUUGACAAAGCAAGAUGCAAAAGCAAGGUUGAUUAGAUGGAUUCUAUUGUUACAAGAGUUCGAUCUUCAAAUCAAAGAUAAGAAAGGAGUGGAGAAUGUAGUAGCUGACCACUUGUCAAGGUUAGUUAUAGCACAUAAUUCCCAUCCCUUGCCUAUCAAUGAUGAUUUUCCUGAAGAAUCACUCAUGUUCCUAGUGAAAACUCCUUGGUAUGCUCAUAUUGCUAAUUAUUUAGUAACUGGGGAAAUUCCAAGUGAGUGGAAUGCACAGGACAGGAAGCACUUCUUUGCCAAAAUUCAUGCUUAUUAUUGGGAAGAGCCCUUUCUCUUUAAGUAUUGUGCAGAUCAGAUUAUUAGGAAGUGUGUCCCUGAAGAUGAGCAGCAAGGGAUUCUAUCUCAGUGUCAUGAGAAUGCAUGUGGAGGCCACUUUGCCUCUCAGAAAACAGCCAUGAAGGUAUUACAAUCAGGGUUUACUUGGCCAUCUCUUUUCAAAGAUGCCCACAUCAUGUGUAGAAAUUGUGAUAGAUGCCAAAGGCUUGGAAAGCUAACAAAAAGAAAUCAAAUGCCUAUGAACCCCAUUCUGAUAGUUGAGAUAUUUGAUGUUUAGGGCAUUGACUUCAUGGGACCUUUCCCAAUGUCUUUUGGUAAUUCUUACAUUUUGGUGGGGGUAAAUUAUGUUUCUAAAUGGGUUGAGGCAAUCCCCUGUAAGCAAAAUGAUCACAGGGUGGUUCUCAAGUUUCUUAAAGAGAACAUUUUCUCAAGAUUUGGGGUGCCCAAGGCCAUAAUCAGUGAUGGAGGAGCUCAUUUUUGCAACAAACCUUUUGAAGCUCUGUUAUCCAAGUAUGGAGUGAAGCAUAAGGUAGCCACACCUUAUCAUCCUCAGACAUCCGGGCAAGUUGAGCUAGCUAACAGGGAAAUAAAGAACAUUUUGAUGAAAGUGGUGAAUUCCAACAGAAAAGAUUGGUCUAUUAGGCUUCAUGAUUCAUUGUGGGCAUAUAGAACAGCUUAUAAAACUAUUCUUGGGAUGUCUCCCUAUCGUCUUGUCUAUGGCAAAGCAUGCCAUCUCCCUGUGGAAGUUGAAUACAAAGCUUGGUGGGCAAUAAAGAAGCUGAAUAUGGACUUGAUCAAGGCCGGAGAAAAGAGAUUUCUAGACCUUAAUGAGAUGGAGGAAUUAAGAAAUAAUGCUUAUAUCAAUUCCAAAGUUGCAAAACAGAGGAUGAAGAAGUGGCAUGAUCAACUCAUCUCCAACAAGGAAUUUCAGGAAGGGCAAAAAGUUUUGAUGUAUGACACAAGACUCCAUAUCUUUCCUGGGAAGCUCAAAUCAAGGUGGAUUGGUCCAUUUGUUAUUCACCGAGUAUAUUCCAAUGGAGUGGUGGACUUAUUGAAUUCCAAUGGCAAGGAUAGCUUUAAAGUCAAUGGAUAUCGUCUCAAGCCGUUCAUGGAGUCAUUCAAAUCAGAAAAGGAGGCAAUCAACCUCCUUGAACCUCAAAAAGCCUAAGUGAAAAGGGUUUGCUGGACGUGGCUUUACCACAGUCCAAAAUUUUUGUAAAUUUUGUAAAUUUUCAAGUUGUUUCUAUACUUUUGAUUUUAGUUUUUGAUCUUAAAUCAUGUUUUUAGGUGUGUUUUAAUCGUUUUAAAUGAUCCCAGGUGGAAGAAAUUUCAAGGGGAUUGAAAGAAAAAAAAUCGGGUCGAAAUUGGAGCCGAAACAGAGCAAAAACAGGGGAAAAACAGAGCUCUGCGAAAUUUCGCAGGGUGAAGGAAACCUCUGCGAAAUGAGCAUUUUGUUGCGAAACCAUUCCGCAGCACUGUAGAAGCCUCUGCGAGUGUAUUUCGCAGCUGCGAAAGUGAAUUUGGCACACGAGUGCCACUUCGCAGUACAGUAGCAUCCAUUUGGCAGCUGCGAAACUCAUUGCGAAAUGGAAAAGCGUGAUUUCGCACCAAAAGUCCCAUUCCGCAGGGUAUUUCGCAAUUGCGAAAGUGGUUUUGGCACACGAGUGCCACUCCGCAGCACAGUAACAUCAAUUUCGCAGCUGCGAAACUCACUGCGAAGUUGCUGCGAAAAUGGCAAGUUGCUGCGAAAUUGGCGUUUAGUUGCGAAACUUAAACUGACCCCUGAGCUUCCGUUUUUCCUAUUUAUACCGGUCAAAAGUGCUGCGAAAAGGGUUUCAAAAAUCAGAGCACCAUUCUCGCAGCCCCUUCAUCUUCUUCGCCAAGCCACGCCGUCCGAACCUCCGGUCGUCUUCUCCGUUUAGCAGCGCCGGCCAAAGAUCGAUAUUCCAAAAUGGCACGAACGCGAGGGGCAAAAUCUUCAUCCCCUUCGAAUCGCAAAAGGAGUCUGCGAAAGGAGCCAAGUCCAGGUUCUGCUCCAGAACCUGCUCCAAAGCCUUCGCCGUCGAGACCACAACCUUCUCCAGUGAAGCCGGCGCCACUAAAGCCGCCGGCAAGACGAUAUUUGACAAGGUCAGGCGGUUGGCCAUUGAAGAAGAAGCCCAGGGUUGAGAGCUCUGAACCAAUUGAUUUGACUGAGCAAUCCCCUGAGCAGUCCCCAAAUCCUUCACCAGUUCAAACUCCAGUGCCGUCACCGGUUCCCUCGCCAAUUCCCUCACCUGAAGCAACUCCAAUUCCAUCGUCGGUACCAUCUCCGGCACCCCAAGAAAAAGCUCAGGAGCCUCAAGCGCCAAUUCCAGAGCCCCAAAUUGCAGCUGAAGCACCUCUGGAAGAAGUGAUCCGAAGGCCAAUGCUGCCCCAGCCCCCAAUCGAAGGAAACUUGGAUUGUCGAACACGGGCAUUCCAUUCUGAGCUUUGCUUCGAUUUAACAGCAUUCAGAGUGAGGCCAGAGCUUGCCCAAUCCUUCCAGCUGCUGAGGAGAUAUCAUAUGGAGCAUCUGCUAGCUCCAAGGGAUUUUUUCUAUCCCCGGGUAGUCACGGACUUCUACCAGACCAUGACAACCAAAGAAGUAAGAAAUCCAACUCUGAUCCAUUUCAUAAUUGAUGGAAGGCAUGGUAUUUUGGGAGCAAGACACAUUGCUGAAGCUCUGCAAAUUCCUUUUGAGCCAACCCAAUUCGACAAUUUUAAAGCUUGGGUAAAUCCUACUGAGUUAGAGAUGGUUCGCACACUAACCAGAGGAGCUGCAAAUCGAUCACACCUGUUGAGGGGGGAGCUACCUCCAGUGAUGUUUUUGAUUGAUGCCUUUUUGAGGCAUAAUAUCUAUCCCCUGCAGCAUUGGACCCAAAGAAGGGGAAUUCUCCUGGAAGCUUUGUACAAGAUGUCAGAAGGAUUCUUCUUUGGGCCCCAUCAUCUUAUCAUGGCAGCCCUUCUAUACUUUGAGGAAAAGGUUCACAAGAAGAAACUUCAAAGAGCAGAUUGCAUUCCACUCCUCUUCCCAAGGCUGCUAUGCCAAGUUUUGGAGCAUCUCGGAUACCCCUCUGAGCCUCAGCAGGAAAGAAAGAGAAUAUGCCGUGAGCCAUUUACUCUUGAUAAAUGGAAUAAUAUGACGGCCUACAAAAUUGAUCAGCCUGGGCAGCCUCAGCCAGCAGCAAGGAGAGCCUCCCCAAGACAUGCACCUGAAGGUAUAACACUUGCUACUCCUGCCAUCCCUCGAGCUUCACCAGCUGCACCUGCUGCAUCACAGCCAUCCACAUCAGCUGAGCCGAGGAUGGCCAUCCCUAUAUCCGAAUAUCGAGAGCUGUGCCGAGCAUUGGAGACUCUUACAGCUUCCCAGAGCAAUCUUGCUCAAGAGUUGGCAGCCAUCAAAGCAUGCCAGGAGCAGAUGUUAGCCUCUCAGGCUCAACAAGCUGCCAUCCUAAGGCAGCUUCAAGUCCAUUUCGAUCUGCCACAAGCUGUAGAGCCCUCCACUGAGACUCCACCAGAGCCACACUCUCAGCCUUCAGAGUCUCUUCCUCCAGAGCCAGAAGCCCCAACUGAUCCACCUACAGAGGAGGCGGAUCCUUCUGCUUAGCACCAUCACCCCACUCAUCAGACAUUAUAUAUAUUUGCUGUUUAUGUUUUUAUGCAUGUUUGUUUUGUUUUAGUUGAAAUGAAAUCCCAGUAUUUUGGUACUAUAUAUGGGAUUCCUUGUGAUUACUUGUCCUUAGCAUUGUACUCGAAUGAAUUGAAAGUAAUACAAGUUGAAUUUUUCUUGUUAAAAGUUAGCAUUAAAAUUCUCCUUAUUUCCUUUUCUCACAUAUUCUAUUCUUUUUGAAACAUGUGGUUUUCCCCAAUCAAUAUUCGAAUUUGAUAUCAGCAUGGAGGUACCACUUCCUCCCUUUUAUUACAGUCACUCAAAUCACAUUGAGGACAAUGCUCAGUUCGGUUGGGGGGUAUGAGGAAGGAAGUAUUCUAAAUCUUUUUGGUAUUGCAAUUAUAUUGGUUAAUUAGUUGUAGAUUUUACGUUUUACUCUUGUUACUCUAUUCUCCAUGAAUUUUGAGGAAAAAUUUUCAAAUUAAACCAAGAGAAAUUGAACUGUUGUUUUUCACUUGACUUAGAGUAUGGAUUAUGCUUACUAAAGUGGUUCAAUUGUUGAAACUUCUACUGAAAUUGAAUUGAGUUCUUCCAUUUUAAGCUAUCCACACACUGUGCACAUUAGUUUCUGAUUAUAAGAUGAAAAGCUAUUUCCCUCUUGACUUAGGAUAAUUUUGGGACUUGGUAUAUUUGACCUCAUUUGAUAAAAAUUGAAACACCCUGCAAAAGGCCAAUGAGCCUUUGAAAUAAAGAAAGAUGUUUGCUUGCCUUGAAACCCGAGCAAGGUCUGAGGGGCAUAUGGUGAAAGCCUUUAAAGCCUGGUGCCCUAAGCCUUAAUUGGUUGGGAGUCACCGACCUCAAUGCUCGUUACAAGGGUGAAUAGGUAGAGCUAGCAUAUGGUAGAUGCUUGGGUAUUAGAAAUUCAUUCUUAAAAGUCCAGGGAAAAAUCCGAGGAGUUAGUGGUUGAAAGAUCCUUAAAACUUGGUGCCCUAAACCUUAAUUGGUUGGGAGUCAUCGAUGGACCCCCAUUACAUGGACAAGUCAGAAAGAGUACCCCAUAAAGCUACUUUAAAAAAAAAAAAAAAAAAAAAAAAAAGAUGAUGAAAGUGUGUUCUUUUCUUAUUGAUUUUGGUCAGAUUGCUAAAGUGUUGAAAAGAGAUAGGUUGGGGGGGGAGACUAGUUUAGCAUAUUAUUCUCGGAAUCUAAGGAACCAAUACACAUAGAUUUUUGUGGAAGAUUGAAGUUUAGUUCUUAGAAAGUGAAAUGAUUUUAAAACUUCAGUUUGCAUAAUGCACUCCCUUGAUUGACAGUGUUUAGCAUAGGUGUUAUGACUCUUGUUGAGAUUUGGGUUUGUAUUUCUUUAAUGAUUCAUGUGAGAAGUAAAUCAUCAUGCCACUUAAGAAUUAUUUUCCUUUCAGCAUGAUGUUGUAAAUUUUAGAUUAGUUUGCUAUUUAUUUUUAUUUUUCUCUCCUUUAUUGCUAAGGGACUAGCAAUAUGUCGGUUGGGGGGAGUGAUUACUACUCAAAAAGUGCUAUUUGAUAGCCUUUAAUUAAUCCUUUUUAACACUUUUGAGUAGUAGUUUAGGCCUUUUAACUCAAUUGGCAUGUUAAGGAUCCUUUAAAGCAAUUUUGAUCACUUUGUGCAAGUUUUGGUGUUUUUGUUAGUAUUUCGAUCACCAAAGCAAGUCAAGAAUGAGGAGAGCUAUGAGGAAUCUUGGGCAAAGCUUAGAAUUCAAUUGCCAAGAGUGAAUCCGGAUUGCAAGGAGAAAAAGCAAAGAGGAUCAGUCAUGGAGCAUAUUCUUGAUGACAGUCGUAGCAGCCACUUUUGGAGCACUUUCUGAAGUCCAAAUGAUGCAAGCUAUAUACCAUUUCAAAGCUCAGGAAGUCAACAAUCCAAUGCUUCAAACGGUGUGCGAUUCGGAAUUGAAACGAAGAAGUUGCAGCCAUUACAAGCCAGACACUCUAAAGUGUUGCGGAAUCAGCCAUGUGUUGCGAGAAUUUCGCAGCACUUUUGUACAGUAAGGUGUUUCUCCUUCUAACGAUGCACGAACCAUGCCGCGAGAAGGGAGCUGGAAACUUCAAGAUGGAAGCCAACUUGGCAGCCUAGUGAAGAUAGCUCGGUCUUGCAAGAUAAUUUCGCAGCCCUCUUGGGUGUCUGCGAAAUUUCGCAGGCCUCAUUUUUCACCUGCGAAAUGGCUCCUGAAGCCUCCCGAAGCUUGCUACCGACAUUGGGAGAUAUUUUCCAUUAGAUUUUUGUUGUCUAAAUCCCAAAAUACUCCUUGUAAACCACCAAUUACAUGAUUCCUUAGUUUUUAAGUUAGUAAAAAGACCAAAUAUCUUUGUAACAAUUAGUUUUAUAUUUUGUUGUUAUAAAUACCUCUCGGGAGCCUGUUCUCAGGGAGGAGUUCCUUCUGUAAACGUUUGGUAAGCAAGUAAAGUCUAUUUUCUUUCUACUGCCUUACCUUCUCACUUUGUAUUUUCAUUUUAUUUCUAAGUUAUGAAUUCUCUGAGGAGUUUUCCCCAAAGAAUGAGUAACUAAACCUCCAAUUCCUUGGAGCUAAGGUUGCCGGGGAAGGUUCCAAGUGCAAGAAUGCAAAGCUCUGUGGUUUUAGCUAGUAAUGAAGAGGAAGUGAAAUCCUUUAGUGAUUUCAAUGUUUUUAGUUAACUUAAAACACUUUGGAGUCACCUGGGCCAACACUUGGUAAGGCAAGUGAUUUCCAACCAUGGAAAUGCACUAGUUUACCCCUUGCGAGCCUCUGGUAGGUGACUUCAAGGUAGGAUUUUCUGGAAUUACCAACACUUGGUAAGCUUUUGGACUCCUAGGAGACAUCCAUUAGUUAUCUCUUGCGAGUUUGUGAAGGGAAUCCAAGGUUAAAGAUCACCUUGAAUGGUAAGUGCUCGUGAGAGGCAUGAACCAUUGCAAGUUGUAUCAGUGAGAGAAUUAAAGUGAAAUCUAAUUGAAGGAGUCUUUGUACAUCACCGGUUAGAGAAUUGACUAUAAGUUGAAUCUCUAAUGCGAGGAAAUGAACCAACUGACCAGAGCCGUGUCUUUUGCAUGAGGAACCACCCCAGUGAACCUAAAUCUCCAAGGAAUGUUUUUUUCUUCCUAAAUUAUUCCAAACUUCUGUUAAGUUAGUUAGUUUAAAUCUCAACCUUUACAAAUCAAAGUUUGUGUUUUAUUCCUUAAGCUAACCGUGAAAUGAAACAAGACCAAUUCACUUGGAAUUGGUAUCAUUGAUUGCCUGCAAAUCAUUCCCAAUGAACGAUCCUAGAGCCACUAUACUAUAGUAGCUUUGUAUUUACUACCCUAGUGUAUGGUGUUAUAGGUAUAAAUUUUGUUGAUCACUUCCUCAAUCAAGGAGCACCAGCUGAACACAAAUCAGCUGAGACACCAAUUAGGCAUGAGUCAGUCAUCUCCAUUAUUGUUUUAUUUUUUCUUUCCACCACCCCAUUUUGUUGUGGGGUGUAUGGUGCAAUGAGCUGGUGAUCUAUGCCUGCAUCUUCACAAAAUUUGUUGAAUUUUUCUGAAGUAUAUUCUGUACCAUUAUUCGACCUUAUAACCUUGAUUCUGUAUUCACUUUGAUUUUCAACCAUGGCCUUAUAUCUCAAAAACACAUCAGCAACCUCAGCUUUGUAAGUGAGAAAAUAAAUCCAACAAAAUCUUGUGAAGUCAUCAAUAAAUGCAAUAUAGUACUUACUCCCUUUCAAAGAUGGUGUCUUUUGAGGUCCACUCACAUCUGUGUGAACCAAUUGUAGUUUCUGUGUUGAUUUCCAUGCUGCUUUUUGAGGAAAAGGAAGUCUUGUUUGCUUCCCAUAUUGAUAGGCUGCACAUAUAGGAAGUUCUUCUUCCAAAUCAGGGAGUCCUUCUACAAUCUAAUUCUUCUUCAUGUAGAGCACGGUAUUGUGGUGGAAAUGCCCUAAUCUUUUAUGCCAAAGCAUUGUAUUGUUCUCGUGUUGUGCAGCAGUAAUUUGCUCAUCUUCUAACAUAUUUAAGGCAAAACUUUUGCCUUUCAUUUUUAUGUUGAACACCUCUUUGCCUUCAGCAUCCUUGAUUAUGCAAUUUUUGUCUUCAAAACAAACUUUAAACCCUUUCUCAACAAGCUGUCCAACACUUAGCAAAUUUUGGUCAAUGUCAGGCACAAACAAAACAUCAGAAAUGAGCUUUAAACCUGUUAGGCUUUCAAUAGCUAAUGUUCUUUUACCUUUUACUGGAAUAUACUCACCAUUUCCUAUUCUAACUUUGGAAAUAGUUGUCCUAUCAAUCUCCCUAAAGCGAUCUUGAUCAUGUCAUGUGGUUUGUGCAACCACUGUCCACGAGCCAGCUUUCAGAGGUGCUACCGUUUGCAAAACAUGUUGCUGAAAAUAGUUGUUCCUCCUGGUAUUGUUCAGCUGCUACAUUGGUUUCUCCCUGCUGCUGCUGAGUUCUACAGAUCCUUUCUAUGUGUCCAUGUCUACCACAUUUGUUGCAUUUCACAUCUGGUCUCCACCAACAUUUUUGUUGAGGAUGAUUUGUUUUCUUGCAAUGAGGACAGGGUGGAUAGGUUCCAGUUUUUUUAUUGUUGUUGUUGCUUGGCUUAUUGUUGUUCUUUUUGUUCUUCCUCCUUCUUGUGUUACCUUCAUUGGUCUGUGUCUUUGCUUGAAAAGCUCCUUCUACAGAACUUCCUUGCCUCAUGAGUCUUCUUUGUUCCAAAGCUUGUAAAGCAUUUAGUAGUUCUGCCAAGGUGAUACUUGACAAAUCUUUUGUGUUUUCCAAAGAAGAAAUUGUAGCUUCAUAUUUUUCAGGAAUUGUGACAAAAUUGUUUUGAACAACUCUUUCAUCAGAAAACUCUUUACCUAGCAACCUCACCUUGUUUGCUAUGGUAAGAAGUUGUUCUGCAUAAUCUUUUAUGGUUUGAGACUCUUUCAUCCUCACCAUUUCAAAUUCUCGAAUUAGAUUCAUUACCUGCACAUUUCUGACUCUUUCAUUGCCUUGAUAUUCUUCCCGUAGAUGCUUCCAGAUUUCUGCAACAGAUUCAAGUUGCAUGAUUCUGGUGAGAAUUAAUGGUGAGACUACAGAAAAUAAGCAAGCCUUGGCCUUAGCCUUCCUCGUCUUUUUCUCCUUAUGGUUUUUCAUCUGUGACACAGUUGGAUUGGCUCCAAGUGGAGAAAUUUCAUAAUCUUCCUCUAUUGCUUCCCAGACAUCAAGAGCCUGUAGAUGAACAGUCAUCCUGACAGCCUAAGUUUGGUAAUUUUCUCCAUUGAAGACUAGUGGUGCUGCUGUGAAGCUUGCUUCUUCCAUUUCUGCAAGGUUUUCAGAUUCAGGUUUGGUAUACGGUGUUUAGGCUCACACACCUCACUGGUCCCUCAAGACAAAAAUUGCUCUGAUACCAAACUGUUGGAAGCAGGCGAGGUUAACACACCAAGCAACAGAGAACAGAGAUAUGCUGCUACUGAUCUAUAUUUUUUAUUUGAUCAUAAGGCUGAAUUUAUACAGAUUGUGUAACAUAUAUGACCUCAAAAAAAGCAUCAAAUCAAGCUACUUGUUGAACAAAAAACUACCUCCUACAAAAUAGCAUCAGAAUUUAACUUAAAAGCAAAAACAUAAUAAUAGCAACAGCAAAAACAGAAACAUAAAAAUAGCUUCAACAUUCUAGUAAUCUCAUUGACUUCAAUUGCAUGUGGUUGACGAUUUCAGCCUUUUCCUCAGCAGCUACUAAGGCAUAACUCUCAACAGGGCCUCUUAAUUUCCAUUCUGGCAUCUAUAUGACCUGAUAAAUAGAAAGAAAAAAAAACAGAAGAAAAGCGGCACCUGGGUUCAUAGUAAGCAUCAAGACAGGAUGCUGAAAGAAGGGAGAGAGGAGAUUGCAAGUCCAAUCCUGAUAAAAUAUCAACAAAGAGUAUUAAAUGGGGCCAACAUAAAGACCCAUUAAGGUCAGCAGAUGGCAUGGCAUUUUUCUCCUUAAGUUUUCCAUGAUUAGGCUUGAAGUCAAAAUUUCACAUGUAAAUUUGUAUUUCUACAUUUCCCACUGACGACACCCAACUUCAACUUGAGUUAGAAUAACAUUGUGUGAACUUAUCUGGCCCUCAAAAUUUACUGUGAAGUGCUUUCUGCGUGUGAAGAUUCAGAAAAGCACCAAGGGAACAUGUAUGGUCUGCCUUUUUCUGAUGUUAUGUUUGUCUCUAAUUCUGUUCCAUGUCAUGGUAAAUGUUCACAUUGCUUGUAUGGAACACACCAGGAUCACUUUUUCAGGUUUAGGGGGAUACAAAAGGCUUCAUAUUGGGUUCAAUGCUUUUAAUGUGUUCAUUGGACAAAUCUGAAUUAUCAUACGCAUUUAGAUAAGAACAAUAAUGUGAAACCCUAGUUACACCUCCCCUGCAUAACCCCAACCCUGCUUGCUCUAUUUCAGUUUACUCACAAGUUUUACUGGUUCUUAUAAGUCAAGAAAAGGCAACUGAUGUUGGAUCGACUCUCUUCCAUGUAAAAAAUGCAACUUUUAUACAUAUAAAAGAACUUCUUCCCCUCACCAAUGUGGGAUUUCAUAGAUUUAUUCUGGAAACACAUCAAAGGAACAUCUUUUCUCUUGGGUGACCCUAAGUGGUGAGUCAGAUCAUUUGCAUGCCAUUGAGUUGCACAGUUGGAUAAAUGCACCUGCCUCCUGGGCUCCAGAGUUAAAAGGGUGGAUCCCUGGAUUGCAACCCUCUUGGCAUCUUGGUUUCUAUUCCAACAUCCACAUGACUUGACAAAACAAAAAACAGAAUAAAAUCAGCACUAUAUUCAUGCUAAGCACCAAUACAUGAUGGAAAUCAUUGCUUAAAGAUUUGGGGUCGUUUUAGGUUUUGACUGCCUCCUACCACCUCACCUAAUGACAAGUUUUUAUGCUUACAAAUCAAAUAUCGUUCUUCAUUAUAUUAAAAUCAUUUUAAGAUUUCAGAUCCAUCUGCUAAUUAUGAUUAUGAUAACAUUUAUUCACCUGUGCUUCUCAUUUUCGACACACAAGGCAUCUAGGUUUGCAGGAUUUCCUUAUUAGAUGAGAUAAAUGAGUACGUAUGGUUAUGUAUCCAGCAUUCAUUAACCAUGGUAUGUGACAUUUAGAAUUAAGAUAGCAAGCAAACUUUCCCUGCAGCUAGAGUAAAUUGUGAUUUCUUAGCCUCUAUGAGUGGUUCCCAAAUCAAAUUAACAUAGUGAAAUAUACGUAGUCCAGUGAAAGGAAAUGUAAAUUAUAAACUAACAGCACUACACUACUGGUAACAAUCGAUACUCUCUAUAUAAUGCAAUAAACAAUGUCACAAUUGCCUACAAGCAAGGCACAAACACUAGAACAAGUAAAGCACAAACCUUUCCCAACAGUUCCCAGUGACUGAUGCAUAUCAUACCCUCAACUCACAGAAGGGGAUGAUAUCAGUGCACUGCAGCACUUAUUUUACACAUACUACCACUACUACUACUACUACUACUACUCAUUAGCCAAAGUCACUCAGUUGGGAUGAGUGUGAGGUAGAGGUUUGUGGGGUGCUAUGUGGAAAGGAGUUUGGCUUCUUCUCAGGAGAUGGUAGCUUCUUUGCAGGAGUUGAAGGAGGCUUAAUCUUCUGUGGUGGAUUGAUUGUAUGAGUCUUUGGCACUCUCUUCUCUAGUACAGGUGAAUACCCAGGGGUGCAUCCAUAAUGCGGUGGCUUCUAUCCCUUAGGUGGUUUGCCAAAUUCAAAAUCGAAGGAUUUUUUUUUUUUAAGUAUACGUAUCUUUGAAAGCUUUUAUUUUGUAUGGCAAAUGGAAUGAGAGGAGCAGUCAUAUUCUAUUUGGCCAGAGCAACAUAUCACAAAUGAACAAGCUAUUUACUGCCACACUGGGCAAAACAUACAUAAUCCUUGUACUUCAAACAUCCAUGAAUUCUCAUCAUUUUCAGGACACGUUGCAUGGUCUAUCAUUCUAUAUGUCGGCAUAGUAAGUGCAGCUAAUAAGCCUAUUCAGAGCUGAAAUUCAAAAUCUAUUCACAGGAUAAUGACCUUAUUAUUGGAUUUUGCUCACUGUCAUACACACAUAUCAGAUAAAGCCCCACAUGCUCAUAAGCUACAAGCAACCUACAAGCACUAAAAUGAGUGUUAGACGUAUGAAACAUUCCCCAAUACUAGUAGUAUUACCUGUUCCAUAGAACACUAAAUUAGAAGAGAGAAGAUGUGAGACUCCAGCUUUUCUUUCUACAUAUUACUCAUAUCAAGUUGGAAUAGUUAGGCGGUAGAGGCUUGGGGUGGCUUGUGUAGGGGACUAGGCAGCUUCUCUCAGGAGUUGAUUUCGUCUUAUUCUGGAUGUCCAGGUUUCGUCCUUUCGAAUUUCCCAUGCAAAUCAGCAUUCUCCUUGGGAAACUUCACUCCGUUGGGAAACUUGUGUGAAUCUUUGGCAUUCUCUACCAGAGAAGGCCCAGGGCAGUGACCAUAAGGUGGUGGCCUUUUUUCAGGUGGUGGCUCCUCUCCCACUGGAGGCUUGUGGUAAUCAGCAAGAGAGGCAGUGGAGAGAAUCAUCACCCCAAGGAACAGCACUAGCAAGUAUUUGUGAGCCAUAUUUGGGAUCUGAUGAUGAAGACUAGAAGAUAGGAGUUGCCUCAUAUAAUGGGUUGGAGACUAUAUCUCAAGGGGACGUGUAUUUAUGCAUAUGAUCUAUAUAGGACCAUCCUCCUAAUAUUUUCAAAAUAAUGUUAUUGUCUCUCUUGGGUGACAGUUUGAUUUGGUCUAUUUCCAUGCCACUGAGUAGAAAAGUUUGACAAUUGGCUACACCACCUACCUGGAUUACAUGGUUGAAAGUGAAGAUCAGUACAGUGUGAUCACACUUGACCUCUUGUUCCCCAUUCCAGUAUCUAAUUAACCUGACAAAAGUAAAAGGAAAGGAAAAAGGGAAAAAAUAGAAUAAUGUUCAAAUAAAAACGAGAAAAAAUAGCAUAAUGUUGAUGAAUCAUGAUAAGCAUCAAGGCAUGAUAGUGAGAGAGAGGAAAGAAGACAGUGUAAUUUGCAAUCCUGAUAAUCAUUAUAUAGCAGUAACUUUAAUCAUUUUUCUAUCACAGGGAACAUGACACUCAUCUUCCUAUGGAGAUAUUGCAUAAGUUUUUUUCUUUGUAUGUCAACACUAACCAAUGAAGCAUGUUAGCUGGUUUGAAACUGAAACUGUAGCCCUCUGUUUGGUUCUUGAAAAACUUGAGAGAAAAUGGAAGUAAAGUUAAAAGGAAAGAAAAAGUGAAAAAAAAUAAAAAUAGAUUGAAAGUUAACAAAUUAUUUUUACAUGUUCCCUCAAAUUUCUUUCACUUAUUUUUCCUUUUCUAUAUAAAGAUUAAAUGAUUUAAAAAUCAUAAAUUUCUAACUAAUUAUAACUAUAUUUGAUUUUCUUUCAUAUUUUCCAAGAUAAAGUCAGACAUGAGAAAAUCAUUUUCCUUAAAAAAGAAAUUCUUUCCUUUACAGUUUCUUAGAACCAAACCUGGCACAAAAGUCCAAAUUGGGGUUUCUCCAUGUUCCAUUUUUUAUGGCUACCUUUAUGGACCAUAUAAUAUAGAAUGUACUUCUGCAUACCUUCAAGAUCAAGCUGAACUAUAAGAAAAAGACAAGCCAUGGCCCACGGAGCAGGGAUACCAAGCUGCCUUCUCCUAGAUUAAGUUCCAAGAUUUCAGUCUUCAAACCUGCUAAAAGCUAAAGGCAUGUUUCCAGCCUGCGGCAGAUAACAUGCACUGUCCAACAAUAAAUUGCAAACACAUUCGAUGCAGUUUAUUAGUACAAUAAGAUUAAAUCCACCAAAUCUUUUACAGUUCAACCAACACUUGAACUAGUAGCUAGCUUCACUACUGGGUAAUAAUAUAUAAACCAAACUCUUGAUAGGAACCAACCUAUCGCAGAUCGAACUUCUUACAUCCACCAUGAAUUACUGAACCAAAAGAAGAAUCGAAGAGACUGCCAAGGAGGAAAGCCUUCCUAUAACUAGAUAUUUAUAUUCCAAAUUAGGGAGAGCACCCACUGCCCAGGCCUCGCCCAGCAUAAACAGAUAGUAUACAUAUACAUGCAAAAAGCUCCAACCUUCAAGAUUUUAACUAUUAACUUAACACAAUUAAAAAUGUAUCCAAAAAGCAAAUCCCCUUGAACUCCUGAAGCAAUUACUCCAACCAAAUAAAGAUUUUAAGAGUUCCAUGUUCAUAUCCUGCAAGGAAAUCAUUCAAUGUUCAGACCUCUAAUUUCUGUCUUUCUAAAUGCCCAGCCAAAAGGCAUAAAGUAUCAUCCAAAUUGGAUGCACAGCAUAUGUUCUUAAAUCAUGGGAUUUCACCAUAAGUUACUACACUCUAACAGGGCCCAGAAAUUGACCUCCAGAUAUGCCUAUCAAAAAAUUAUCCCCACAUACAUUUUUCUGCUGAAAAGACAAUAUUGUUACAUUUGACAUUCAACCACUACUUGAACUCAACAACCAGGGAAAAGAAUAUAGUAUUUCUACCAAUGAGGAUGAGAGGGGCUGGUGAAUUAACAGGUAAAAGUUUGUUUUGGGUUCAUUGUUUGCAUAAUAAUGUAAAAAUGGAGUAGUAUAUUAUAAAUUAAUGUAAAAAUGGAUUAGCAUAACAUAAAUUGCCAUAAGAGAACCACAAACUACAAAGAAACUUAUUUUCCAAACAAGGAAAAUUAUUCAUAGCCAUUAUUACAUAAGAAAGGAAAUUGAUAAAAUUAUUAUCCAGUUCCCCAUCAGGAAAUAUGAAAGUACUCCUAAAAGCCUCAAUUCUAACCAGAAAACCAUAGAAAUGUAUUAGAAAUAUUGUACAGGGUUCUCUCCAAUAUUAGCUUCAGUUGCUAAGGAGAUCAGAACCUUGAAAGUAAGUCACAAAGGUCGUGUGGGUUUCCCAGAGUCUUCAACAACCAGUAUUCACAUAUGUACACAUUAAAAUUAAAUAAAGCAGGUAUCAAUUCCACAGGCUUUAAGAUUUGAAUUGCUUCUCCCUGGAAUCAUACACCACUCAUAUUGUCACUGACUUUCAAUUACUUCUCCCUGCGAUCAUAUGCCACUCAUAUUGUCACUGCCUUAGGGAACAAAGUGAAAAUCUGCAAUUUCAAUUAAUUCCAACAUAAAAAUAAAAAUCAAUCCUCAAAAAAUGGAUUGCCAGGAGGUAAAUAUAAUAGAAGACGAACAACUCUCACAACCAAGUUAAAGAAACCAGCCGCUAGGUACCUUUGAGUUCUAUACUACCAGGAACAAAUUGGAUGAGAUUAUUUAAAGGCUAUUCCACAGUGGAAAUUCAUUCGUUCAAAAAACAUUUGUCAUGCAUAUAGGCAAUCUAUCCUAUGCAUUCAUACAUCAUGGUCUCAUGCAAUCUUAAUAAAAGUGGUCCUGGAAAAAGAGAGAAAAAAGUAAUUACAAGCCUGUGCGACCAGAUUUCUUUUGUUUUUUUUUUUUUUUUCCUUUGCCAAACAACCAUGUUCAUAGUUUCAGAAGUUCAUUCUGUCUUUAAGAGACCAUGGCAGUGACUUGGCCAUUCAGCUAAGANNNNNNNNNNNNNNNNNNNNNNNNNNNNNNNNNNNNNNNNNNNNNNNNNNNNNNNNNNNNNNNNNNNNNNNNNNNNNNNNNNNNNNNNNNNNNNNNNNNNUCACCAAGGACUCCUCAACCUCAAAAUAAUAGAGAAAGUCUAGGACACCAUGUCACUACUGAGGACAACCCAACACCACAACAUUUCAGUCCGUUCAAAAAGAGUAAUUGGAAUUGUUGCAAAAAAUGUUCAACUAGUCCCAACAGGAGGCAAAUUCCUCCAUUUCUUCAUCGGGUCCGGAUCCUUUGCUCAAAAAGGUAAUUUUCUUACUGCCCUAAAAGAAAAAGGGAAAAUGUGAGUCAUUGGAUUGUUGACUCAGGAGCUUUUGAUCACAUGACUAGAGUGCCACAAUUUUUCAAAAUUAUACACCUUGUUUUGGGGAUGAUACAAUUCGUAUGGCUGAUGGUUCUCUCUCAAAGGUGACUGGUACAAGUUUUAUUGUCAUCUCUAAGGACCUAACUCUUGACUCUAUUCUUUUGGUUCCAAACUUGGAUUGCAAUCUAUUGUCCAUUAGUAAACUCACUUAUGAAAAGAACUAUGUUACUAAAUUUUUCCCAAACCAUUGUGUUUUUUAGAAUUUGAAUUCGGGGAAGACGAUUGGCAAUGUUGAAGUGUGUUUAGGACUCUAUGCCUUCAAAGUGAAUUAUUAUAUUGAAAGACAAUCUUAACCAACAGUUGGUGAAAAAUGGUGUCUUUUUGUCUUUAGUUCUAAUAAAGAUAGUGAUGUUAUGUUAUAGCACUAUUGUCUAGGACAUCCUAGUUUCUUAUAUCUCAAAAAACUCUUUCCAUGGUUUUCAGUGUGAAAUUUGUCAACUAUCCAAGCAUCUUUGCAAGCCCUAUCCAUAGUUUUAAAAGACUUAAGGCACACCAAGACGCAAAGUCCUCUUGGAGCCUUAGGCGCAAGGCACACCUAAGGCGCGAACUUUAGUAAAGUGAGGUGCAUCCUGUUUUACAUAUAUAUUUUUAUAUAAUACAAUCAAGUGCCCGAAAAUUUUCCUCUAAUUUUCCCCUUCUUCUUCAUCCUCUUCUCUUCUUCACAUUGUUCGGGAGGCUAGGACAUUUUUUUUUUUUUACAUGUCUAAAACAAGCAUAUAUUGGGUUUUGGAAGAAGAACAAGCCAAAAUGACAUCGUUUUGGAGCCUAAUCUUUUAAAUAAAUAAAUAAAUAAAUAAAAACCAGCCAAAAAUGACACCGUUUUGGCCCCUGUUCUUUUAAAAGAACAAACCAAACAACGUCAUUUUGAUCUCAGGAAAUUAAAAAAACAAAACCCUCGUCAUUCUCCCUUUGCUACUCUACAACUCAUCGUCAAAGGGUAAAAAGAUGACCAAAAGAAGAAGAAGAAAAAAAAAAAACGACGACAGAGGAUAGAGGUGCACCUGUUGAGGGCGUUGCGCCUAGCCAAGAGGCGAGCGCCUUGCACACUUAAUCAACGCCUCUGUGAAGGGGCGGCUCCUGCAAUCAGGCGAAGCGCUGAAGGGUGAUGUCACAUCGUCUAGAGCCUAGGCGCACCUUUCACAACUAUGACCCUAUCCAACUCAACCAUACAAACCAUCUCAUCUUUUUUCCAUACAUAGUGAUGUUUGGAGGUCAUCUAAAAUAAAGAACAUAACAGGGACUAGAUGGUUGAUGAUCAUACUAGAAUUUCUUAGAUAUUUCUAAUGAAAAAAAAAUCAAAAAUUAGUCAAAUUUUCUAAAAGUGGACCAGAAUUUCUUUAUUGAAUUAAAAAGUUGAAAUUAAUAUUUUGGAAAAGUUAGGGCCGCUCAAGAGGUAGAAAUAGCGCUCGAGUGGUAGAAAUAGCGCUCGAGUGGUAGAAAUAGCCCUCAAGUGGUAGAAAUAGCGCUCAAGCGCUAGGACCGCUCAAGCACUUAACUAGCGCUUGAGCGCUCAUAUAGAAUCUGCCAGAAUAUGGAAGAAUAUUUUUUGGAUAAUCAUGAAAAUUGGAUUUGGAAACUUUAGAAUAUCAAUCUCCUUCGGCCUAGAGGUUUAUAUAAACCCUAUUAUAACCCUUUAGGGUUAAGAAAUUCACCAAGUGGUUUACCCUAACUUGUCAUACCAUUCCCGAUCUCUCAUCAAGGAAUCAAAGUGUUUAAUCUUGGGUUGUUUGAAGACCUGCAUCCCUUCAACAAGGCUAAGGUGUAUUCACUAGAACAAUUGAAAUUGUUGCAUUGCGGACAUGAAUCAAGUUGCAGGUUCUAGAGAGUAAGUCUUUAGAAUAAAGCAGACAAAGAGUUCUAUGUGACUUUAUCUCAUAUAGUGGAUUUAGCUUUGAGGUCUUAGACCUCGUGGGUUUUUAUCUCCAUAGUUAGUGUGGGGGUUUUCCACAUAAAAAUUAUUGUGUCUCUUGAUCUUAUGUUUGAUUUUAGAUAUUCUAUUUAUCCCUGAUAUCUCACAGGUUAACUUUAGGUUAAAAAUUCAACUCCCUAUUUAAUAAUUUUUAAAAUACACCCAUUCACGAGUGUUAUCCUACUGGACAUUGGUUUUUCACCAUAUAUAACACUCAUACCAAAACCCAUGCAACAUGGACUCCAACCUUAAGCUUAACUUUCUACGAAUGGAAAAAAAAAAAGACAUAACAUAAAUAGACAGAUUUAACAACAUGCUCCUAAUCAAGGUGAAUGUCCCUCUUUUUGAAAGAUAUGACCUUUUCCAUACGAGGAGCUUUCUUUAAAAUUUCACCUCUACCAAUUCCCAUGCCUUUACAAAGUUGUGGAAAGCUCCAAAGAGAAGGCCCAGACAUGUAAUGGGUAGAUUCCCUACCUUAGAACCUUACACCAAAGCUAAACCCCUAAUAUUUGUGACUUCUAUAAGAAUCAAUUCAUUUUUUUCCAUAUUUAUUUCUAAAUCAGACAUUGCCUCAAACCACAUGAAGUUAUAACUUGGAUGUUACAGAUGCUCUUAAUUAGUGUCACAAAAAAAUAGGGUAUCAUCAUCAAACAAGAAAUGUGACACUUCCAUCCCCUCCUCCUGUCUUCCUCCCACUUUGAAACUUGAGAUGUAACCCCUUUUAUCUAAUUCUCCUCAAAAUUCAAUUGAAAGCCUUCAUUGCCAAUAUGAAAAUGUAAGGGGAGAGAGGAUCUUUCUACCUCAAAUCCCUUGAGCUCUCAAAGAAACUGAAUAGGACACUAUUUACUAGAAUAGAGAAUUGAGUAGUGGAAAUGAACCAUUUGAUCCACCUCACCCACUUAUGAUCAAAGUCCAUUUUAUCCAACAUCAUUAACAAAAAGUUCCAAUUUACAUGGCCAUCGUCCUUUCCAAUGUCUAACUUGCAAAUUACCCCACUAUUGGGACUCUUUAACCUUGAAUCUAGAGCAUCAUUUAUGAUUAGAACUGCAUCUAGAAAUUGUCUGUCUUCCACAAAAGCAUGCAAAUAAACUAAAACUAUUUUACCCACCACAUUUUUUAGUCUUUUAGCCAAGACUUUUUCCAAUAGCUUGUACAAAAAAACCCCCAACUAAGCUAAUCAAUGUAAAAAAUUUUAGGUUCUCUGCUGCACCUAUAUUAGGGAUCAAGACCAAGAACAUGACAUUUAAAUUUUGCUCAAAGGAACAAUUAUCAAAAAACUCCCCAAGCUCAUUUGCCAAAAUAUUAUAAUAAAUCCAUUUGGCCCCUACAGCUUUAUCCCCACUCAAGCUAGACAAGGCAACAAGAAAUUCCUCAUCAAAGAAAGGUAACUCCAAUUUCCUAGAAUCAGCACAUAGCAUAACUUCAAAGGUCAUCCCAUUAAUGUUGAGUCUCCACUCGCCCAUAUCAGAUAGGAGAUUUUGGAAGGCCCUAAACUCCCCUUCCUUUAUAUUUGCUUCCCAAGCAACCAUUUUGCAUUCACUCAAAUUUUAAACAUGAAGUUUUUUAUUCUUUGGGCAUUGACCAUUUCAUGGAAAAUUUUGGUGUUUUUAUCCACCCCCUCUUUUAACCAAAUUUCUCUUUAUUUUUGCCCCCAUACAUAUAGAUUCUUCUAACAAGGCCCACUUGCUAAACUCAAUCACCACUAACCUUUGGCCUCAACGAUUUCAAGAGAUAAGGUAACUGCUCUCUACUUUGAGUCCCAGAAGUUGAUCCAGUUUAGCACCUCUAGGUUUUUUGUUGAGACAUUCCCAAAACCUUCUUCAUUCCAAGAUUUUAAAUCUCGUUUGACAGCCUUUAGUUUAACUUCCAAAAUAUGACCAUACAAGCCAUCCACAUUAUAACCAUCAACCAACUCCUCACAAAAUCUUUUAAGCCUUUUGUUUUAGGCUACAUAUUUUAAAAUGUAAACUGUGUUUUCCCACUCCUUAUCCUACCUCCAUCUAAAACUAUGGGGUAAUGACCAAAAAUUGGUUUAGGUAAAAUACUCUAGAUUAAAGUAGAAAAACGAUUCUACCAAUCAUCUGACACUAGGAAAUGGCCAAGCUAGCCUUGAAGAAGACAAAAGAUUAUGAACACCACUCCAAGUGAAUAGCCCUCCAACUAGCGAAAGAUCCCAAGGUCAAGUCCUCUAUGUCCUCUGAAAAGAACCUCAUAUCAAACAACAUUCUAAGGCAAUUCCUCCUUUUCAUGGGGAACUUGACCAUAUUAAAAUCCCCUCUGAAGCACUAGAGGUCAUCCCAAAGGCCUCUUAUGGCACCCAACUCUACCCAGAAAUCCACUCUUUCUCCCCUUUAAACCAACCCAUAAACUCUUACGUAUACCUAGACAAAGCUAUCUUCACAAUUCAUAGACAAGCAAUAGAGAAUGCUUCCACCUCCUUACCAAUUAACUCUAAUACCCUACUAUCUUGGAAAACCAAAAUGCCUACUAUCAAGCUUCUAACUUCCAAUACCAUUUCAAAAAUUUUCCUACUCCUAAACUCCUUACCAGUUGAACGAACAUCUAUCGAACCUUGGUUUCUUGUUAACAAACUAGAUCAACCCCUUGAGACCUUAUCAAUGACUUUAUUAUCAUAUACUUUUCCUCAUCAUUUGCUCAUUUGACAUUCCAAGACAGGAUUUUUAGCUUCAUCAUGCAACCUAUGUUGGAUCCUAACUGCUACUCUUGGAGCCCUUUUCCUUUUUGUUGAGCUUUUAUAAUUGACUAAGCAUCCCAACUUGUUGAGGUCCCUCUCAAACCAAGAUAUCGAGGUUAACUUCCUCUUCACCUCCAACGAAAAAACAGAAACCCCUCUCCUUAGCCUGCCACACAAGGGAAAAGAUCUCUUUUUCAAAUCCAUCAACUGGCAUUCUUGAGAAACUAUUGAAAUUUGCCAACUUACAAGAUAUACAAUUGGAGGAGUGCUUCUCUACCAAACAACUACUAAAAUUCACCUCAAAGGUGACCUUUUCCCCUGAUCUCUCCCCGGCCUCCAUACCCACUGACCCUUUCACAAAAUUUUCUAGAAUUUCCACUAUCAAGCCGUUACGGAGAACCAUCCUCAACAAACUCCUUUGACUAAUGUGAAAAACCCCACCCAAGAGCAUCUUCCAGAAGUUAACUUACAAGAUUAACUAUAAUCUUGUGAAGACUCGUUACCUAAUGGGUAAAAAAUUUGAAAUUCUAUUAGUAUAAUUCUUUUUAGGCACAAAAGCUGUGAAAAUAGCAUUGGUGCUCUAAUUAAUAACCCCAUAAUUAUUAAGCAAUAAAACAACUUUUAAUAAAUUCUCUUUCACCACAUCCCACCAAUCCUAAUGCAAAAAAGCUAGGAAAAAGUCAUCAUUGCUCUAAGCAUUUCUCCUCACUAGUUGAAAGACUGCUUUAUGAACUUCCUCUUCGACAAAAGGACAAUCCAACCAAUUAGCACCAUUUUCCAAAAUGAGAGACCAACCCCCACUCUUCUAUCCUCUAAGGAUCUUCAUAUAACCAUUAAUGCCUUUCUAUACCAGCUAGUAUAUAUCGGGUUUUGGGCAAGUCCUAUAAAUUGGUUUGAGUAAGAUUUUUAAUUACCCUGUUCUUUCUUUUUAGUUGAUAAAUAUGCAUAUAUGUAGUAAUUCAUACAUCAGAAAAGAUUUUGCUAAAACAAAAGAAUUGACAUGCAGAUAGUGACUUCUUGAUAAGAGUAAUAGCUUAAGGGAGGAAAAUGAACUCCUCCAGUGGCCCCAAAGUGGUAAGUUCCUUCAGAUCCCAUGUUGCUAUUCUGCAUUUCUUUGUGUUUUGGCAUCAGCCCUCUUAAUUAAUUCACUAUCCAGCUUCUCAAAUUCCUCGGAUUCUUCCCUUGUUCUUGUGGAAACAUCUGCAUCUUGUCCUUGCAUUGUUAUGGAUUGGUGAUUAUCAUUCUUUGAGAACUGUGUGGCAGCUGCUCGUGCACCAGCUAUGGCUGCAAGGAGACCUUCUGGUUUCUUGUCUUCAGCAGCUUUGGAGCCAUCAAAGCAAGAAACAAGUAAUCCUGGUUUCAAAGAGAGGGGAUCUUGUGGUUCUGGAAGCAGAAACUUGACAGGUAGUGGAGCUUGAACAGGACGAAGACCCCUAACUGCUGCCUCAUAUAUCUGCAACAAUUUCAGGGGGGAUAAGUAAUUAAAAAUCAGUCACUCUAUUGCAUUAGUUAGACUUGCUUUCAAUGCGAUAGCAAAGAAAGAAUCAUCAAUGAAAAAAGAAAAAAUAAAUGAAAAAGAACAAAAAGGAGAGGGAAAAAAAAAUGAUGGGUGCUCAAUUUGUACUUUUCUUUCCAGGUUAUAAAUACGUUGGUACCCGCGCAUCUCAAAUGGUAUGAUUAAUUUCUGCAUCAGGUCAGGAGAACUAAGUCCAUCAAUAUACUAAAAAGCAAAUAUACCAAAAGGCAAGCAAAAAUGUUUAACCAUCUUGAGUGUCAAACUCUCCAAGAAACUAUAUACUUUUAGCUGAAUGAAAACACAUGCCUGUGGUUGCUCACAGAGCCAGCAAAACUCUGUUUGCGCUUCUAGCCUUACCUACAAAUAGAGUUUAGGUUAUCCAACCAAAAUGGAGAUACAUCACACAAAACAAACUGUACCUAAUCAGUUUACGAAGGGGACGGGGGGAAGCAAAAAGCAAAAGUAAAUUUCUAAGAUGCCCACCCCUUCAGGUACCUCCUUCCAGCACGCCAGCUCUUCACAUUUAACACAACCAACUACUUCAAUACAACCUGUGGCAAGAAUAGAGUUUGUUGGAUUUAUUGUAGCAUGCCAUACAGAAAAAUUUAGCAUUUCAGUAAGAAUAAGAAUAAGAGAGCUACUUUCCACUAAAAUACGAAUCACCCAUCAACUGUUGCAAACAGACAACAAUGUGAAUAACAGGUUUUAUAUAUAUAUAUAUAGAGAGAGAGAGAGAGAGAGAGAGAGAGAGAGAUAGAUAGAUAUAGAGAGAGAGAGAGAGUCAAAUAAUAAUAAAGGACAAAAAUAUUUCUUUGAGAAAGACUAAUUAGAAAGAAGAAACAAAGAACCCACAUGAAAUCAAUUUAGAUAAGAGAAAUACCUUUAAGAAUCUAGUUCUUUUUGCAAAUUGCAACUUAGAAUUGGAAUGCCACAUAUUAUUAUAAGGUAUCACAAGAGAUUAUUGCUUCAUUUUUUUUCUUUGCCAGAUCAGUUUUAAUAAAUAUAAAUAUAAAAAUAUAAGCAUGUACACACACACACGCAAACACAUUAUGUGUGUAUGUUUAUGGAUAUGUAGAUAUAGGUUUUUAAUAAUAGAGCAUGAAAACAUAUCUAGUCAGAAAUUCCAAAAAUCCAAAACCAUUAGCAACACCUAACAGUCUUGAAACUGGGUAAUGUUCUGGAAACUUGAGGUCUGCUAUCCCAUUCACAGCAUAGAUCUCCCUGUAGAAAUUCUCCAUUGCUUUGAUUGUGUCUGAAUCUGGGACCUUACUAGCAGCAUGAAUCCAGAGUCGGCCUUCAUAAAACAAAACAUGUAUAUUAAGAAAUAUCCUUGUAGAACAGUAACAUUUUUGCCAGCAUGCAAUUCGUGUUAAUAAUCCUUGGUUCUCACCACUCAUUGUACAUUACAAUGUAAAGACCUAAUAAGCCCUAAUAUAGGUAGGUGUCUGUGCAGAGAGAGAGAGAGAGAGAGGGGAGGGGGGUGAAAGGAAAGAUGAUUAUAGAACAAAUACAAGUUGAAUCUCCUGAAAUAAUGUCCAUCAAGUUAUUUCCUAGCAACAAGUACUGAUUAUGCUUUUCCUGAUAACAUGAUUUUCUUUGCUAACAACCAUACUAUAUUUUAUCAAGAAAGAGUAGUGCAUGUGGCGUGCAUCAAGACCCAUUAGAGUUCCGCUAAACCUAUAGUUCUGUCAACGUUAUCAUUUACGUUUCCUCUAGAUAAUGGCAUUUUCCUCUAAAACUCUUGCACCAUUAGGCUUCAAGUCAAAAUUUCACAUGUGAACUUUGGAAAUUUUCUCCAUUUGCCCCUAAGGAUACAGUUAGAAUUGACUUAAAAUCCUGAUUGAUGUAUACUUUUAACCGAAGAAUAUUGUAUAUAAUAAUUGAAAUAUUGUUGAUUCAUCGUGGAAAUACAUUUUGUAAGGAAAGUUGUUAAGAAUUUAGUAUGCUAUAUGGAGAAAAAAGUCAUGACUUAAGGUUGAGUAUGUAUAUUCUAUAUCAAAUAUUAGGUAGGAAUGUGGAAAAGAGCAGAGUGUAAUUAUAAGAAACAAAGAAAUAUAAGAUAUUCUUGAAAGUGGAAAAUGUAAAAUGGCUAAAAGUCAAAUUUAUGAUGCAUAAGGGGGAUCAUGUCACAUAAGAAACUCAUGGCAUACCAAAUACGUGUGGUAUGGAGUAACAAUUUUGUUAAAAUAAGUUUCUCGUUGGAGUACAUUAGGUGACAAUUUUUUAAUAUCAAAUUAAAGAGUCAAGUGCAUCAAUGAAGUCAUAUGUAGAAAAUUUGUUUGUGACAUGUACCAUAAAGAUAAGAUUGACUUGAUAUAAUUUAGUCCAGGUAGGAGUUGUUAAAGGUGUCUCAAAUUUCUAAUUGAUAUAUAUUUUUUUCUAAAAAAAUAUUAUAUAGAUAUUUCAAUAAAUGAUUAAUUCUUUGUAAAAAUACUUACAUAAUAAAAAACAUCAUUAGAAAUAUCUCUAUAAAUAUUUUAAAUCACAAAAAGAAAAAAAAAAUCACUAUGAGAUAAUUAUAAACAUGCAACAUUGUACCAAGUAAACAGAAAUGUGAUAAAAAAAUUUUGAGAAACACUAAAUAAAGGAAGGGCUUGUAUAUCAAGAUGUAAAUAUAGAGAGCAAUAUUUUUAAUCAUAUGAUAGAAUUAUUUUCUCUCAUUCAUGAUUAUAAGCAAAAUUGGGAACCAUUAUAAAAUCUUGUACACCUCGUGUAAAUUGAUGUUUGUCUUCAUAUUUUACACCAACAAAUGACAUUGAAGUUGUCAUUGAUAAAAGGGAAAAGGCAUGGCCUCCACACCAUGUGCUUGAAUCGUAUGGUUCAAGUUUAAAGAAUUUUCUCCAUAAUUUGAAGAUCUAAAACAUUUUCACCUUUAAAUUUCAUUUAAUUAUUAAUAUCUACAAAAAAUAGUUAAAUACUCUUUCUAUUUUUGAGUUGUUGAAUUUUUUGAAAGUUUUUAUAUUUGUUAUCAAGAAUUUAUAUUUUAUUAAGUGUGAAUAUUUAUAAAUAAGAUAUUAUAUAAUAUUUGGAUAAGAGAGAAUGGUGGAAUAUAAUAAAGUUUUAAUCCUUCCCAAUUUUUAUCUUUUUUUUUUUUUUUUUUUAUAAUCGCCUUUCUCUUUCAAUCCUAUUAUCAGGUACCUUAUAUUUGCUGAUGCUAUCUGGAACUAAAUUCCAAUCAGACAUUGUCCAAUUACUAAUAGGACAGAUCAUGUCUCUCUGUUUCUAAACUAACAUGUAUCGUAAUGUGGCCUCAUAAGGAAGGCUAGGAAGAUGGAGGAUUUUGUGGGAAGCGACCAGAAUCAGAUGGAAGAGAGAUAGCCCUGUUGACCUAAUGGCUGUAAUAGGAGAAGCGUGUGGAUUUAUGGGACUUAACUGAUACUAAACCUAUAUGAUGCUUGGAGUGGUGUUUCUUUCAUUUUGUUAAGAAAAUAUGGCAGCAUACAUCCUUUCAAUUGAGUGCAUCAGAGCAUCCAUAAUAGAUGGUCUGCAACCCUAGGUGCAUGCCACUUUCUGACUGAUAAUGAAACUGUCAGGUACUUGGCCUUGACUAAGCUCAACAGCAUCACAUAAAAAGAAGCUUUCAUACUUAGAUUACUGUUUAAAGCUUUUGCUUAUUUGCUUUCUUAAUGCCAUUAUGACAUUAUUGUUUCAAUUCUGCUACCGAUUUUCGAAGUUCUGGGCAUCUACUGAUUGCAUCAUUAUAUGAGAAGUUGCAUGAGUUUAUGUAUCCUGUUAUUGCUCCUUUGCGAUUUCACUGCUCACGGGACUAACCUCUCCAUUCAGUCGAAAUGAAUUGUAAUUUCUUUACUGGUAGCAGUAGUACUUUUCAUAGCAAAGAUAAUAGUAAAUAUGAAAUAUAAAUAGAAGGAAAUCUGAAUUGUAGAUGGCACUAUAAGUAACACUCAAUAUUCACUACAUAAUAAAAUAGACAGUGUUACAAAGGUAGAGAAACCUACAAUGAGUACUCAUCACCAUUCUCAAACAGAAACAUAGCAGCGACUUAUACAUAGAACCUAUAGGCUUGCAGGGAAAGAAGGGAAAGAGUAACAUGAUAAGUUCACAGCGGGUAGCAGCUCUUAUUUUACGUAUUACUCAAAAUCUCAAACUAACCAAAGUCACUCAGUUGGGAUGGGUAGGAGAUGGUGGUUUGUGGGGUGGCUUCUGGGUAGGAGCUGGUGGCUUCUUUGUUGGAGUUGAAGGAGGCGUAAUCUUCUGAGGUGGCUUGUAUGAGUCUUCGGCACUCUCUGCAGGAGGGUGCCCAGGGUUGUGACCGGAAGGAGGUGGCUUCUGUCCCUUUGGUGGUUUGCCUAAUGGGCUUGGUGGCUUGUGCUCCGGGAGUUGUUUCUCUCCCUCGAGUAGGUUUCGAGUUUUGUCAGAUGGCUUGUGUUCUGGUGGUGGCUUCUCUCCCUGGGGUGGUUUGCCGAAUGGGCUUGGUGGCUUGUGUUCGGGGAGUGGCUUCUCUCCCUGGAGAAGGUUACGAGUUUUGUCAGAUGGCUUUUGUUCUGGUGGUGGCUUCUCUCCCUGGGGUGGUUUGCCAAAUGGGCUUGGUGGCUUGUGUUCGGGAACUGGCUUCUCUCCCUUGGGAGGUUCAUUUGGUGGCUGGUGUUCCGUAGGUGGUUCCUUCACCGGCGGCUUGUGCUCCGGAAGCGGCUUCUCUACCUGGAGAAGCUUACGAGUUUUGUCAGAUGGCUUGUGUUGUGGUGGGGGCUUCUCUCCCUGGGGUGGUUUGCCAAACGGACUUGGUGGCUUGUGUUCGGGGAGUGGCUUCUCUCCAUUGGGAGGUUUAAUUGGUGGUUGGUGUUCCGUAGGUGGUUUCUGAAGUGGGGGAUGCUUGGGGUAGUCAGCAAGAGACGAGGUAGUGAGAACCACCA